UGAGGAAACUCCUACUGUUCCUGUAACAUUGGGUCCAGAAACUCUAACCAUUUCUACAACCACGACUGAGGAAACUGCAAAGAUUCCUGCGACCUUGGGUGAGGAAACUACAAGUGCUCCUGUGACCCUGCAUGAGGAAACUCUGGCUAUUCCGACAACUUUGGAUGAGGGCAGUCCAACUAUGACCACAAAAUUGGAUGAGGAAACUUCAACCAGUCCCACAAACUUAGCUGAGGAAACUUUGACUACUCCUACAUCCUCUGGUGUGGAAGCUUCAACAGUUCUCACAACUAACAGCGAGGAAACAUGUGCUGUUUCUACAACUACGGAAAUGGAAACUUUACCCCCUGCGGGUGCUGAAAGUGUAGAACCUGCAACUUAAUAGCUUUACUGUCAAAACUACUCAGAAAUUUCAGGUAUUACUUUUCUUUUGUAUCUCUUGAAAGAUUUUAACUUGAUGGUGUUAGAAUAAUUGGAAACUAUUUGAGAGCAUGGUUCGAGUGAUAUCUUGCAAUCUCAUGCACUUAAUUCAGUUAAAGAAUUGUAUGUUUCGUCUUUUGAGUGUUUACUGGUGUUGAAGAGGUCAAAACCUAAAUCUAUAUUACUGUAUAUGGCAUCACUAAGUCAAUGGGUAGAAAUAGGAGCAGCUGUUUGGGCUUGUAGGGUCAAGAUAAAUGCUUCGGGUUUUACAUCUUUUCUUAUAAUGUAUUUAUGAGGUUGGAGUUGAUUCUUAAAUUAGAUGUUCAUCUUCAAUGUAUCUCUUGGUUCAAAGUAGAGAAACCUACAUGAUUGCUGCAUCACGUGAGUUUACCCUAUAUCGGUGUUCCCUAAGACCAGUACUUGUCUUUAUUUAUGUGCUUUAGUUUCUUGGUUUCUCAUUUAUUUUAUCUGCGUUAGUUUCCUGGUUCUCUUAUCGUGAUCUUUUGGCAGAAUUGUUGUAGGGGAGAACACACCAGUGGUUUUGAUUCGAGUUGCCAUAAAAGAAAGCAAGGAGGCGGCAGAUGGCUCGUCUGGUGCAACUCGGGUCUCUUGUGCUCGGAUUCUUUCUUUGUCAAAUUAUGCUGUACUGAGUGCAUUGGCAUUCACAUAUGCUCCGGCUAGUGUAAUAUAUGAUAUGACGUUUUUCACUGAUGUUAAUUCCUAGAGGAGAGGACCUAGAGAAUUGUUUAAUUGAAUCUAUUUCUUUCUGCUGCUUAAUCAUAUCGAUGUCGUAUAGGGGAUUAUCAGGUCCUGAUAAUUGUUUUGGUUCCUCGUGAAUUUGAUCUGUAAAGCAUGAAUGCUAAUGAUGUUCUUUUGCCAAAACUGGCUUGUUCAGUUAAUCAAAAUGGAAUCCAUAACUUUUCAGGUUGGACUUGACGUGAAUAAUAAAAAUAUAUUCAAAUGGGAAAAUGGUAAAUUAAGUUUGCUUGGAGCCGAAUAAGAAUUUAUGAUUGGAGUAAAAUCCAAAUCCGAAUGCAAAGGGGAAUGAUCGCCAUCUGUAAGGUCUAAGCUCCAUAAUUUUGCCACCUGUCCUUCAGCCCUGCUAUUUGAAGCCGAAGAAAUGGAAAAGAAAUUGAGUUUAAUUUGGAAAAAAUGGGUUCAGAGACUUUGAUUGAAGUGAUUCUUGCAAUUCUUCUUCCUCCUGUUGGAGUUUUUCUUCGUUAUGGCUUAGGGGUAUUCACUUUCCCUUUCUCUUUCUCUUCAUAUAUAUAUAUAUAUAUAUAUUGGUAUAUGAUGUGGAUUACAAAAUGAUGAUGGGNNNNNNNNNNNNNNNNNNNNNNNNNNNNNNNNNNNNNNNNNNNNNNNNNNNNNNNNNNNNNNNNNNNNNNNNNNNNNNNNNNNNNNNNNNNNNNNNNNNNUUUCCUGCAUUUUUUUUUUAUUCUUUAUCAAUAAGCAUUAAUAUUUGGUAUCUACAUUAUUAGAUUGAAUUUGAUUAUCAAAAACCCUUGUAAAGAGGAUAUCCUUUUUAGCCUACAUUCUCUCCUAAUUCUCAUUCUAUUUCUUCUUUAAUAAAUAUUAAUCACUUUCUACCAUACCCUGAAAAUUUGUAGAUAGGCUCUUCCUUCCUCUCAUCCACCAUCGCAAUUUACUUUACAGCAUUUUCCUUUAUUUUACAUAUUCCCACUCCCCCUUGCCUCAUAACCCAUUCAUCCAUGGCCCUCCACAUCAGGUUUCUUCUUUUUCUCCACACAACUUGGAUUCUCAUAAGUGAUAAUCUUAACUUUUAUAAAAUCAAGAUUUGGGCAAAUUUCUGAACUUGGAUUUGGAUUUCAACAAAUCCCAGAAAUUUUUUAAAGUUCUCAAAAUUCAAAUAUCAUAAACUUUUCUUCUAAAUUGAAAACUAUAUCCUUGCUCUCACUUUUUCUUUUUGGUUUUUUCAAGUUUCCAAUACAAUUUUCUUUUCAAAAAAAAAUUAUUAGUUUAAGGGUAAAAGAAUUUACUAAAAAAUAUUAGUAAUUUUUCUUGAUCAUAAGAACUCAAAAGAUUUUUUUUUAUCAAAUUUAAAAUAUAUUUUUAUUUUUUUAAAAUUACUGGCAUGCCAUGUCCAUUUUCUUGAUUUUUCUUGACGGAUAGAUAUUUUUUCUUGAUCAUAUGAACUCAAUAGUAUGACUUCUUCUUUUUUUUUUAAUACAUAAUUUAAAAUUCACAUAUUACAAUUUGUAAUAUCCCAUACCUGAUCAAAUCUUAUUUGAGCUAUAAAAUAUUACAUUCGUUGUCGGAGCAAUUAUAAUCUUAUUUAUAAAUCACUUGAAUAAUUUAUACAUAUUAUUAAGCUUAACACAUAAUUACAUCCUGUUAUGCAACCAAAUCUGAGAUUCAAAUGUGUUGAAAACUAUGGACAUCACGUAUAUAAUAAAAGUAAUUGCAAGUGAUACGAACCCGAUUACGGGGGUAAUUGAGUCGUUGACAUACCCAAUCGUCAAAUUAAGUAGUUCUCGUUUCGGUUUAACAAAAGGUUUAUAUUUUAAAGAAGAUGGUUUAAAACAGCGGAUAAAAAUGAAGAUAGGUUGAAUAGAUGGAUAUAACGAACUUAAACCAAGAAUAAUCCUUUAAUAGAAAUUAAAGACUUGAUUCUUAAACGUUUCAAGGUGAUUGGCGGAAAGUCGGAUAGAACCGAGACCCGCUAUCUAGUAAGAUAGGAACCAACGGUAUAAGGGAUAAACACCAUACUCGAAAGUGAUAAGUUCAAGAAUGGAGAUAGGAUGACGCUACUAGCAAUGCUAAAUAAGUCAGAUCAAAUCACCAAGAACAAUGAGAGUUGGAAAAAAACUCACAAAGUCUGAAAUAUUUCAUAAAAUAUCAAGAUGAAUAAAGUUGAUCAAGUUGUGUAAGUUGUGUAACCUUCAAACAAUUUACAAGAAGCUAUUUAUAAGCUGCCACUAGUCCAGCCGAAUAGCCACAUGAAUAAUUCUAUCCUAAAUGCAAUCUAUUGACUUAAUUUUAGCUGAAAACAUCCAAUGUAUGAUUUCAAUAAUCGGUUGUCCAUUGAGUUCCACGAGCAGUCUUGAUGAGAUACCCUUUGGUGUGCACGAACAGCCUUUGCGCUGACUUGAAUUAAUUGAUACUGAAAAUGCAUUUAGAUGGUUGGUCAAAGGUGUUUAAUGGCUGAGUAAAAACUCCCUUGAGGCUGCCGAAUACAUGAACAGAAAUUGAAUGGAAAUGGAAUUGGUUUAUGAACUUAGUAGAUUCAUGCUCAACCGAAUGGUCAUGGGUGUGAACAUUGAGCAUGGAACGGUCACUAGAGUUGAUGGCUGAUCAAUCAUUAAAAUUGGUUCAUGAAAUUCAUGCUUCAGCCGAAUGGACACUUUCAUCCCCUUUGGCACGUUCAUGCAUGCUCAGCUAAGAUGUUUAUUAGCUGAAAUAAAUUCUACCUUAAUGCAUGAAUCAACAAGUGAAUCGAGAUGGAACGCCGAAUGGUCAUAGGGGCUGGCUGUUCAGCUCACAAUUGUCGGCUCUUUGUUUUCAUGAAGAGCCAACUGAAUAAUGCACAAUCAACUCCUAAGUUGCAUUCACAUGCAGGUGCAUGGUCCUUCAUUAACUAGCUUCGAUGUAUCAGCUAGAUACAUGAAUUCCCAGAUGUAUGUUCAGCCGCCUGAAUGUCUAGCUGCUUGCUGCCUUUAAUUGCCGUACAUUGAGCCUAUUGAGAGCAGCAAAUACAACCUGCCUUCAAGACAAACAAUAAGGACGGAUUAAAUGUGGUUAAAAGAAACAACUGGACACAAUUAAUUUGUCUAAGCAUUAGACACAAUUAAUGUGUCCGAAAUAAGACCCAAAUAAACAUAUAGCAAAGCUGUAUGAAACAAGACAAAAUUAAUAUACCUAAAACAUAUUUAAAACGUCCAGCUUAUGACAUAUUUAAACACUUGAUUAAAAUAUCAACAAGACAAAAUAAACACAAAUAAAUAUGUAAUAAAUCUGUCUGAAAUUGGACAUGCUUAAUGGACCAUCAAUGACAUGAAUUAAAUAUGUAAUGACUUAAAUAUGCAGCAUGCUAAGAUAAAAUAAUGACCGAAUGAUAAUGAUAAAAUUAUAAACAAAUCAAUCAGACAUGUAAUUAAGCUGUAGAAACUUAAAACAAAACUAAUUAAACCGAAAUAAUCAAGAAUGUUUGAAACUUAUUCAACAGCUAGUUUAGCUAGCUAAAUGGCAAAUCAGCUUGAAGUAAAGUGCAAAGGAUCUAGACGAGCAAUCCCAAGUUCGAUCGGUGGAAGCCUUUUUCCAAAUCUGUCCACCAAAGCUGAAUUUGCUUCUUUGAAUGCUUGGAUCGAGCUCGAUUAAUUGGACCAGUUUGUAGCUUGAUUGGAUCUCGAUUGAAGUCAGCUGAGUCCCUGGGCGGGUUCGUAUCAACAAGUUAUUUUAUACUAUCAUAAUAGAUUAGCCCAAUUUAAUAGUGAUCUAAUUUGAUUAAGGUUUAUCGAAUUUUAAUUAUUAAAUAAAGUAUGAGUCAAAUAUAUGUAAAUAUUCUAAUAACUAAUUUCUAAUUAAUGAUGGGUUGAUUAGAAAUUAGGAUUAAUAUGCAAAAGUUAUAUAUUAGGGUUAUGCUUCCCAAAUUACACAUCAGAUAACUUUACUAAUAUUUCAUAUUUAGUUUCUCUAAAUUUCUUGUGUGCUAAUUUGGAUUUCAAGAAAUCGAUGAACUUAGGUACGCUUCCACAUCUAGUUUUAUUCUAAGUGAUUUGACAUAACAGAUCCUGAUUUAUAGUUUUAAGUUUAUAUUAGAUCUUGUUUUUACAGUUCUAACAAGUAGCAUCCGAGCUUCAUAAUGUUGAAUCAUUGAGAAUUAAUGUUUUUAGAUUAAUUCGUUCUUAGGAGUAUUUGGAAUUAUAUUAAAAUUUUUAGUUUUGAUUAGUUAUGAAUUAAGUUUUUAAAGUUUUCUUAAUAAUUUAGAUUGAAUAUAUAACAAUGAGAUUGUUGAUUGGGCAAUUGCAUGAUUGGAAUGUAAUUCUUGAUUUAUAAUUCACAUCAAUUUUUUUUCCUUCAUUGGUUACACAUAAAAUUACUAGAAGUCAGGAUAUGCAUGCGAUAUAUUUAGAAUAUCAUAUAGUCUGAUAUUAUAGAUUUUUAUGAUCUUUUGAAAAAUAUAUUAUGAUAUUCAUAUUUUUUAUUAUAAUUUUUUAAUCAUUAGAACCAUGAACUCAAAAGUUCAUGGUAGACGGUUAUGUUGAUUUAGGGUGAGUUUGGAUGGGCGAUUGGGUGCAGUGCGGCGCGUUUAGCUUAAUUUUUUCCUCACGCUAGAGUAUCUAAUCUCACCACUAUCGCUAUUUUUACACUAACCGCAGAUAAACACACCACCCAUCCAAACUCACCCUUAAUGUGAAACAAAUAUGAAUCUUAGAAAAGCACAUGUAAAGUGUCAAAAGUUAUAAAUGCUUUGUAAGUAGAUUAUAUGGCUAUGGGCUCUAAAUUAACCCUAUUUCUAUGGGAAUAACAACUUUACAUCAUGUUUGGUUGAGUGUAAUCCCAUAACUUUUACUUGUCUAUUCGGUAGGCCCAAUUUAUUACUUUGUUUGGUUGGGGGUAUUUGCGAAUAGGCCCGUAAUGGAAACCGACUGUAUUUCCGUCACAUGGGUUAAGAAUUGCGAUUCCAUUCAGGAUGGAAUGAAAAUGAAACCAUAGCUGGACCAAAAUGUCCCCUCUUGCUUUCCCCAAUUAUUUUCCCAAAUUGAAACCUGGGUUGAAAUCAACGAUAUGCAUAAGCACACCCGCUUCAGAUUGUUCACCCUGAUUAAAGGUAAGUUAUGUUAAAAUUUUCAUAUUAUUCGUUCUUCAUCUUCAUCUCUCUUCAAAAGAUUUACUUUUUUUUUGAGGAUUUUUUGUUUCCCUGAAUUUGGCUUAAUUUGGGGAUGAUUUUUUCCUAGAUUAACAAAGAAAAGUGAAGAUUUAAAAAAUAAAUUUGUUUUUUUUUCUGGAACUUGUUUUCCCCAAACUAUUUCUCUGCCAACGCUUUUUUAGAUGAACCAAAAAUUUGUAGAAAUAAAAAGAAUUUGAUUUUAUCAGGUCUUUUUCUUUUUGUUUCCCCCAAGUUUUCAUUAAUUCGACAAUGUUUUUUUUUUCUAGAUUUAAAAAAAAUUCAAGAUUUCCAGAAAAAAAUUGAUUUGUUUCAAGACUUAUUUCUUGUUUCCCAUUGAAUUUUACUUAUAUGUUUCUUGAUCUGUAAAAUUUUCGCAACUGGCUUGUUGCUUAUUUUGGAAUUAUAUUAAUUUGUCAUUUUGCUUUUAUUUUGCAAGUAAGCAAUCUGGAAGUUUACGAUUUCUACUAGUUGAUUUCCAAACAUUUUAACAUUUAAACAUGCAUAUUGCAGACGUAAAAAACGAUUAUUUGUAGGUAUUUUAUCAAGGCUGGAUAUAAGGUUAUCUUUUUAUAUUGGAGGUGAAUUUUACUUUUGUUGAUUGUUUAUUUGUAUGGUUGAUUGUUUUUUGUUUGUGUUCAGUGGAUAUUUGUAUUGAUUCUGCAACUUGUGUGUGUGUAGGGGAACCUACCAGUCGUAUUGCAGGUCUCUUCUUGAGGAUCCUUUGCUGGAAUGCUUUGUGCUCGUUGAUGAUUUCAAUUUUCAAGGUUUGUGGAUUAUCUUUCUCUAUGUUUUAUAAUUUGACAUUGAUCAUGACUCGAAUGCAUUAAAUUGGCUUUGUAUAGGUUAUUUUGUAUGAUAUGAGUUAUUGAAUUACUUCAUUAAAGAACUCUAUAAGAGGAGGGUGUCAUAAUUUAAUAGAAAUGUGCUUCUUUGUUUCAUGUUGUUUUCUAUAUAUGUUAAGACAUUUGAUGCUGUUCAACUUGUUUUAGAGGAGUUUGGUCGAAGCAUCGGUGAAAUUUUUUAGAAUUUUGAUGUAAAUCCUCUUGGUUCUGCAUCAAUCGCACAUGUAUUACUUUUUCAUUUCUUUACCUGGCUUGAAGUUUUAUAUGAGCAUGCUGGGAAGGGUAUUGGUUUAUGUAUUUGAACAUAUAAAAUCUUUGAAGGCUGAGCAUUUUCAUUAAAUAAGCUUCAUGCUUGCCAACAUACAACAGGAUAUGACACAUUUGCUGUUUUAAUGCUACCAUAAAGUUUAACAGUUUUGCGGGGUUCUCGGGUUCUGAAAAUAGGAUAAUGCUUACAAGAAUCUAGUGGAUAUACCUUAACAUAUGUUUGUAUCUGAAUUAGGUUCAUCAAGCAGGACUGAGAGGUGAUAAGAUCGAUGUUGUUGUUAAGGUAAGUCCCCUUGAAAAUGAUUUUAAAACCUCAUAUGUCUAUGUGGUUUUGACCAUUCAAGCUUAUGGCAGGUGCAACAUCCGGGAAUCCAGGAUCUUAUGAUGAACGACAUUCGUAACUUGCAAGCAUUUGCACUAUACAUUCAGAAGAAUGAUAUCAAAUUUUAUCUGUUUUCCGCUACCAAGGAAAUGGAAAAACAGGUAUCUGUAUUCACACUGAUGUUCCUUGCAAAACACAUCUAUCAUUCUUUUAUGUAUUUUUCAGAUUAUGUAAAUUGACAGUAUCGUUCCACUUGGAUUUGGAUUUCUUUUUUCUUCAGCAUGUCGUUAAUUAUUUAUCCUUUGUGUUGUCAAGAUCGGAUAUGAGUUUGACAGAGAAGCCAAUGCUAUGGAGAGAAUUUGCGAUUUAUUAUACGAGAAUAACUUAAAGAACUUUGAGUUUUUGAAUAACAUAAAAUGAGGAAUGGCUUUUGAGACAAAGGGAUUACAGAUCUCAGCUCCUUCUGUAUUUAUGUCGAGUUUUCUUCAUGUUUUUGAAUAACAUAAAGAACUAUGAGUUUUUGAAUAACAUAAGAUCAAGGACUAUGGUUUUUGAAUAACAAAGGACUAUGAGUUUUGAUUUUUUAUUUCACAUAUGAAAAGAACUAAUGUUAUUAAAAUUUAGUAAUUUUCAUGUAAAAUUUGAAGCUUUUUAUUUCACCAAAAGAUUGCUAUAAAUAAUUAAUUUAUUAAAGAGUAUACCUUAUAAUUAAUUGUUGUUAUCAUGUUAUUAUAAAGGAUAAAAUAAAAUAUAAAAAAUAUGUUUUCUAUUAAAAUUGACUAUUAAAAUAAAAUGUUAUCAUAGGAUUAUCAUACCGUAUGUUAAACUCAUUUUUAUAUUGGCGAUUGUGACCCAAGAGAACAGGUGAGAGGUUACAUUGAAGCAAAUAUAUUAGACAUUGAAAUAUUCUUAAUAAUAAUAUUAUAUUAAAAUUAUUAUUAAAUAUUAUUAAUAAUUAUAUUAAGAAUGUUAUUAAAUUAUAUAUAUUAUUUUAUUAAAUUUUAUUUAAUAAUAAUUAUGUUAAAAUAUGAAUAAAUUAUUUAUUUUUAUUUUUAUUAAAAUAUAUUUAAUAAUAAUCUUAUUAUAAUUUAAUAACAAUAAUCAUUUACCUACAAAAAUUAUGUUAAGGGUACUUUGGUCGUUUAAGAUUUUUUACUUAUACUAUUACAACAUCUAUUCUAUUUAACCAAACACAAGAAUUCUAUUACAGCUCUAUUCCAUUCAAUUCAACCAAACAAUUGAAUUACUGGUUACAGCUCUAUUUCAUUACAACUUUAUUCCAUUACAACUCUAUUCAAUUACAACCUUAUUCCAUUACAGUGAAUCAAACGUACCCUUAGUAUUGCUGUCUUUAUACUACCCUUAUAAGUAUAUAUGACAAUAUAUGAUUUUGUUAAGGUAUAUAUUUUAUUUGUAAAUCAUAUAUGUUCAAGCCCAUUUUUGCCUGGGGCCCAUAUGACCCAAACAAAACCAAUUAAAAGUCCAUAAUAAAACAAAUGUUCAUUUACAAACCCAAAUGCCAACCCAAAUUAAAUCUAACCCAACAGCCCCAAACCCAAAUUUUAAAAAAACUCUAGGCGGCCCAAUGGCCCAAAAUGUUUAAACAUUUUUCAGAAAACCCUAGCCUCCCUAACUCUUUUCAGCCGCCAGCCUCCACGCAUGCCCACUGCCGUCGCCGCACACCAGCGCCCCAUCCACGCGCAUCUGACACUACUCUGUCACCUGCAAAAGACCACCAAACAAAGCAACAGUAGCAAUAAAUGACAAAAGACAAAGAAUAGAAAAUCAAUGGUGGUAAUAUGGCUAUAAAAGCCAAAAUAUUCUCGUUGUACAUUUUUUUUACACGCACUUUAGAAAUAAAAGGCAGAACAGAGGUUUUUUAAAGGUUGAACUUUUACUGUUUUCUUCUCUAUUUAUUUAUUGUUAUUUAUUUAUCUUUUUUACAACUUCAUUUUAACAAAAAUAACAUAGUAAUAAAAAAGGCACCUGAUUCGCUCCGAGAUUCUGUCGACGGGGGCUCCCCUCUCGCAUUCGUCUUUCGCCGUUGGCCGUUUGCCAUAAUGGCAACGCGUCGGGACGCCGGGGAAUCCCAAAUAAAUGGAGGAGGGUAGAUUUUUGAGAGAGUUUUAGAGGCUCUCUGAUUUUUUUGUUCAAAAUGAAAGAUGAAGUGUUUUUUUGUGUGAAAUUUUUUAUUUAUAUGGGAUCAAUACGGCGCCAUUUUGAGCCACUUGCAUCAGUGGCUAACACGACGUCGUUUCGUCUUAGACCUGAAAUCGACCCGACCCAGUAUCCAGGAUCCGCGCGUGUUGGCUUUGAGGGGCUAUUUGCACAAUCAGCCCCUCCGCCUUUCCAGUGUGCGCAAUCGGUCCUAUUUUUUUUUAAUUUUGCCCCAUGAUUUUUCUGCGUAUUUCAUGCUGGUCCGCGUGAAACGGUGCGCAUGGGCAUGGGAAUAAUUCUUUCUUCAGUCCUCAUGCCCUUAUGCGGUCUUAUUUUAGUCCCUGACCAUUUAAGUUCAUUUUUUUUAAUUUGCUUUUGUUUAUUUUUAUUAGUUUUCAUGUUUAUUUUGAUUUUGUUUUUAUUUACUUUUUAAACUGUUUAGAUUUUUUUUAUAUUAUUUCAUGUAAACAGUUUUAUUAUUAUUUAUUUUAAAGAUUUUAUGUAUUAUAUAUAUUAAACAGUUUUAGUUUAUAUAUAUUACUCUAAGUUUCCUUUCCUAUAUUACAUUCCAAACUUUUUAUAUAAGUAUAAAUUAUUUAUUUAUUUAUUUAUUCAUGAUAAGAUGUAUUAUAUAUAUGUCAAAUAUUAUAAACUGCUUUCUACUAUUUUCUUUUAAAUUGUCAUUUUUAUCUUUAUUUUGAACUCAUUUUAUGUAUUAUUUAGUUAAAAUUGUUUUAUUAUUUAAAAUUGUUUUACAUAUCUUUUAAGGGCAAUUUACCAAUAAAAGCCCUUUUUUUUUUAAAAAUUACCGAAAUGGGCCCAUUAUUUUAUUAUUUACUGGAAUGGUCCUUUUUUGGGAAAUCGCGUCCACGUCAGCGCGAGUUGCUGACGUGGACGCGAUGUCCUCCGCGCGUGAACAGUACCUAACUGUCAAAAAUUUGACUGUUGCCCCCCCAACGGUAAAAAAAAAAACUAUAAAUACCCCCACCCCUUUUUAUUUUUUCACAAACAAAUCCUCUCUCAUAUUUCCUCUCAAUUCCUCUCGAUUUCCUUCCAAAAUUCUCUCAAAUCUAUAUUUAAUUUCAAUUUCCUCUUAAUUUCCUUCAAAAAUUCUCUCAAAUCCAUAUAUAAUUUCAAUUUCUUCUCAAUUUCCUUUUUUAAAAUAAUUUUAAAUUUUUUUUGAUAUUUUUAUAAAUCGUAAAAAUUUGUCCGAUUUCAUCAAUGGCCGAAUCAUUGACUCGUCUUGAUAGGCAUCACAUAUCGGUGGAACAAAUGACAAUGGUAAGUGUUAAAUUUAAUUUUUAAAUAUUAUUUAAGAAUUUUUUAUUUAUGCAUUUUUAGAUAAUUAUUAAUUUAUUAUUUGUUAUAAAAGUCUGUAGAUCGGGUAUUGGAAUGCAAUAUCCGGAAUAUGCAUGCUCCUCCAUCACUGUUGGUAGAGAACUACCUGCGGGAAGCGGGUUUUUGGCACGUGGCAAUGGUGGGCCGGGGAUGCAAGUUGGACCCGAAACUGAUCAGUGCGUUGAUCGAGAGGUGGAGACCGAGACGCACACAUUCCAUCUUCCAUGUGGAGAGUGCACUAUCACUCUAGAAGAUGUUAGUCUGCAGUUGGGAUUGCCGGUGGACGGGCACCCAGUCACCGGGUCUGCCCAAUCUAGCAAUUGGGAGGCGGUGUGCUACGAGCUUUUGGGCGCUAUUCCGGAGAAAAUGGAGGGAGGUAAGGUCGAGAUGGGCUGGUUACGUGACACAUUCCCUGAUCCGGAUGAAGAUUCAACCGAAAUUGAAAGAAUCCGAUAUGCUCGGGCAUACAUUCUUCAAUUAAUUAGAGGUUAUCUGAUGCUCGACACGUCACGGAGCCGCGUACAUCUAAGAUGGCUGCUAAAACUCGUUGAUUUUAGAGCAGCCAGUGAAUUUAGUUGUGGGUCUGCCGUCUUGGCAACAUUAUAUCGGGAGAUGUGCGGGGCGACGCGACCGAGGAGAGCAAACAUCGGAGGUUGCCUGUCACUACUGCAGUCAUGGGCACGGUUUCGGUUUCCAUUUCUACGUCCUCGAGUGAACCACCCAUAUACAUUCCCACUCAUAACGAGGUAAAUUUUAUUAUAUUACAUUUUACAAUUAUUAUGUAGAUUUUUAAAAAUAAAAGUAUGCUAAAAUUUUAUUUAAUCAGGUGGAACCAUCCGGCAAGUUAUGCUCGAUUACCGUCCUCUCUUGAAGAUAUACGGCUUCUAUUGGACCAACGGUCGGAAGCAGAAGUAAGUAUUAUUGCAAAUAGAUAUUUCCAUACAUUCGCUAUUUGAUUGAUAUUUAGUAUUUAGUAUUUAGUAUUUAGUAUUAUGUAUGUAUAUAACAAAUAUUUCUAUCAUGUUCAUAUAGUUUCAAUGGACACCAUACGAGGAUCCGGCAAUUUGGGCAGUAAUCCUAGAAGAGUUUUUACAAAAUCCACAAGCUUGGCACGUGAAAGUCGUGUUGGUCAACUACGCAACCGUGGAGCCGCACCAGACAGACAGAGUGCUACGACAGUUUGGAUGUAGACAACCAAUUCUGGUGGAUCCUGAGGUGUUUGACGAUCAACACAAAGUCGACCUUCGGCAAUUGAAUACGGAUUGGCUGAGAUACUGGUCUGGGUACACGAAAAUGUGGGAAGAUCGGUAUGAAUAUCUACCUACUCGGGAACCAAUCAUCGUUCCGGAGUUAUCGUGCGUUCCAGAAUACAUGUCAUGGUUUAGGAUCCAUGGCAAGCCAUAUUUACUGAUGCCAGAGGAGAGGCAGCGGCAAAUACGUGUCGAAAGGGUAAGGUGCAGGCCUCUAAAUCUAAGACGACAAGACGAAAGCAGCUCCUCAACGAGGCCCAGACAUUCACCCGGCUCAUCAUCAGCGGCCAUGCAAUCACCAGGCCCAACGAGAGCACCGACGCAGUCACCCGACGCAGCAGUUCAACCGAUGAUACCCACGCAACCGCCUUUUCAGAUGAUGCUAGGUGCGUUUCCUAGCCCUUAUAUGUACCCUAACCCUUAUAUGUAUCCUUUUCCGAGUCCUAUGGCAGGUUGGAGCCAAAUGCCCGGUUCAACUCCAUUUCCUGUUAUGCCGAUCGGACCGCCAAUGUAUAGGCCAGCAGCACAGGAGGGAUCGCAAGGGGGACCGUCGGAGAGCUCUCCUUUUUACCAAUCCCCACCAACGUAUGGGUUUCAAACACCGUCGCCGUUCCUGAUGCAAACACCUCCACAUACACUAUUCUUUGAAGGUGGAUCAUCGUCCCAAGUAUGAAAACUAGAUGCCGAACCGAAAGAACCAGAAUCCCCACCGGAGGAACAACAACUGCCGCCGAAAGCUAGAGAAAGGAGGAAUCCAGCGUGUAACCGUCGACGGCCGCCAUGUGGCACUAAAUCCCCCAAGCAUAGACAUUGAUGGCCUAGCCUAAUUUAUUUGUACAAAUAUUUUGAAUAUUUUGAUAUUAUUUUAUGUAAAAAAAUAGAAAUUUUUGGAGUUAUUUUGAUAUUAUUUGAUGUAAUAAAAUAGAAGUUUAUUUGAUAUAAUAAAAACCCUAGCCUAAUUUAAUUAAAAACCCUAACCUAAUUUAAUUAAAAACCCUAGCCUAAUUUAAUUAAAAACCCUAACCUAAUUUAAUUAAAAACCCUAGCCUAACCUAAUUUAAUUAAAAACCCUAACCUAAUUUAAUUAAAAACCCUAACCUAAUUUAAUUAAAAACUCUAACCUAAUUUAAUUAAAAACCCUAAACCCUUAACUUAAAAACCCUAACCUAAUUUGAUUAAAAACCCUAGCCUAACCUAAUUUAAUUAAAAACCCUAACCUAAUUUAAUUAAAAACCCUAAACCCUUAACUUAAUUUUUAAAAACCCUAACCUAACCUAAUUCNNNNNNNNNNNNNNNNNNNNNNNNNNNNNNNNNNNNNNNNNNNNNNNNNNNNNNNNNNNNNNNNNNNNNNNNNNNNNNNNNNNNNNNNNNNNNNNNNNNNNNNNNNNNNNNNNNNNNNNNNNNNNNNNNNNNNNNNNNNNNNNNNNNNNNNNNNNNNNNNNNNNNNNNNNNNNNNNNNNNNNNNNNNNNNNNNNNNNNNNNNNNNNNNNNNNNNNNNNNNNNNNNNNNNNNNNNNNNNNNNNNNNNNNNNNNNNNNNNNNNNNNNNNNNNNNNNNNNNNNNNNNNNNNNNNNNNNNNNNNNNNNNNNNNNNNNNNNNNNNNNNNNNNNNNNNNNNNNNNNNNNNNNNNNNNNNNNNNNNNNNNNNNNNNNNNNNNNNNNNNNNNNNNNNNNNNNNNNNNNNNNNNNNNNNAAACCCUUAAUUAAAAACCCUAACCCUAACCUAAUUUAAUUAAAAACCCUAAUCCCUUAACUUAAAAACCCUAACCUAAUUCAAUUAAAAACCCUAACCUAAUUUAAUUAAAAAUCCUAACCUAAUUUAAUUAAAAAUCCUAACCUAAUUUAAUUAAAAACCAUAACCUAAUUUAAUUAAAAACCCUAAACCCUUAAUUAAAAACCCUAACCCUAACCUAAUUCAAUUAAAAACCCUAAACCCUUAACUUAAAAACCCUAACCUUAACGUAAUGUUAGAUUUGGAAAAAUGUUUUGACUGGUACUAACAAAUAAUAAUUUUACAUAAUUUGAUAAUUUUACUAACCAUUAAUACAAUUUUUUGACUUAAUAAUUUUACAUUCAUAUAAUGUUAGAUUUGGAAAAAUGUUUUGACUGGUACUAACAAUUAAUAAUUGUAUAUAAUUUGAUAAUUUUACUAACCAUUAAUACAAUUUUUUGACUUAAUACAAUUUAUCAAUUAAUAAUUUCACAAACUUAAUUUUUUUACAAUUACAUUCAACUAUUGCGAUUAGGGCAUGAUCGACUUGUAUGGCCUGGAUUCCUACACCAUCCGCACAACUUCGUUUGAGUGGCUAUUUCUCGGAUAUCCAUAUUGUUACGUAUUCUAGUCGAGUAAGGUCGACCCUUUGGUUUGCGACGUAAUUCUCUAUCCGGUAACAGCUUAAAAGGAGCAAGGGAUACGGGCGGCCACUUACGUUCAUCUAGGACCGGUGGGAAAACGUGUCUCCAUACGUUGUACAUGUUUUCUAAUUUGUACACUUCGUCCACAUAACUCAUCGGAUCCAGACGGAGUUUCUGACAAGCUACAAUAACAUGAGCGCAUGGAUACCGAAGUGCAUCAAACAUCCCACAGUCACAAGUCCUAUUUCACAAGUGUACACGAUAUUGCCCGCCAACAACACCUUGGUGCGGUCUGUCAAACUCUGUCAUGCGAAACCAUAAAUUGUCUCGAUCAUGACACACUGUGUGCAUGGUGUUUGCCCUCGCCUUGGCCUUGUUAAUUUCUUGAACUACCUUACUGCACCAUACAUGGCCUCCCUGCAUCUGGCCUGCAUAACUUGCUGCUCGCUUUGGAAAUAACGCCGCCAAAUGAAAAUAUGUCUCUCGCACAACCGAUGUUAGCGGUAGAUGGCGCGUUCCUUUAAGAACAGAAUUUAUGCAUUCUGCUAGGUUCGACGUCAUAUGGCCAUAUCGUAGGCCGUCGUCGUAUGCUUGCGUCCACUGUUCGAAACGUAUGUUACAAAGGUAGUCUGCCCCUUCGCCAUUUUGGGAUCGUAAAAUUGCCAACAUCUCGUGAAAACGAUCUUUAUUUAUUUCAUACCCUGCCAAUAUAAUAUCAUAGCGAAUAAUUUAUACCACUUCUACCAAUAAAAAUAAUUCAAAUUGACAAACGAAAUAACACAGAUAUAGACUAAAUACCCAUGUUGGUCACUUGUCGUCGUUCGCUCUUAGAUGGAAAUUGCCUGUAGUAGUUCGAAGCAACGUGUCUUAGGCAAUAUCUAUGGUGUGUGCGCUGCCAUAAGCUUCCCUCUCGAUCAAAUGCAGCUAGUAUACCUGCGCCCCGAUCUGAAAUAACACAGAUAUCAGGUUGGGGGCACACAUGCCUCCUUAACCUAGAGAGAAAGAAAUCCCAGUCAUUAGGCGACUCACUCGGUGUUAUUGCAAAAGCAAUUGGAAGAAUUCUCCCUCUGCCAUCCUGUGCCACUGCAAGCAAUAGCCGAUGAGUAUACCUACCGAACAUGAAGGUACCGUCAAUUUAUACCAACGACUUGCAGUAUGGAAAUGCGUCUCGGCAUUGCUUAAAGGUCUAAAACAGGCAUUUGAACACUUGGCAUCCACGUAGCAAUCGGCCGUUGUAGUAGGCAUGUUCCGUUUCAAGGUCUGUGAUGGUACUACGGGCGUAUCUCUCUAGCACCUGACACCACUGCCAUAUUUCAUUAUAUGAGGCGUCCCACCUACUAUGCAUCUUCUCCAAUGCCUUUUGCUUAGCUAUCCAAGCCUUGGGGUAAGAGGGCGUGUACCCCAUUUGGCUACGGAUAUUGGUAAUUAACACCGACACUGAAGUCCUAGGAUCUGCUUUUAUCGUGGGCAGUAUCAAGCUAGCUAACAUAGCUGAAUCCAUUUUCGGAUGAUCUUGUGAAACACCUACAAAGGGAGUACAUUAAAUAAUUAAUAAUUACAUAAUAAAAGUAUUAUUCAGAUAUAGUUAAUACCAUACCUGCAGCACAUGUAUGUGGACCUUUGUACUUUUUUAUCUCCCACAACCCUGUCCUUUUCCUUAACGAGGCGUAGAUUUUCCAUGAACAUGUGCCGUCUUGCACCGCACACUUCGCCUCAAACUUAUCAGAUUUUGAUUUAACGACGUGGUAGUUAAUGCCGUUUUUGACGCUAUGUUGUUUCAAAGCACCAAUAAAACUAUCCUUGUUGGUAAACUGAUUACCAACUACAAGUUCACCGAAAUCUACCCCCGAACUUGUACGAUCACGCAACCGGUGUGAUAGAUCUGGAAACUCUAACGCAUCAUCUGCAGACAGAUCGACAUUAUGCAUGUGGGCUGGAGGUGAGUAUGCUCUGAAUCGUGGAUUUUCUUCCUCAUCUAAACUCCUGUCAGCAUCUUCAGCCUUUGUUGGAAUAGGCUCCGGUUCAGAAAAUAAGCCAACUUCUGUACCAUUCGGCCCGGGCUCUCGAGAUGGAUCUACAUCCGAGUCAUCUUCUAACCCACAAUCAUCUGCAGUGUAUGAGGUCCCCUCACCGGUUGACGUUGUAGGGAGUACAUCAUCCCUUCUUCUGGGCAUUUGAUAACGUCCUCAAUUGGAUGUAAAUUGCCACCCGCUAGAACUUGAUACCGCUCCCCAGUAUAUAUUUCCAGCAUCAAACAUCGAGCCACCGACGUACAUAUCCCAUCCACCGACAGAGUGUCUUGCAGGGGAUGUGCAAUCGACACCGCUACCGAACAUGGACUGUUCUAUAUUUUGUAACCCGCUGACCGAGUGUCGGCCAGGGGUGGUGUAUACAUCUCGAACACUGGUCGCUGGUACAUCAGUUGGCGAUGUAAAUUGUGCAUAUAACUCAAUAUAAGCUGCUCCACUAGCAAGAUGAGUCUGCACCAUUGCGUCCAAGCUACGAGCACAUUUUAUGUCGAAUGAGUCAUAUGUUACCGGAUCAACAGAAGAACAAAAUCAUUACGUGAUAGACAGAACUUUCAUUGGCGUCGUUCCAAAAAUUUUACGCCUAAUCCUUUUAUGAAGUUCUGUCAAAUCUAUGUUCUGGUUAAAAACCAGUUGCACCGUAUUCUCUGACAAAAAAAAACACCAUUCUCGGUGUGGCAAACCUCACCAUCGUAGUAAAUAACAGCACUAAUACGUUCACUCAUAUUUGAAACUCUAACCUUCUUAGCCUUUCUAAAUUGUUUCUGCUGUGACUUAUGCAUUCUGAGACCAUUUUCUGCUUAAUUUAUAGCCUCAGCCCAAACAUGCUACUGUAGCAAAAUUGCGUCCACGAGGGCGCGAUUUCACAAGUUCUUCAUAAAUAGCAUCCUGGUAGAAGCGAUUUUAUAUUACUUGCUCAGAAACGUAAAAAAAAAAUUUCUUACAUGACAUACUGUAGCAAAAGCGCGCUGACGAGGCCGCAAUUUCACAAAUUCUUCUCAAAUAGCAUCCUGCUAGAAGCGAUUUUAUACUAUUUGCUCAGAAACGUCAAAAAAUAAUUAUUUCUUCCGUGACCUACUGUAGCAAAAGCGCGUCCACGAGGGCGUGAUUUCACAAAUUCUUCUCAAAUACCAUCCUGCUAGAAGCGAUUUUAUAUUAUUUUAUCAGAAACUUCAACUCGAAAUUAUUUCUUCUAGGACCCUAAAACCCUAAAAAGCCUGAACCCUAAACCCUAAAAGCCAAAAAAACCUAAUGUGGGAAAAACCGCGAAAUCGCGUCCACGUCAUCGCGAUGUCAGUGCACGUCAGCAACUCACGCUGACGUGGAAGCGAUGUCCUGGCGCAUGCACUGACAUCGCGCUGACGUGGACGCGAUUUCGUGGUUUUUGGACCAUUCCGGUAAAUAAUAAAAUAAUGGGCCCAUUUCGGUAAUUUUUGAAAAAAAGGGCUUUUAUUGGUAAAUUGCCCAUCUUUUAAACGCAACUUAUUUAUUUAAAAAUGUUUUAUUUAUUUUUCGUUUCAAAGAUUUUUCUUUUCCUUCAUAUUACUUAAUUUAUACUUUUAUAUAUACACAUUAUUUGUUUUAUCUUAUUUAUAUAUAUCAUUUUUUUUAUUUUUUUGUAUAUUAUUAACCUUAAAUCUCUUGUUUUGCAUUAUCUAUUUUAGACACAUCAUUAUCAUUUUAAUUUUUUUUAUGUUUUAUUUUAUUUUAAUUUGCUUUAUACCUUCUAAAUUAUUGUUUAAUUUAUUGGUCUUUAUUUAUCGAUGAUUGUAUUUGAAUGAUGAAUGUUGUGAGAUUAUUGCUAUUGUUAUACUUUAUCUCGUUUAUUCGCUUUCAUAUCAUUGGCAUUCACUCGCAUAAAUAUUGUAUUCGUAUAUUAUUGCUCCGUGCGCGAUACUAUAUUUUAUUUCAUGUCAUUGCAUCGUGGAUGUUCCCACGAUUUUUGUUUGAUAUAAUCCACUUCAUUUCAUUACCAAAUGAAAUAAAUGUAUGCCUUUAAGUGUUGUACCCGCAACUAUUCAAGAAUAAUUUUUUGAAAUAAGACAUAUUUUGCGUUUUGGUAAUUCGAGGAGUCGUACCCUAACUUACGGGGCUUCGACUUUCUCGUUAAGCCUAAAUAGCAAAGUACCCUUUUAAAGCUUCAAAAUCAAAGAAAUUUCGUUAUAAGGAAACAUUUCGCUUUUCGGGUGAUUCGAGAAAUCGUACCCGAACUUACGGGGUUUUGAUUUUCUUAUUAAGCUUAAAUGGAGAAAUGUCCCCAUAAAUUUUAUUUCAAUAAAAAUUAAAGUCAAGUUUAUUCUCUAAAAUUUCAAAUGCCGCGCCCUAACUUACGGGGUGUAACAUUUCGUUACUUUGGAAUAGGCGGGUCUUUAACUCAUUUUCAAAUUUACUCAAAAUUUUUAAAUGCACAUCAAUAAAAAUGGAUUGUAUUUUAAUUUUCUUUUCAAAAUUUUAAAUUUAGGCAUUUAGACAUUUAUUAAUCAAUGAGGUACCAAUUUUUGGGCGCAUCGGGGGUGCUAACCCUUCCUCAUACGUAACCGACUCCCGGGCCCGAUCUCUUAAAUCAUCGUAGACCAAAAUUAUCGUUUUGAUAAAUCGAAAUAUUUUAUUAAAUCGACUAUUGCGAGGUGAUCCGAUCACACCUCAUCAAAAAAGAUUGGUGGCGACUCCCACAUUCGUUUUGAUUUUCCAAAACCCAAGUCGACCCCAUUUUCGCAAAAAAAUGGUGUCAACAAUAUAAAUGUGUAAAUUUAUCGGUAAACUUAAUUCGGUUUGCUUUAUGGUUUUAAGUUUUGUGUUCAUUUAUGUUAAAAUUAUUGAUAAUUUUUUUUAUGAAUUCAAUUAUGAUUUUCUGGACAUUCAUUGAAGUUGUUAUUUUUUUCGGUUUGGAUAUAUAUAUAUAUAUAUAUAUAUAUAUAUAUUUAAUUUUAUGGGUGUUUUGAUGUAAAUUCAUGUUAAAAUUAUGCAUGUUUAAGGGAUUUAAUUUUAAGUUCAGUUCUAUAAUAUUAGGUUUUGACAUCUUAUAGUUUCAAAUAUUUGGUUUAGGAUGAUAUGGUUUAUUGUAUGAAUUAUGGAAUAUGCCAAAAUUAUGAAAACAUGUGUUUGUUAAUUAUUCGGCCUUGAAUCACUACAUUAUUUCAGUUUGGUUUUGACAUAUAUGGUUUUUUUUUAAUCAGUCAAAGUUUAAGGUUUCUAGUUUUUUAAUUGCACUAUUAAGACAACCUUAUUUUGAGUUAUUUUAGAAUCUGAAAUGCAAUAAAAAAUUUAGUUUUGACCUUUGACUAUUGGGUAAAUUUUAAAUUUGAAUAUUGGUAUAAUUAUAUAUUUAUUUUAAAAUAACUUAAUUAAAAUAAUAAGUUGCCAAAGUGAACUCUAAUAUUGAAAUUAUUUUGUUUUAAAAUAUAAAAUGUUGUGUGUAUGUAACUUAAGCUACAUUAAUGUUGAUUGGCCCAAAGGAAGAUUAAUAUUUAACAAAAUUACAUGUGCAACUGUUGCAAUAAAUAUGUGACGAUUAUUUGGUUUUACAUGUGAACAAGAACUCGGCCAAAGGAAGAUUCAUUGUUCAACAUGUUCUUAUUGUCAGCGUUUGAUUACUACACCAAGAUAUCACUUACAAGUUAAUAUUUUUUGUCCAAAGGUGAAAUAUUAAUGGAGUGUUCGAUAUCUUAAGAUGGGGCUUACCUUUAUUCAAAAAUUAUUUUGGUUAAAAUUUGAAGUCUUAUGUGAGGUUGUUUUUGAUUUAUUCAACUAUGAUUAUAUUUGCCAACAUCAUUGUAUGUUGUUUUGGGAUAAAUAUAUAUACAUAUAUAUACUAUUAUCUUUUAAUUUGAUUGAAAGAUGAAAUUAAGAGAAAUAUUUUGAACAAAUAAAUUUAGAUUUUGACAUUGGGAUCUAAUUAAGAAUGUCUAAUAUUUUAAAUAGAUUAGUUGAAACAAAAUGUCGCCAAAGUGAUCUCUUUUGCGUAGAUUAGUUUAUUUAAAAUAUAAAGAUGAUUAUAUGUUUUUGUGGUUCAUGCAUUUAUUAAUUGACCCAAAGGUAAGUCCAUAUUUGGAAAAAUUUCAACGACAUAUGUGGUGAUAAAUGUGUGACAAUUAUAAGGUACUUUAUGUGAGCAAUAUGUUAGUCCAAAGAUUAAUUCAUUGUUAGACAUAUUUUAUUGUCAAUGUUUGAUUGCUACAACAAGAGUACUACUUACUGUUAAUAUUACUAUCCAAAGACUUGAUAUUAAUGUUGUGUUUGGUAUCUUGAAAUGAGAUUACCCAUUAUCCUGAAUUUAUUGUUUACUUAUGAAUAUCGAUGUAAGCUUGUUUUUAUUUAUUUUUUGUUCUAUAUUCAGCUAGUUAAUCUUCUGCUGUCACAAUAUCUGCUAAUAUAAAUUCUCUACCCAUACUUAAUGAGACUAAUUUCAAUGAAUGGAAAAAGCACUUACUUAUAGUGCUUGGCUAUAUGGACAUAAACCUUGCACUAAGGGAAGAACAACCCACACCUCUUAUUGCGGAAAGCACCCCUUAUGUUAAAAGGGAUUUUGAGAGGUGGGAUCCUUCAAACCGCAUGAGUCUAAAUAUCAUUAAGCACAAUAUUCCAGAAGCCUUUAGGGGCAUAGAAUUUGAAGAGAUUGCUCAAGCCAAGGUCUCUUUGACGAAAUUGAGAAACGUUUUGCUACAAACAAUAAGAUUGAGAUAACAUCACUUUUGACUUCUUCGAUGUCUAUGAACUAUAAGGGUCAAGUAAAUUCUGAGCGAUCUAGGGGCUAUGAGUUUUAUGAUCCCAUUAAUUAGGAAUAUUUUUAGAUGAGAAUUGCAACAUUUUUUUUAGGAUGUUGAGUUUGGAGGAAAAAAUAAGGUUAGAGACAUUGCUUUUGGGGAUGAAUUGGAUUCUAACUCAGUUCUUACUAUCACUUUUGACUUUAUUCAGGUUCUCAUGCCUAUAAUUGAUUAAGAAGAGACUCUAGAACCUUAACAAGACAAUGUUGAGCAAUUCCCUAUUCAAGAUGAGGUAAUUGUUCCAUAAGAACAAACUUAACAAACCUCAAGAACGAAUGUCAUUAAAAAGGUCCACUAGAGAAAGGGUUAUAACGGCUUUAGUUGAAUAUUUUGACCUUAAACUGUAUUAAAUGAAUGUUAAGUUAAUGGCUUCUUAAUGGUAAUAUUGAUCAUACAUUUAUAUGGUGCAACUAAAAAACUUUGUGUCUGAUGAUGUAAAGUUAAUUAUUUGCAAAUUAAAUAACUUCAUCUAUGGGCUUAAGUAGACUUCUCGUCAAUAGUAUUACAAAUUUUACCAAAUGAUUAUCUUAUUCAAUUUAAAGAUGAAUUUGAUAGAUAAUUGUAUAUACCUCAAGUUCAGUGGGGGUAAGGUUCUAUAUUUAGUUUUAUAUAUUAAUGACAUACUACUUGUCAAUAAUAAGUUAAGCCUUGACCAAUACCCCAAGAAUGAUUUUAAGAUUAAGGAAAUGCAAAAGAUUCCCUACGUCCGAAGAGUAGAGAGUCUAAUGUAUGUUUAGGUUUAUACACAUUUGGAUAUUGUGUUACACUGUUGGGAUGUUAGGCAGAUAUUCAGGCAACCUUGGUUUGAACCAUUGGAUAGCAUCGAAGAGGAUUAUGAGGUAUCUUCAGAGAACAAAAUAUUACAUGCUCACAUAUCGGAGGUCUGAUAAGCUAGAGAUCAUCAAGUAUACAUACUUUGAUUUUAAUGGGGUAUUGAUGCAAAAUUUUGUCACUAGGGUGCAAAUUGUAACAAUAAUUGGUAGUCCUUUAUUCUAAUAACAACAAGAGCACAUUAAAGUCAAAACACACAGACUUUAAGUUCCUAGUUGUUAAAGUAAAAGAUCAAAGUGGUUAGGAGCCUAUAAAGCAUAUUGGGACAAACUCCAUGAUUGUGGAUCCGCUUACUAAGGGACUACCACCCAAGGUUUUUCAUGAGCACACUACUCAUAUGGGAGUAAUGUCAUUUGAGGAUAUUUGGUUUUAGUGAGAGUUUGUACUUUUUAAUGUUUUUAUGUUAUAGACACAUUUUCAAUUAUUUUAGCUUACGAAUAUUAAGUUUAUUUUCUGCAGAAAUAAAAUUUAUUUAGCUUAUUUACACUCUGAUUUUGUAAGGUUUGAUCUCACUAAGACUUAAGGAGGACUAGUUGAAAAUAAAUAUGUUUAGAUCAUAUUGCAUGUAAUUUUCAUGCUACACAUCCAUACUUAUUCUAUGUCAUUUGGUUGUGUUAAUAUACGUGAUCAGGGAUGGAUUUAGUUACGAUAUAUGCAACGAAAGUUGGCUUGGUUCUAUGUUAACAUAAUUAAUGGACGAGAUUGUUCAAAAUACCUUUUUGGAUAUGAUAGUAAAGUUUUGAGCUCAUAAGGUUAUAUAAUGACAUGUAAUUAUAGAGUAAUUAAUAUAUGUGGUCCAAGUUGGAGAUUGUUGGAAAAUAUGGACAUCACAUAUAUAAUAAGGGUAAUUACAUGUUAUUAUUUACUAUCAUAAUAGGCUGGCCCAAAUUAAAAGUGAUCUAAUUUAGUUAAGAUUUAUUGGCCUUUAAUUAUUAAAUAAAGUCUGAGUCAAAUAUGUGUAGAUACUCUAGUAACUAAUUUCUAAUUAAUGAUGGACUGAUUAAAAAUUAGGGUUAAUGUGCAAAAGUUAUAUAUUAGGGUUAUGGUCCCCAAAUUACAUAUAAGAUAACUUUUCUAAUAUCUCAUCUUUAGUAAAGAGAUAGCAAACACUCUUUGAAUUUCUCGUGUGCUAAUUUCGAAGAUCAAAACCGCAAGAUCCGUAGAUUUUAAGAAAUCGAUGAAUUCAAGUACGCUUUGGCAUCUAGUUUUGUUCUUGAUUUUUUCUUGGUGAUUUGCCAUGAUAGAUCCUAGUUUAUAGUUUUAAGUUUAUUGUCCAAGGAAUAUAAAUGCGAUAAAACUAUACUUCUAAUUAAUAUUGGAGUCCUAAAGUACAUCAAACUUAUCUUGAUCUUGAUGGAUAUCUAUUUAAUAAAAAAAUAUUUAUAACACUCCCUUUUGAUGUCUAUUGAUAGAUAAUGUGCCUCGUUAAAAUCUAACUAAGAUAAAACUUUGUGGGGGAAAUUUCUAAUGAAGGAAAAAGAGUACACAUAUCUAUAAUACACAUAACAUUUGCCUCAUUAAGAACCUUACUAGAAAAACCCAGUGGGACAAAACCUUGGUUAAGGGAAAAGAGUACAAUGUGUAUUUACUCCCUCUCAUUACAAUAUCACAUCAUAUAUCAUAUUCUACGCAUUCCAAUCUUGAAUACUAGCUUUUCAAAUAAUCACUUGAAUGAAUUUAACAAACGUUUAUAUUAUUAAUCUUCUGAAUGUCAUGAGUGAGGAAAUUUUUGGGAAAUAUAUUUUGAUCUCUUUAGGAGUCCCAACAAUAAUCAUAACAAACUUUGAUAAUAAUCAUUCUAUAAAAAUACAUAUAGGUAUUUUGGAUAAUUUUAUAAUCUUCAUUCAACUACUAUUCACUAGGUCAAAUUUACCAUAUAUUUGCAAAUCGUUUCAAUUUAUGUAAAUGUUUACGCAAACAUAUUGGAUAAUUUCCUGAUAAUUUCUAUAUGGUUCCACAUUCUAAAUCCUUCAAGUAUUUUAGUAUAAACUUCCACUAUAUAAUGAUUUAUAUAAAUAUUGUAACAACAAUCAUAAGAAGCAUGUCAAAUCUUUCAUGAAUUGCUACACUAAUAAUAUAUCUAAAGGUUAUUACAUCGACCACUAGAGAAUAUCUUUUCAUAAUCAUUUCUAGGAUUUAACAAAAAUCUUCAUUUUUCUUAUUUCAUUUUCACAAAUCUACCUAUUUGUACCCCUACUGGCUUUAUAUCUUUAGACGUUUCGGCUAUUGGUCUAAAAACUUCAUGAGUUUAACUAUACUUGAAUUGCGUGUUUCCAUUUUGUCCAAUCUAUUUCAUGUCUAUAAUUCUCAACAAAUUUAUUCAAGAUCCUUAUUUUAUUUCAUUAUCUUAACAAUAAAAUUGCAUGAAAAAUCGUUGUCAACGACUUUUCAUUCUUGCGGUUCCAUAUUUUCUCGUAUUUAUAGAACUUAUCAAUAUCUCUUUAUUUUCAUUAUUUCCACCAUCAAUUUCAAAUACCUGAAUCUCUUAUGGAGCUUUAAUGAUUAGUUAUGUCUUGGGUUUCUUCGGGAGCACUUGUCUCCACUAUAUGACCAUCUAUAUUUAUUAUUUUCUACAAGAAUUUCAUCUUCUGAAUCCAAUCAAUCUACUAUGCUUCAAGCUUGCAUUACUUCCAUUUAUACAAAUUGUCAUGUUGAGACUUUAAUUCAAAUCAAAACAUUAGUUGGUAUAUAAUAUUUGGUUGUUUUCAUUAUGUCAGAAAAUACAUUUAGCAGUUAACUUGCAAUAAAGUGAAUUAUCAUUUUUGAACAUCUUGUUCAAAUUACUUUGUUUAUUAAAGUUUUUCUUUUACCCUAAAGCCAAAAUUAUUUAAAAGUUAUAUCGAAGUUUCUAUAACUACAUUCUUUUACGAAAAAAAAAUGGAUAAGAAAGUACAAACAUUAAUAUUAUUUUAGUAGCAAAAAUAACAUAACUAAACAUAUUUGGCUAUUUUUUUUUGGUUUUCUUUCAAUUUUUUAAUAUGGUUUUAAAAAUUUUCAGUUUAGCCCUCAAAAAUUUAAGAAAGAACAAAAAUCAACUUUCUUUUAUAAGUAAAAUAAUUUAAUAAUAAAAAUGAAUUAAUAUUAGUUAUGAAUGUGAAUUAUAUUUUGUAUGUGAAAUAAUUUUAUCUAAUUUUAAAAAAUAUAGUUUUUUAUUAAUUAUUAUUAAUUGAUUCUUAUUAAAAUUUAAAAUGAUGAAGACCUAAAUCUUAAUUUAAUAAUAGGUUUUAGAGCUUGGAGUUGAGAUUUAUUUAAUAUGUGUUAUCAUUGUCAUAGUAUUUUUCCACUUAUAAUUUAAAAACAAAUCAAUUCUAAAAUUUUAAAGUUCAAAACAAGUUGAAAUUCAAAUUCAAAUUUUAAUUAUUUAAACAAUGAAUUUGAAUUAAUUAAAAAUCUUGCAUUUGAUUGGAAAUCAUGAAUUUCAAAUCUAAUUUUUGAAAAUCCAAAUUCAAGUUUAAAUUUCCAAUGGCUACUUAAUGGAAUUUGGAAUCUCAUAUAAAUAUAUAGAAAUUCUUAAUGGAAUCUUAGAAUCUCAUACUCGUUAACAAGGACCACGACAUUCAUGAUCAAACUUUGACUCAAUUUCAACCUUUUCCCUUAUUCACUAAUUAUAUAUAUACUGUAGUUUACAAAAAAAAAAAUCCUACGUGGCAUAGCUUAUAAACUAUCAUUUGUUAGGGUGAUAAUAUGCACUAAAGAUUUUCGAAAUUAUUGCACUCAUCAAAGAGAGAAGGCAAAUUGCAAGGCGCAAAGGUCUGUCAGGGAGUCCUUCUGUGACACUUUUUUUCGCAGAUGAUAGCAUUGUCUUUGGCGAAGCCACUGAAGAUGGGGGUCAAGACAUUUUGAGGAGACAUGAGAGUGCAUCUGGUCAACAGGUUAACUUCUAAAAGUCCUUGAUUUUUUUCAGUUCCAAUGUUCCUGAAGACACUUGUAAUCAGGUUACACAUCAGUUGGGUGUCAGAAGAGCAUUUUGUAUGGAACGCUACUUGGGUCUCCCAACCAUGGUGGGAAUGAGGGAAAAAAGAAGAAGCUUCUUAGCAGAUUUGUGAUCGGAUGAGGGCGAAAGUUAAUAGUUGGGAUGCUCGGCUGUUGUAGUAUUACAAGCACUUCCAACGUACUCUAUGUCGUGUUUCUUGCUACCCAAGACUUUGUGCUCGGAUUUAGACAAGAUUAUGAAUUGAUUUUGGUGGCAGAAAAGCUCGAGUCCGAAAGGAAUGCACUGGAGUAAAUGGGCCGAUUUGUGUUUGCCAAAAGAGAGUGAAGGUAUGAGUUUCUAAGAUUUCUGUAAAUUCAAUAUUGCACACCCUUCGUAUGUUUGGAAAAGCAUAUAUGCGGCACGAAAAUUUGCUGGAAGACGGGAUUGGUUCGAGAGUGGGAUUUGACACCCAAAAUUCAGUUUGGAGAGAUAGAUGGCUUCCGCGAUGAGCUGGUGGACAAAUUCAACAAACAAGAGUUAAAUGGGAAUAUAGAAAGGGUGGCAGAUUUGAUAGAUCACUCGUCUAAAAGUUGGAAGGAAGGGCUCAUUACCAGUACUUUUACUCCUGAUGAAGCUGCAGCCAUUCGGUGUAUUCCCUUAUCCAAAAGGCUUGAUGUUGACAAGAUUGUUUGGUGGGGUGAGAAUACAGGAGAAUACUCUGUCCGGAGAGGCUAUAGAACUCUAAUCAGCAACCAGAUGACAGUGGACGACAUACGUGGGAGCAGAGAAAUUAACAAAAAACUCCGGCAAUUACAGAUUCCUCCUAAAAUAAAAAUUGCAAACAGGCAAAUAAUUACAUCCCUAAAGCCUAUAUUCUAUACAAAAAAAGGAUUGCGGCCUCCUCGACAUGUCCCAGAUAUGGCGGUGAGCCUGAAACAUCGAUGCAUGUCAUCACAAGGUGUGGCCCUGCAAAAGAGGCAUGAGAUUUAAUUAGUAUUGGUUGGCCUUCAAGUCUUAAUACUGAUUAUAUGUGGGCCUGGUUUGACUUUGUUUUUAAGCAUGGAAGUAAUUAUACCUGCAAAGUUGUAGCGAUCACAGUUUGGGCAAUUUGGCAUGCUCGAAACAAGCAGGUCAUGCAAGGCAAGCAACAAACAGCUCAGGAUAUUACUAUCAGAGUGGCUAGUCUAGUACGGGAGUUUGAUGAGAUAAACCGGAAAUUACUUGACCAGAGAGAGACCAUGAAAACUCACUAGAAACCUCCACAGGACCCAAACGUAAAAGCGAACUUUGAUGCAGCGUUCAAACCGCAAAUACACCAAUUGUGCUCUAGGUUCGUUAUCAGAAAUGAGAUAGGGUUAAUAGUGGGCAGUGGUGCAGUUAAGAAUGAUUAUAUCUCAAACUCUUUUUCUCCUGGAGCUAUAGCAUGUAUCCAAGCUCUAAAGUUUGCGGAAGAGAUGGGAUUUAGACAGCUUGGAGUGGAGGGCGAUUCCCAAAUUAUAAUCGUGAAAAUCAACCAGGGCGUAGUAGACAGAUCUAAUAUGGUUGUCUAUAUUGAGGAGAUUAAAGCUAUGGCAACAUGCUUUCAAAGGAUUUCCUUCAAGCAUGCAGACAAAAAUGCUAAUGGUGUAGCUCAUAUAAUCGCCCAGUAGAGAUUUAAUUUGACUGAAAAUACGUUUUGGGUUGAGGAGGUACCUCUAGAGGCAGUCGAAGCGGUGAAUCAAGAUAAUCAAAUUCCGACUCCUUCAAAUUGAAGCAAGAUGAUCUCUUCCCAGCUAAUGCAUGGCUGUUAUGCGAUCCGAAAAUGGGUUAUGAAGCUUCGAGAUUUCUUUCUGGUUUUGUGUUUUUUACUGUUUCGACCCUUCAGCUCACCCAGGCUACCCGGAUAUUUCUUUUGUUUAUGGUAUUUAUUUGUGCUGUUAGUACUUUAUUAAAUGUUCUGUUUUGGUUUUGUUUAUUAAUAAAUAAUAUCUUGGUAUUUUCUUUCAAAAAAAAAAGGAAAAAAACUAUUUACUAUAAUUUAAAAAAAAAAUCAAUUCUAAGGCAAAUUCCUUAUAAGAAAUAUAGUGAUAAUUUUGGAAUAAAAAAAUCCAUAUAUUUUGUUAAUAUUUCCAACAGUCUCAUUGUAUAAUAAAAAGUAUUGUAUUAUAUGUAGUAUAAAAAUCGAUUACGGGAAUAAAAAAUUCAAAUUCAAAUUACAAUUUACUUUUAUUUGAUAUAAAAUCUGAAAUGGAAAUUAUAUAAUUUUUAUUAAUUAUAAUAAUAUGAGAUUACAUAAUAUUAACAAUACAUAUUGCUUACUUAAGAAAAAAUACAAUAUGUUGCUAUAUUUAAUUAAUUAAUUAAUUUUAAAAAUAUUUAUAUUUAUUGGUCAUUGUAUCGAUGCAUUUAGAGUUACAUUUUAUUUUCAAUAUUUUAUUAUUCGUCAUAUUUUUGUUGAAUGAAAUCAACACAAGAUUAUGCAUAUAUAAAUGUACUUUAUUUUGCAUCAAUAUUUUCAUGUGAUAUUUAAUUUAAAUAAUAUAUGCUCUAAACCUGCAUUUAUUGAAAUAAAUAUGGAUAUAUUAAAUAUACACUCAAAAUACAAACUAUAAACUUCAAAAAUAUCUUUAAGAAUUAACUUUUAAUGACGACAAUAUUAAAAUUAUUUUAAACUUAAAUUAUAUUUUUAAAUAAAGACACGUUUUGAUAUCAAUAAUUAAAGUAAAUUUAUAUUUUUUUCAAAAACCAUUAAUUUCUUUUCAUAACAAUAUGAGAUUACAAAAAAAGAAACAAUUUCUAUGUGGCAUAACUUAUAAAAAUCUAUUUGUUAUGAUAAUUAUUUGUCACGUGUAAUUGUUUACUAUAUUUAAAAAAUCAAUUCAAGGUAAAUUUCUUAUAAAGAUAUAAUGACAAAUUUGGAAUAAACAAGUUUCAUAUAUUUUAUUAAUAUCUCGAACAUCCUCAUUGUAUAAAAAUGUAAUAGACUAUAUUUGGUAUAAAAAAUGAUUACCAUAAUAAAAAUUCUAAAUUCUAAAUUCCAAUUCCAAUUUAAUUUAUUUGAUUUAAAAUCUAAAAUGAAAAUUAUAUAAUUUUAAUAAUUAUAAUAAUACGAUUCACAAUAUAUGUUAUUUACUUUUAAAAAACUCAUAUAAGUUGCUAUGUUUAAUUUAUUAAUUAUUUUUUUAAAAUAUAUAUUUAUUGGUCAUAAUAUUGAUGCACUAAGACUUAUUUUAUUUGAGAUAUAUUAUUAUAUGUUAUAUAUUUUUUUGAAUAAAAUCAACAAUUUUUAUAUAAAUACAAAGUUAUAUAUGGGCAUAGUACAAAAAAAAGGCCAUUUCUUAAAUUAUUUACGGAAAUGGGCCGCUCCAAAAAAUAAUUACCGGAAUGGAUUGAAAACAUUAAAACGCGUUGAUGUGGACGCGUUUUCAGGGGAAAACAUGAAAAAGCGUGCUAAGGUGGACGCGCUUUAGGCAAAAGCGCUAACGAGGACGUGUUUUUCCCCGUGUUUGAUUAGGAUUUUUGGUUUAUUUGCAAAUUAGGACUUAAGUUUAGGGUUUAGAGUUUGUUUUUUAAUUAGGGAUAGGGUUAGGGUUAGGUUUAGGUUUAGGGUUUGUUUUUUUAAGAAAAAAGAAAUUAGGGUUUAUUUUUUUAAUUGUUAAGUAUUGAUUUGAAAGAAAUAAAUUUGACAAGAUGUGAUAUGAAAAAAUAAAUUUGACGUGAUGUGUUUUGAAAAAAUUAUUUUGACGAAAUGGAUUUUGUUUUUUUUUAUAUAGUCAGUAAUAGUAUAGAAAAAGCCUCCAGCUGGACGCUUUUUCUGUAUUGUUGAUUUUGAAAAAAUAAUUUUGAGAAGAUGGUUCUGAAAAAAUAUCCUGGGAUUCCCGAGAAAUUUGAUAGUUGGGGUUGAAAAAUGCUUCAAGUAGGAUGCACUGUCAGCAAAAGUACUGAAAAAGCUCCCACCUAGACGCUCUUUUUAGUAGUGCUGGUGACAGUGCAUCCCACUAUCCCUUAGGCCAUAAAUGACUCAAAUUUCAUUCUCUUGUUGCAUAAGUUAUAGCAAGAGAAAUUGAAGAAGUUGAGAAGGUAUAAGUUGAUUUAUUGUGUUAAUAUUUAUACAAAUCAUUAUAUUUUUGCAUAAUGUUUUUUAUUUUGAAUUUCUUUCGACAGAUAAUUUGGUUGAAAAUGAGCGGACGUAUUAGUGUUGUUAUUUACAACGACGAUGAGGUCCGUGACACUGAGAACGACGUUGUUUUUUUAUCGGAGAACACAACGCAACUGGUUUUUAACCAUAAUAUAAAAUUGACAGAACUUCAUAAAAGAAUUAGGUGCAAAAUCUUUGGAACAAAGCCAAUGAGAGUUUUGUCUAUUAAGUAUCGAUUUUGUGCUUCGGCUGAUCCCGUAACAUAUGACUCAUUUGAUAUCAAAGGUUCUCGUGGCUUGAAGGCUAUGGUGCAGACGCACCUCGCUAGUGGAUCACCCUAUCUUGAGUUAUAUGUGGAAUUUUCAACGCCAAAUGAAGCACUUGCGACUUCAACAUCUACUAUUGUUCGAGAGGAAUACAUGACCCCUACCCGACAUUCCGUUAGUGGGAGGUAGAACAUGGAACCGUCUAUUUUUUAUGGCAGUACGAAAUACACGACCUUGCACGACACUCUGUUAGUGGAUGGGACAUGCACCUCAGUUGGUCGAUGUUUAAUGUUGGAAAUACUUAUUGGGGAAUGGGAGCAACUUCUAGUGGUUAGAAAUCCACAUCUGAUUGGGACAUUCUGAAAUGUACACGAGAAUGGGUGAUGUACUCCCUACGAUGUCUCCCGAUGAGGGGACCUCCUACAUUGCAGAUGUUGGUGGGUCAGAUGAUGACUCCGAUGUGGAUCCACCCCAAGAGCCCGGUGCCAAUAGUGCAGAAGUUGCAUUAUUUUCUGAAUUGGAGCUUGUUCCAACUGAACCUGAAGACGGUGAAAUGGGUUAAGGUAAAGAAGAAGAAGAAGAUCCGUGAUUCAUGGCAUACUCGCCUCUAGCCCACAUGCAUAAUGUCGAUCUGUCGACAGAUGAUGCGUUGGAUUUUCUAGAUCUACCACACAGAAAGCGUAGCCACAUAAGUUCGUAGUUAGAUUCGGGUGAAUUGAACGUUGGUAAGGAGCUUUCUAGUAAUGAUGGUUUUUUCGGUGCAUUGAAGCAAUAUAGCAUCAUGAACAGGGUUAACAACCACGUGGUUAAAUCCAAAUCUAAGAAGUUCAAGGUCAAGUGUGCAGUGCGAGACGGUACAUAUUCAUGGAAAAUCAUGGCUUCUGUUAAGAAGAUGACAAGGUUGUGAGAGAUAAAGUUCACCGGUCCGCAUACAUGUUUACCUCUGAUACAGAAUCAUUGGGUGUUUAGGGUUUUUGAAUAUUACUGUUAUUAUUUAAUGUUUCAUUAUUUAACGUACUCAUGGGUUGACAGGUGUUUCACAAGAUCAUCCCAAGCUGGAUUUAGAGAUGAUAGCGGGCUUAAUACUAUCGAUGGUAAAAAUAGAUUGUAGGACUGCUAUGUCGGUCUUAAUUACCAAUAUUUUUUAACCCAAUUCAAGUACAUGCCUUCUUACCGCAAGGCCUAGAUAGUUAUGUAGAAGGCGUUGGAGACGAUGUAUAAUGGGUGGGACGCUUCAUACAAUGAGGUGUAAUAGUGGUGUCAGGUGUAGGAGAGGUACAUUCCAGGUUGCAUAACAGACCUUGAAACGUUCCUGCAUACUAUAACGAUCGCUUGCUCAUGAAUUCCAAGUGUUCAAGCGUCUGUUUUGGAGCUUUAAGUAAUGUCGGGACACAUUUUAGUACUGCAAGUCAUUGGUAACUGCGGCACAAGAUGGUGACGGGAGGAUCCUUCCUGUUAUGUUUGCAAUAACACCGGAAGAGUCAAGUGACGACUGAGAUUUCUUUUUUUCUAGGUUGAGGAGGCAUGUUUGCCCCCAACCUGAUAUAUGCGUUAUAUCAAAUCGAGGCACUAGAAUACUAGUCACAAUUGAACAACAGGGAAGCCUCUGGGAUCUUACACACCAUCGGUAUUGUCUAAGGUAUGUUACGUCCAACUACUACGGGCAAUAUUGAUCUACCGCUGAACGACGACAAGUGACCAACAUGGGCAUUUAAUCACCACCAAUAUUAUUUGGUUUGUAAUAUUCAAUUUGUUCUGAAUGGAAGAGUGGUAUGUGAUUAUCUCAAUCCAUUUAUAUUGACAGGGUACGAGAUCAAUAAGGACUAUUUUCAUGAGAUGUUUGGUGGCUUUUACAGUUAAUUAACGAUCAAGGCGCAAACUACCUCUGUAACAUACCUUUUGAUCAGUGGACACAAUCAUGUAAUUGCGGCCUACGAUAAGGUCAGAUGACUUCAAACCUGACUGAAUGCAUCAAUUUUGUUUUAAAAGAAACACGUCAUUUGCUGAUAACCUCGAUGUACGAAAGAUAUAUUUUCGUUUUACGACACUGUUUCCAAAACGAGUAGCGAGUUAUAAAGGCCAAAUGUAAAAAGGUCGUGUAUGGUGCCGGAAGGUAGUACAAGAAAUUAAUAAGGCCAAAGCACGGGGCAACUCCAUGCACACAGUGUGUCACGAUCGUGACAACCUAUGGUUUUGUGUAAUAGAGUUUGAAAAAUUGAACCAAGGUAUUUCUGGUGGACAAUAUCAUGUACACCUGAGAAAUAGGACUUGCGACUAUGGGAGGUUUGACGUACUUCGUUAUCCAUACGCUCAUGUAAUUGUAGCUUGUCAGAAUCUCUGCUUGGAUCCUAUGAGCUAUGUCGACGAUGUGUACAAAUUAGAAUACAUGUACAACGUGUGGAGACACGUAUUCCCACCAGUCUUAGAUGAGGGUAAGUGGUCGUUUGUAUCGCUUGUUCCAUUUAAAUUGUUAUUGGAUAGAGAAUUAUGUUGCAAACUAAAAGGUCGACCGUGCACGACUAGAAUACGUGAUAAUAAAGAUAUCUAGAAAAGAACAAACCAACAGAAGUUAUGUAGGUGGUGUAGGAACCAGGGUCAUACAAUGACAAUAUGUCCACAUCAAAAUAACUCCUAAUUUAUUAAAUAAAAUAAUAUAAAAAUAAUUUGUAAAAACAUAUUCAAAAGAACUUCUAUUUUAUUAAAUGAAACAAUAUAAAAAUAAAUUGUACAAAAAUAUUCAAAAAUAAAUCAAUGCAUGUGCCGGUCAGAAUCAGUGUCACAUGGGGGUAGUCGGUGGUUACACUCUGGAUUCCUUCUUGGUUCAACUUCUGACCGGGGUUGUGGUUGUUCGGGAUCAGCUUCUUGUUGUGGGUAUUGAGAAGAUGACCCACCUUGAUAGAACAAAGAUUGUAGAGGUGUUUGCAUCACCCAUGGUGAAUGAGCGUAACCGACUCGAAUCCCAUAAGGCGAUGGGGAUUGGAAAUGAGUUGAGCUCCCCGACGGUGCCUCGUGCGGUUCCUCCUAUGACGAUGCCCUAUAUAUCAUCGGUUGACUCUGAGUUAUCAAAAAAUGAGAUGCAUAGGGCCAUGUAUUCCAACCUUGCAUAGGAGUGGAAAAAGGAAACAUAUAAGGAUUAGUAUACACAUAAGGGCUACGAUACGCACUUGGCAUAAUCUGAUGGGGCUGUGGUGUGGGCAUUGUCACUUGCUCUGUUAGGGCCGGUGAUUGCGUAGGCACUGUUGGUAGGCCCACCUCACUAUCCAUUGUCCUUGGAUUUAAAGGGCCCCGCCAUUCUCUUUCGACACGAAUUUAUCGACGCCUCUUCUCUUUCAAGAGAAAAUAUGACUUGCCAUAGAUCCUAAAUCAUGACAUGUAAUAUGGACCACACGCUAACUCCAAAACAAUAAUUUGUUCCCGAGUAGGUAUGUUAUCAUACCGAUUUUCCCACAUUUCGAUAUAUUCUGAGUGAAAGACCGACCAAUGCGUAUUUGGUCGUUGUAAGUCAAUUUUGUGCUCAUCAUCGAGCACUUCAGAUGCCACGAGAAUCGGUUGUCAAAAUCUGAAUUGCCGCAACACUCUAUCUGUCUGGUGCAUCUCUACGGUAGCAUAGUUAACCAAUGGGACCCUGACAUGCCAGAUGUUCAGAUUCUGUAUGAAUUCAUCUGAAAUUACUGCCCAAAUUGUCAGAUCCUCGUAUGGUGUCCAUUGAAAUUAUAUGAACGUGAUAAAAAUAUUAGUUAUAUAAAGAAUACAAAAUCGACUAUGUUGUGUAUAUAUAGUUUAAUUUAAAAAAAAUACUUACAUGCACUUUCGACCGUUGGUCUAAUAGAAGCCGUAUAUAUUCAAGAGCGGUAGGUAUUCCCCCGUAACUCGGCGAAUGGUUCCACCUAUUUAAAUAAAAUUUUAGCAUAAAAUUAUAUUUUAAAUCUAUUUAAUAAUAGUAAAAUCUAAUAUAAAUUUUACCUUGUUAAGAGUGGGAAUGUAUACAGGUGGUCCAGUUGAGGACGUAAAAAUGGAAAGCGAAACCGAGCCCAUGAUUGUAAUAGUGAGAGACAACACGACAGACCCCAACUGAGUUUGCCAGCUGCUCUAAAAUCGAUGAGUUUCAGCAGUCGCCUUAGUUGUACGAGGUUUCGUGACUUGUCCGGUAUCAGAUAACCUUCGAGGUUCUGAAGGAUGUACGCUCAAGUGUAUUGUACUCUUUGUACUUUAGUCGAAUCAUCCCCCAGCACCAGGGAUGUGUCUCGUAACCAGCCCAUAUCGAUUCGACCUCCGUAAAUAAUAUUUGGAAUUGCACCCAAAAGGUCGUAACAUAUGACUCUCCUGUCAGCAGUUUGAACGGACCCGGUGAGCAUAGACCCACCCACCGGUAACACCAAUUGUAACUGCACCUCCUCCAGAGUGAUGGUACACUCCCCACAUGGAAGAUGGAAUGUGUGCGUGUCGGGUCUCUAUCUCCCCACAAACGCGCUGAUGAGUUUUGGGUCCAACUAGCACCCCCGGCCUAUAUAGGCCAUGUGCCAAAAACCCGCUUCCCUCGAGUAAUUUUCAAUCAACGGUGAUGGAGGACCAUGUAUAUUACGAAUAAAACAUUGUAACACUCGAUUUACCGGCUAUUAUAAAAAAUAUAAACAAUACAAAUUAAAUUACAAAAAUGAAAUAAAAAUAUUAAAUAAUAUUAAAAAUAUGAAAUUAACCCUUACCAUUUUCAUUUGGUCGACAGUGAUAUAUAUUUAUCAUUUAGACUAAUUAAUUGUCAGGUCAUUGCUAACAUGAUCCAAUUUCUUAGAAAUUAUAAAAAAAAAUAAUACUAAUGUAGACAAAAAUUAAAAAUUUAGAGAGCUUUGAGAGUUUUUUUGAGAAAUUUAGAGAGAAAUUUCGAAGAAUUUUUGUGUGAAAAAAAUGGGUGGGGGGUUUAUAAUUUUUUUUCCUGCCAACGGUCAAAUUUUUAAAUGGCCGUUGGAGGUGACCAUUAGGGGAAAACACGGGGAAAAACGUGUCCCCAUCAGCGCUUUUUACUAAAGCGCAUCUACGUCAGCACGCUUUUGCUGACACGGGGAAAAGCACGUCCCUGUCAGCGCGCUUUUCUGCGUUUUCCCUGUAAACGCGUACAUGUCAGCGCGUUGUAGUAUUUUCGGUCCAUUCCAGUAAUUAUUUUUUGGAGCGGCCCAUUUCCGUAAAUAGUUUAGGAAAUGAGCCUUUUAUGGUACUAUGCCCAUUAUAUAUGCAUAUAUAAAUGUAAUUUAUUUUUACAUCAAUAUUUUCAUGUGAUAUUUAACUUAAAUAAUAUACGCUCUAAAUGUGAAUAUAUUGAAAUAAGUAUGGAUAUAUUAAAUAUACACUAAAAAUAAAAAAAAUUAAACUUAAUUACAUUUCUAUCUAUAAUUAUGUUAAAUAAAUUAUAGGGAAAAAAUUAUAAAGCAAUUUGACACAAAUAUAUAUUUAGUUUAAUUCAAAUAUAUUUUUAAAAAUUAAAUUUUAAUAUCCAUAAUAUUAAAUUUACUUUAUAGUAAAAUUUUAAAUUUAAAAUAUUUUUUAAAUAAAGACACUUUUUUUAAAGUAAAUUUAUAUUUUUUUUCAAAUAUCAUUAAUUUUUUUCAAACCAUUAAUUAAUUUAAAGAAAACACCAAAGUUAUACUAUUAAUACACACAACUUACCUGUUCAAGAUGAGGAUUUCAAUUUUAAUUCACAAGUUUGUUGUAUUGUUUGGUUAUGAAAUUUUUUUGAGACUGGCCGUAAAUAUGGUUCAUCGGUUUCUUAAAUCUUAUUUAGAGUUAGUUUUGAAGAUGGUUUCAUACACAUUUGAUGUUUCAAAAAAAAAAUUAUAUAUUUUGUCAGGUGAGUCGAAGUUGCCUUUAGUUGAAGUUAAAAUUCGAUCAAAAUUGUAGACCUGAUAACGAAAUGAAGCUUGAAUAUAGUGGUCGAAAAUAAUUUGUCAGCUAUUUAUUAAAUGUUUUGAUUCAGGGUUUGGGGUUAGUAAUUAAAGUUUUGGAAUGCUAGAGGUUUAGGGUUAGUUUUUAAGGUUUAUGAAUAUUGGUUAUGGUUUGAUAGUGACAUGGGAAAAUUUCUCGGUGCUUUGAGUGAGUUGUCGAGACCAACUCAAGGUAUGCAACUUAUUCAAUGCAUGAUCCCAAAGGUUACUCAACGACAUUUGUAAGAUUUUUGGUCGUUAUGCUCGAGUGUUAGGAUCAACAAUAUUAAUCAUUUGUCUAACGUUAGGGUUCAAGAAAGUGAGCCAUGGUUUUUGGUCAACACAAACAAUAUUUUCAGUGGUUGUGUCUGUUGCGAGGAUAAACAAAAAGUUUAUUUGUUUGAGGUAAGCCAUUGAACUAGCUAGUGGCAUGGAUGAUAUUAAUGUAGUAAAAAUGAUCUUUAUGUUUUAUAUUUGUGACAUGGACCAACAAAAGUAUGGAAACGAACUCAAAUGACGAAUGAAUAUGGAUAUUUUAGCAAUCAUUGACUUCGGCUUUAUUUGUUAAUAAGAAAGAUAGGUCAUUACAAUUAUAUAUCAAUAAUCCUCGGUUGAAUAAGCUAACAAUUAAGAAUAAAUAUCUUUUGCCUCAAAUUAAUGACUUGUUUAGUCAAUUACAAAAUGUUUAAUUUCAAUGUUUUCUAAGACCUAUUUGAGGUCCAGAUAUUAUGAGUUGAAGGUUAGGGUGUGAUGUGCCAAAGAUAGCAUUUCAGACAUGGUACGAGCAUUAUGAAUUUUUAGUGAUGUCUUUUGGGCUAGCAAAUGUUAUUGUGGCGUUCAUGGAUCUCAUGAACUGCGUUUUUAGUUUUAUCUAGAUCAGUUUGUGGUGGUUUUUAUUGAUGAUAUCUUGAUAAAUUCGAAGUCUAUGGAUGAACAUGAUCAAAAUCUUAGAAUUGUGUGACAAGUGUUACAUGAGAAGUAGUUGUACGGAAGGCUUAGCAAAUGUACGUUUUGGUUAACCGGGGUAGUGUUUCUAGGACACGUGAUAUAUAAUGACCUGAUUUUCAAUUGUACCAGAAAAUAUGAUUUUGGAACCCUAUUUUCGUAAAUUAAGUUUGUAAAUAUAAAAUAGGAAUAUUUACGGAGUUAAUACAAAUAUAUGCUAAAGAAUGGUCAAGUAAUUUGGCCGAUAAAAUAGUCAAUUAAAGCUUAAAGACUACAUUUUAAAAGUACAAUCACUAUUGAGUUUUAAUUAAUAAAAAGUUUGAGGACCUAGAUAGCAAUUAAUCAAAAGUCUAAAAUGAUAAAUAAACCAUUUUGAAAUGAGAGUUAGUGGAUGAUGCUCCACAAGUAUGAAUAAUGAAUAGUUGAAGUAAAUUAAACCAUGAUUAGGUUAAUUAAGUUAAAUUAAUUAAGCUUUAAACUUUGGAAAAACAGGUUUGGAAAAUGCAGCGAAAGAUAAGUUUAAGGAAAAAUCAGACUUUUAAAUUUUUUUCAAAACUAGAACUUGAUUGUGAUAUCUAAAAUAAUAAACACUUAAUCAAAAUUAUACAUUUUCUAUUCAUCUAGGAUGAAUGCUUCGACUGAGUAGUCUUCUUCGCUAUCCUCAAGCUCACGUUUGCUGAGUUUGGGCUCAUUUGGAAAUAGAAAUUUUUCACAAAAAUUACCAGUGAGGUAAUUUCGUAAUUUCUCUAAACUUCUAGAUUAAAUUGUAAAUAAGAAAAUAUCUCUAGAAAUCUUCUAAAAUAAUGUAUUCAUAGAAUUUUCUCUCUAUAACUUUCUCUUGAAUUCAAGUAUGUGAAAAAUAAUGACCAAUAGUUCUCUUUAUAUGGGAGAGUUUAGAGAGUUCAACUAUAAUUAAACUUAUCACUUUAAUAUUAAAUUAAUAUAAUACUUAUCAAGAUUAAUACUAGAUUAAAUUUAAUAUUAAAUCCAUUAAAUUAAUAGAAUACUUAUCUACAAGAUAAAUAUUAAAUUGAAUUUAAUAUUAAGAUAAUCACUUUAAUAUAAAUUAAUAAAAUACUAUGAAGAUAAAUAUUGCAUUAAAUUUAAUAUUAGAACUAUUAAAAUAAUAUUAUUUUUGGAAUAGUUAAUCUGAAAUCAAAUUAUCCGGUAGAGUCCUAGUAGGAGUGUGAUUCCUCUAUUGCUCCAUCACCGAAGGACCACCUGCAGGCCACCGUCGUCGCCACCGGCACCAUCAUGUCCGAUGGUGCCAUCACAGGAACGACAUACUCUCGGGACACUUAGUCAGUUCGGUUCGGGCCAGUGGCAACCUUAUCGGUCUGGUCCUGCCACCAGUUGGACUGUCAACCCAGUUCACAUACUAGACCUGGUUCAACCAGUUUUUGGAUGUUGGUUUUGGGUUCUCGGGGCAAAUUUUCGAUCUCAGGUUCAAUUUUCAAGUGCAAUUACCCAUUAGACCAAUUGUUUGACUUGAAAAUUAAUUUCAAAAAAUAUCACAGUAAUUUUAAUUAAUUUGAUUAAAUUAAUUUUACUUGAUCAAAAUUACUUUUUCCCAAAAAUCACUUAGAUUUUUCCAAUUAAUUUUUCAAAAAAUUCUUUAAUCAAAUUAUCUAGUUGAACAAUUCUCACGACCACCUAAUUUAAUUCCACAUCGAAUAAAUCGACUCAAUUAAAUUAUUUCCAAAGCCAUAGAAUUUUCUUUUGAUACAAAUGAAGUCUAAUCGAGCUUUUGUUGAUUUAGCAGAGGGGUCAAUCUGACAUAUACAAUUAAGUUCGAGUAAUUGCUGUCGUUCUGACAGUUUUAUCAAUUAUAUACUUUUUACGAAAGCAAUUCAUCCAACUACUUUGUCCAAUUACCUUAUCAUGUCUAUAUUAACCUCAUAUGAUAUCCUUGAUUCUUUUUUGUUAAAUUCGCUAACUCAAUACAAUCCUAUUUUAUCUUAUUGUCACCACUGUGUCUUCUUAAUGAUUAAUAUGAUCACUGUCAACAAAUAAUUGUGAUAAAAUUUCUCAUUUGAGAACAAGCAACCAGUGGCCACGUUCCAUAUUUAUCAAUACACACAAUGCCAAUGAGAGGUUAUCGUUAACAUUUUAAUUGAGCUAUGAAUUCUAUUGUUGCUAGUAGCCUAGUGUUUCACUCAAUCCCUUAGUUAAAUUCUUGUUCUAUAUACGGAGCCCCAAGCUUAGUAUAGUGUUUCCCCCAAUCCCUUAGAGAAUGGCUUAUUGCAGAGAGAAAUAUUUUACAUAAUCUUUUUGUAUUAUCCCUCACUAAAAACAAAACUGGAAAAAUCUAAUUAUAUGUCUGUUUAAUGGCACAACUAGGUUUCCGUCGAUAUUCUUUAUUGUAGAGAGAAAUAUUCUAAUGGAAUGGUUAUUUCAUCGGCACUGAUAAUACGGAAAAGAUUGAUUUGCAUUAUUGGGAGCGAGUCGCCAGUGGUGGUUGUGCUAUCUGGGAGUAUGGAACCCGGUUUCAAAUGAGUGAGCCAAUUUUUUACACGUAUUUAAAAUUAAGUAUUUAAAAAUUUUGAGCUUUGAUUUGUGGUAGUCAUAUAAAAUUAAAUUUGCGAAAUGCAGGGAGAUAUAUUUGUGAUAGUCUUAUAAAUUUAAAUUUACCAAAUGUUGAACUACUUGAACGACAAGUGACAGAAGGUUCUCAUGUUCUGAUGUAGAAAAUCUCUAGAAAGUAGAAACAAAUAGUUUUGAUAAGGUUAACACAUUGGUCAACUCUAACAGUCUUGUUCAUGAGCUGUGUACUAGUGGUUGAACAUUUUCUUUCUGAAAUUUAUAUAGGUGUUAUGGCUGUAAAUUAUUUGAAUUAAUGGGUCCCCGCCUGGUUAUUCUGUAUGCUGGAUUUAGUACAUUGCAUGUUUGGUUAUGCUUUGUCAGGUUCAUGAGCAGCGAGAUAGCAAAGAAGCUGAUAUACUCAUUAAAGGUAGCAUAUCCUUGAUAUCAAGCUAGUUGAAUGUGAGCAAAUACAAGUUGUGGUUUGUUUGUUUGUUUUCAACGAACUUUAAAAUUUUUAUUAUCAAUCAUGAAAAUAUUUUCUGACUAUUAAAAUCUCUUUCCCCACCAAUGAAGUGGAGAGUGGACACUUCCAAAUAGUUUUGUUUGUUUACUUGUGGAAUGGUCUUAAAUACAUUCCAAGUUCUUCUCGUUUUUUCAUGUGUGUGUGUGUGUGUGGUUGAUCAUUCUUUAAAUAUCUUAAUAUGUACAGCUACUGCUUGAGUACUCUAACCUUUUUAAUCUUUUGACUGGAUAUAUUCAUCAGGAGAUGCUAAUCUUUACGAUGACAGAAUGUUGUACACAUCUAGUAAUCGUUGGUUGCAACAAAAAUACAUCAUGGGCAGAGCUGUUGGGUAAAUCAAACACCUAUAUAUUUCUCAAAGUGUUAACAAGUUCUAGAAGUGAAAACAUUUGUAAAACACUCUGAUUAGGAGUUUCUUGCAUCACCAUUUGUGCUGUAUGUUUUGAGUUUCAAGUUCAUCACACUCCAAUAGUAAAAUUACUCUUCUGUUUUAUUAUUUAUUGUAUUUUUAAUUGUAUAUAUCUUCUCUGAACUAAUGUUUUAUGUUUUCUGCAUGGCAGAAAGGAUCCCAUAACGUUCACUUAUGCUUACCUGAAGUUUGUUCUAAAUUUUUCCAAAAAUUGGGCUGCCUAGAAAAAAAAAACUUGAAAUAGGUUUACUUAGUACCAGUUAAAUCGAGCUUGAUUUUAGAUAAAUCUAAUUAUUAUAUUUAAGCAUGAUAUGUUCUAAUACUUUGAUUUAAGCUGUUGAUGUAUGUAUUCUAACUAUGGAAUAUCAUGUUCAAAUAUUCUACAAAGAAGCUAAUUAGGAGAUUCUACAGUUGUUGAUGGUAAUUGGAAUUUAAGAAUAUAGGCUUAAGGGUUUAAUUGGAAUUUAAGCAUGAUAUGUUCUAAUAUUUUAAAUUUAUAUUGAUGAAUACUUUCUUCCUAUAUUGACUUAAGUGAGUAGAUAUAUCAGUAGUGUACAUUUUUUUAUUCCACAAACAAUCUUAAAAAGUUGAGAUAUAUUUUUUAAUAAUUUAUUAUAACAUUAUAAGACACCUAAUUUACUAUAAAAUUAUAAAACAAUCUUAAAAAGUUGAACUGAUUUACAUAUCUUUGCCAUGUUCACUAUGGUUUGAACAGAUUAAGUUACUCUUAUUUUCAUGCAGAGCAUGUAGGAGCCAAAUUUGCAGUUCAAAUUCGAAGCCAUGCUCAAAAGUUUUUCUAUAAGGGUCAUUGCUUUAAGUUCAUUACAAGAUUUCCUUGAUUAAGUAAAUGUAUUAUAUCUUUUAUUACCAAGAUUUACUUGAUUAAGAAAAUGCAUUGUAUAUUUUAUUACCUUGCAUAUGUAUUAUUUAUUUUAGUUUUGAUUCUAAAUUUGUAUUUUUACUUAAGUGGUCCAACUUUUGGAUUUUAAUUGUGUUAUUAAUUUAUUAUUUUAAAUUCUAAAUUUAAAUUCAUUAAUUUUUAUAUUUAGUUUUAAAGUUAAAAUUUUCGUAGAAAAUUUAAUUUAAAUAAUAUUUUUUAUUUAUCCUUAAAACAUAAUAUAAUAUUUAUCAUAGAAAUAAAUAUUAUUUGAAAAAAAAUUAUUUUUUUAAAAGAUAUAUUUUUAGCGGCGUUUGUGUGAAAAGCGCCGCUAAAGGUCUAUUCUAUAGCGGCGUUUGUGGGAAAAAGCGCCCUAAAGCUCAAUAUCUUUAGCGGAAUUUGUGGGAAAAGCGCCGCUAAAGGUCCUGGUCUUUAGCGACGUUUGUGGGAAAAGCACCACUAAAGGUCUUGGUCUUUAGCGGUGUUUUUUUGUAAAAGCGCCGCUAAAGGUCAUGGUCUUUAGCGGCGUUUGUGGGAAAAGCGCCGCUAAAGGUUAUGGUCUUUAGCGGCGUUUGUUGGAAAAGCGCCGCUAAAGGUCAUGGUCUUUAGCGGCGUUUAUUUAUAAAAACGUCGCUAAAGUUAGCGACGCUGUCAUUAGGGGCGUUUUUGGCGGCGCUUCUCAAAGGCCGUAAAAAGCCUAAAAAAGCGCUGCUAAAAGCCUAUUUUGGUGUAGUGUACACAAGUCAUGUACCCAACAUACCAACUAUCAGCUUGAUCAUCUUUAGAGCAUAAGCUCCUACUUAUAUCAAAGCACAUGAGUUACAUACGCAUGGUCAGUGACUAACUCAGGGUUUAGGUAAAUCAUACCAUGAACAUCACAAGUGAAUUAAUUCACAAACGGAUUCAGAACUAAUUCAUCUUGGGUCCAAUUCAAUGUAUCAUUCUUCCAAUGAAUACAUCUAUGUCUUUACCUGUGGAGUUAACUGCUCCGAUAGCCAACACUAGCCACAUCCCCAAUUGGAAUUGUAGACGACAUAAUAAUCCUUCUAAGUAUUUGAAUCAAAUGCUCACUUUGAUUCUUUUACGAAAUUACAGACUCAUUUAGAUUAUCUACUGAAGUAAGUUGUCUUUCUCGCAAUGUAAACAUUCUUACAGUGCCACUUAUCACUAGGUUGAACUUAGACAAUCAAUGAACUAAUAUUUGCUUGUCACAAUUUCGCUAUGCAUGCAAAACAUAAAAGACAGAAACACAAAAGACAUAAUAGCGAAAUGUGAAAUUAAUUUUAUUUAUUUAUUCAUCGUUCAAAUACAUAGAAAACAAUCACAUGUUUACAACUAUAUGAGCACAUUUCCUAACAAUCAAAUGUUAGGGUCCAAAUAUGAAAAUAUCCCAAGAGUGUCGUAAAAAUUUAGCUCCAUUUUGGCAUUCCAUCGUCACGUCGUUGUGACGUGGGAAUAAUCCUCAACAUGACGUCGCCACCGUGAAUGCUCUUCCAUAAUCAUCGCGUCAUCAUGACGAGAGGAAGCUCCUUGUCACAACAUCAAGUGUAUUUUGGGCCUUGGCAGCUUUGUUGCCCUAUCAGGCUCCUUUGUUCUGUGGCCCAAUCGUCCUCCCUUGUAUUCUUGGACCCAGACUGGCAUCUUACAAACUUAAAUAACCCAUUAGUCGCUCACGAGGCUCGAGUCAGCUUACAGGUCAUCGAAAUAGCAGAAAUUGUGUAAAAACGCUUAUUUUAUUAACUUUUAGUUCAUAACCUACUAAUACGAGAAAUGCCAUAAUUAAUUAAAAAAGUACUAGAAAACAAACUCGUCAAGUGCAAAAAUGACCUAAAAUAACUACUACAUUUGACGUCAAGUUAGUGGUUAGCUAGAUAAAGCUACAACGAUCUCAAAAAUAUAAAUUUAUGAAAAACAGGUUUAAAAAUCAUUACCAUGCAAGAGUAAAAAGAUGAAAGCUCCAACUUCUUUUCUUUCUCCUUAGUUUUGGCCAAAAAGAUGAAGAAGACAAGUGAAUGGCUUUUUUUUUUUUCAAUUUUUAUGUUUUCACCUAUUUUUAUUACUUUAAUUAUAUUAUAAUAAAAUUUUUAACAUCUUUUUCAUUUAAAACCCAUACCAACAGUCCACUAUUAUAAAGAGAUGGCUAAUUUUCACUUUAAACCUUGAACCAUUACUAUUUAAGCCUUUUAGCUAAUAAAAAUCAACAUCGAUUAAUUUUUACAAUUUUUACGAUUUAGUUCUUGUACCUUAAUUAAUCACUAAAUCAGCAAAAUUACCAAUUCAAAAUUCAAUUCACCUAUACAAUAACUCCAUAAAUAUUUAAUAAAAAAUAUUUAUGGGCUCGAUUUAUGGAAAUGAGAUCUCGCUACCUUAAUUUCCAAAACCAUUAACUUUAGGGUCAACCCAUUUGUACUUUAGCUAAUUGUCGAAUUAACAAAUUUAUUAGAUCAAAAUCCAAUAUAACACUAUAAUAAACUCAUAAAUAUUAUUAAAUAAUAUAUACUGACUCGAUCAUCAGAAUAUGGGGUUUUGAAACUGUCAUCUCUGGUAUCACUAAAAAAUCAUGAAAAUGGUUGGAAACAAACCCUGGAGACUGAAAUGAGUACGAAUAGAUCGGUAAACUCCAGAAAGGGAUUGAAUGGUAAGUUAAAAGAUAAAUGAUGUAAUUUAAUCAUGGAAUUGAAUGGCUUUUUGUCUAUAAUAUAUAUGUAACACCCCAAAAUUGGGCCUAGAAGUGUCGAGAGUAUUUUAAGAAUUUUAGCUUAUAAGUAUUUAGAAUUUCGUAAGGUUAGUAAUUGAUAAUGUUUUCGACAAUGGUUAUUAGGAAAGUAAGUGAAUUUCUGAAAAUGAGUUUUAAAUACAUUUAAUUUUGAAAAUAGGAUUGAUUUGUAAAAGAGUCAAAAAUUGAGUGUUUUUAUGAAGCAAUUUACCCAAAAUUUUAAAAUAAACCUAAAAACCCAUUUCUUCAAAUUGAUUUCACGAUAGUUGCUCCCAUAGUUACUUGUGUCGUCCCUUCUACUCUCCCAUCUCUCCCAAUUGAUUUUUACUUCCAAAUCCUAAUCGCUCUUGAUUUCCAACAUCUUUUGAACCAUAAAUCUAAAUUGAAACCAAGAGAAACACCCAAAAACCUCACUAAUUUCAUCAUCUUCUUUAAGAGUGGGUUUUCUCAGAUUUGAGUCAAAGUUCGUAUUUCUUCCAUCAAAGGUAAUCAUUCAUCCUUCUAAUAGUUUUAGAUAAUAUAUGAUCUCUUAAACUGACACAUGUUUAAAUAAAAGUAGAAAAUUUUGUUGUUAAUGGUGAAUUUCAGGAUUGUGGAUUAGAAUGUUUAUAAAGUUACAUCAAAGUUUUUCGAUACCUUGAAACAUGUAGUUUUGUGUAGUUUAAAGGUUAGGAAUUAGUCGUAGAUGACUGUGUAGAUGAAUGAAAUUUGUUUCGUGCAAAAAGAUUAAGUGUAGAUCGAGAUAUACGAAUUUAAAAUUUUCUAUGUCGAAAGUUUUGGUAAAAAGAGAACGUAGCUUAGACCAUCUUUUUAUUGUUUAAGGUGAGUUAAUGAUUGAUUGUUUUUUGUAUGUUUGUAUGGUUUGUCUUGUUAAAGUGUUGGAGUCAAUAGGGCAUUCAACGAGUAGAGACAAGGCAAAGAAAAACUUGUCUGACCUUUUGGCGAAAUCAUAUUUCUGGUGAGUGUUUUGGAGUCGUUGCUUAUAGAUGAUUCAUUGCGUAAUAGAGAAUUUAGAUGUAGCCUAAACCCUACUUUAAAUUCUGAGAGUAAGUGUUCUCACACCUAUGAUUAAAUGUGAUAUAUGUUGGUUGUGCAAGUGUGAAAAUAUGAACAUAUAUGAGAUGCUAUGAUAUGUGCUAUAAGCUUGUGAUGCUUGUUGUGAAAGAGAAUAUUUGGGUAUGUUAUUCAUGCCAUGUGACAGUAAUUAUAAUGUGCUAAUGAUGUGAAUAUGUGCGAAAAAUCAGUAAGUAAAUAUGUGAUAAUAAUAUUGAUAUUUUGGCCUUGUGAUUUUAUGAGACCGUUGGAUAUAGUUGGCAUGCCAUAAGAUUGUGAGUACUCACCUUUGUGAUUUGAUUUUGGGGUGUUGAGGCCCAGAGACAGUUUUCAAAGAGAUAAGGGAAUGUGAGCUAAGCUCCAUUUACCAGGAUAUGUGUGUUUGGUGUUUUGGUGUUUUGGAGAGUGUUAGCUAUGAGCUUCACUUAUGGGACAUGAUUGACUCUAUGAGUCAUUUUGAGGUGUUAGAGAUUCGUGUAUCUGAUGUGUGGUGAUAGAGUCCACAUGAUGUUUCAUAACCUAAAAAGCCAAACUAUCAUAAAAUGUGACUGAAUGUGAUUAAAUGUGAUUAAUAUGUGAUUGGAUAUAUGCUUAAUUAAUCAUGUGGUUAACGUGAUAAAUGUGUAAUAGUAUAAAUGGAAGAUGAUUAAAUGUGUAAAAUAUGAUGUUAGAAUUAAAAAAUGUUGUUAAUAUGUGAUAUGUCUUCUUAGUCAAUGCAUAAUGACUUAUUUACGUAGUGGUUGUUAUGAGCAUUCACUAAGCUUGUUAAGCUCACCCACUCCUUUUUAACCUUUACAGAUAAAUAGUGCCAGUGUGAGCGGUGUGGUCUCGAAGGGUGAUCCAAGCUAGAAACUUUAGUAGCUAUGAGUAGCUAUUGAUUUAUUUAUUUGAGUUUUGGGAAUAAAAGGCAAUGUAGUAGAUGUUAUGUUGGCUUUGUUAUGAUUUUUUUUGUUUGCAUGCCUAAUGUGCUUAGGAACUUUGUGGACUUUAAAUAUGAUUUUUGGGACUAUUAUUUGAGACAUUUCAGUGUUUAUUUUAUGAGACAAUUGAUACAUGAUGUUUGGAACCUAUUUGGAAUCAUCUUUGUGAUAAUAUAUGCUGUGUUUUUAUGGUCUGGAAUAGAGGUAUCGAUACUCAAGUUUUAAAAAUGAUACAUUUGAAAUUUUCGAAGUGCAGGAAGUUAAUUUCACUAGUUGGUACCAAUAUGUUGCCAUGAGUAUCGAUACUCAAGGUAAAAUUAUAUAUACUUUUUCAGUGGUACUGAUAUUUUCCAAAAGUUUAGUUUUUAAGACGAGAAACAAUAAGCUAAAUUAGCAUUGAUAUUCCAAGUGGUAUCGAUAACACUUGAGAGAAUUAUCAAUUCCACUCUACCAGUAUCAAUACCUACGUAACAGUUUUGGGAUAUUUUGCUAAGUGAUCCUUUUUUUUUGUUUGGUGCUUAUUUUAUGAUUGUACAAUGUAUGUUAGCACAUUUUAUACACCAGAGAGUAAAUAUGACUACAUUUCAUAUGAAUGCCAUAAUAAUAAAGGAAACAAAAGGAUGUAUAUUUAAUAAUAUGUCAACUUAUGUUGUAUGUGAUGUGAAACAGUGGUGUAGCAUCAUGAUUUCGAGCUUGGUGACCGGGCCGGGUAUAGGGUGUUACAUUUGGUGAUAUCAGAGCCUAGGUUCAAUAAUACUCAGAACUAGGUGAUUGUUGUGGAUAUUCUGAUUGGGGUUUUGCAACCCAUGGAUCUAAAAAUUAAAGUGAUUAAAUUAUUUUGAUUGAUUGAAUUGCAUGAGAUAUCUCUUGUUUGUAAUGCAUGUAAGGUAGGGAUGUGAUCACAUUGCUUUUAAUCCUAAAUUUUUCUCGCAGAAACGUGACUUGGAUCAUUUCCCCACCACUCACACCUUUUUAAUUGUUUGUGUAUGUGAGGCUAGUUUGAUAUGCCUCUUAGACGUGUGAAUGUAAGAGUUGAUGCUCAAAAGGAUGGUACAUCCUCUACACCUCUUGUGUCUUCACGUAGGAUAAACAUACCUAAUGAGGGUGUAGGCCCUUUGAUGGAAGCGAUAAUUGGAGCAUUUCAGCCGAUUGCUGGUGCUAACCCUGCUCCUGUACCUGUGAAUCGCGGGUUAUCGCUUGAAUGUCUUCGGGCGUUAGGUGGUAAAAAAUUUUCUGGAGUUAAAGGGAUCAAUCCGAAUAUAGUUGAGUACUGGUUAAAAGGAGUUGAAAGGAUCCUCAAGCAGAUCUCAUGUUCUGACGAGGAUAAAUUGAGUUGCACAUUGUCCUUACUCGACAGUGAAGCUCAUUAUUGGUGGAAUACUGUCAAGAGAGGUACAACUGCUGAUCAUCUGACUUGGGAUUAAUUCCUUGAGGUAUUUAGGGGGAAGUUCAUGGGUGAGCAGUAUAUGGAAGCUCAUAAGCGGGAAUUUUUGGACCUUGUGCAAUGUGGAUUGUUUAUGGCUAACUGUGAGGCAAAGUUUGUGUGACUUAGUGAGUAUGCUCCUGAGAUGGUUUUGACUGAGAAAGAAUGUUGUAAAAGGUUCCCUUUGGGGCUCAAUCGAGAGAUUUGGGUUUACUUAGUGGCCUAAAAUGCAGAGUUGUUUGAUAAGACUUUGGCUGAGCCAACUCGUUCUGUGGUGGCUGAGACUAGUAAGAGGGCUUCUGAUGGUGCUUCUGGAUGACCGCCCAAGAAAGGGAGAGAUAAUUACAGUUCUGGUAGGGGUGCAAGACAUGGGUCUCGACCGAGUCAGUCUAAAUAGUAGAGUAAUGUUGUGGUUAACACUGGUGGUUUGACUGGCCACUUUGUGUGCAUUGUGAUCGUAGGCAUCCUGGAGAGUGUCGUAAGUUGAUAGGUGGUUGUUAUAAGUGUGGUUAGAAAGAACAUUUUCUGAGGGAUUGCUCGAAUAGAAUUAAGGUUUCACAGACUCAGAGUUUGGCACCUGUUUCUGUGCCUACUAAAGGCUGAGAUCGUGGUAGAGGUAAUGUGAGACCAGUUGGAUGUCGGAUUGUUGCUCACACUGUUUCUUCAUAAGUUAAGUCUAGAGGUCCAGCUCGGGUCUAUGCUGUUAGGGAACCUGAUGAUCAAGAUCCAACUAAUGUUAUCACAAGUACUUUUACUUUGCAAUAUAUUCCAUUGUUUUCCUUGGUUAAUUUUGGUUCUACACAUUUGUAUAUUUUGAUCGAAUUAGCUUUUAAGUUAGGAAUUCCUGUAGAUAUGAUUGAUUUGUGUAUGACUGUAAUUAGUUCCUUUAGAGAUAGAUUCGUUGUGAAUAAAGUUUAUCGUAGAUGCCCCCUUAUGAUACAAGGGCAUGUUUUCUCUGUGGAUUUCAUGGAACUACCGUUUUAUGGUUUUGAUGUUAUUUUUGGGAUGGAUUGAUUGAUUGAACAUAAGGCUAAGGUAGAGUCUGAGAUGAAGCGAAUUACUUUGAGAAAUAAUGAUGGGCUGGAAAUUGUUGUUGGUGGUGAAAGACCAGAAUUUUUGUCUAAUGUAGUUUCGCCAAUGAAGACUGAAAAGAUAUUCGCACUGUUAAGGAUUUUUCUGACGUGUUUCCUGAAGAGUUUCUUGGUUUUCCACCUGAUCAUAAAGUCGAGUUCGGUAUUGAGCUCUAUCCUAGUACUGUAUCGGUGUCUAUUGCGCCUUAUCGUAUGACACCAAAAGAGCUCAAAGAGUUAAAGAUUUAGUUUCAAGAGUUGCUAGAUAAAGGAUUUAUUUAACUGAGUGUAUCUCCGUGGGGUGCACUAAUUUUUUUGUGAAGAAGAAAGACUGUACGAUAAGGAUGUCUAUUGAUUAUAGGUGUAAUAGUUCAUUUUUCAGUGGUGCCAGAAACAGAGGUUUCGGGGCCACAAAUCUGACGAGUAAGUUCAUAAAUAUUAUUAUUUAAUAUUUAUGAGUCAAUUAUGGUUUUAAAAAGGUUUUUGAUAUGAUAAUUUAUGCUAUUCGAAUGAUUAAUUAAGUUCAAGUGGUAAGACCUUAAAAUCAAGUGAUUAUAGAAAAUGAAGUAUUGGGACCUCGUUUCUAUAAAUCGAGCCGUAAAUAUUUUUAUAAAUAUUUAUACGGAGUGUUGUUAAGGUUGUAGUAAAGUUUUGUUAAGAAAUUUUAAUAUUUGGAUUGUUAAUUAAGUAAGAAGGACUAAAUCGUAAAAAGUGUAAAAAUUGAAUUCUACUAACUAAAGAUUUUUAAUAGCUAUGAAAAAUUAAAUUCAUGGACUAAUAUGGUAAAUAUACCAUAUUAUAUAUGAGUGGGCGGUUGGCUUUUGUUUUAUUAUGAAUAUAUAUGUUUUAUUAAUUAAAAUGAAACUAAAAACAUCAUCUUUCUCCUUUUAAUGUUUCGCUGGAAUUAAAGAAAGAAGGAAGUCAUGGAUGAUAGCUUAAGCAUUCAAUCAAACUUUCCUUUUGCAUGUAAGCUAAAUUUGAGUUUAUUUAUAAUAAUUUUUAUGUUUUUGAGAUCGUUGCAACUAGGUCCAACUAGCCCGUGCCUUCGAUUUUGAAACUGUUAAUGAUAUUGAAUGUUUCCAUUGAUAAAUCUAUGUAAUUUUAGAUAUUAAAUGAUGAAUUUGAAGUAUUAUUUGGUAUUUAAAAGUAUUUUGUUAAGUGAUUUUUGAUGAAUUUGCCGAUUAGGGACUAAAUUGUUGAAAUAGUAAUAGUUCAGAGACUUGAUGUGAAAUUGUUGUAAAAAAGGGCUGAAAUGGAGGCUAUGAAUAUUUUGCUAGUAUGAAUUUGCAAUAAAAAUGGCUAAUUUGCAGGUUUUAGGCUCAAGGACUAAAUUGAAUAAAAGUAAAAUAUUAGGGGUAAUUUUGUGAAAAUUUCAAAAAUGACUAAAUUUCAUAAAAUAAUUUUUUACUAUCUAAAUUAAUAAAUUGAAUGAAAUUAUUAAUUUAGAUCAAGAUCGAGUGAAAAAUCGAGGAGAAUAGAAAAUUAACAAAAAUCCCCUAUACUUUAUCAUUUCUGCAAUUUAGCCAGGUAAGUUCGCAUGAACUAUAAUCACUUAAAUUUUGAUUAAAUUGAACAUUUAAUGUGUGAUUUUAUUGUAAAUGAAUCAAUAUAUAUAUGUUAUUAUACAAUUUAUCAAGUAAAGAGACGAUAGAAAUCCAAUGACGUUCGACGACUAUCGAGCCCCGUUUGAACCUUAGGAAUAUAUAAGAUAAAAAUGACAUGUCAUUUGGGUUACCAUGUUUUGGGUGCUGGCCUUAAAUGUCUUACCGAUGGCUGAGUUCUGACAUAUGUUACGAAUACUCGUCAGCUUGUGUGAGUGACACCGUGUAGCUACAUUUUGGCCGUCAGCUUGUGUGAGCAGACUCAGGUUACCAUGUUUCGGGUGCUGGUCCUGAAUGUCCUACCGAGGGCUGAGGUCUGACAUUAGUUGCAGAUACUCAUCAGCUUGUGUGAGCAGCAUCGUGUAGCUUACAUUCUGACCAUUAGCUUGUGUGAGCAAGCCCAUUUUACAGCUCGUGUGAGCUACGACUAUAUGAUUAGCACACUUUGUGUGAGUUUUCCCACAUAUCUGAUGUUAUUCUAAAUAGUUCAACGGGCAUGAAAAGGGAAGGAGCAGGAAGUAUUCAAAUGACUUAUAUUAUGAAAACUAUGAAAAUGAAUGAAAAGGAAAUGUUAAAUGAAAGUAUGACUAUGUUCAUGGAAUUGAUGAUUUCAAGUGAGGUUAUUUAUGUUUAAUGACUUAUCUUAUGUUAUUCAAGUGAAUUAUGAAUUGAUUCAUUAAUAUGUGUUGUCGAUGAUGCUUAGGCUUGUGCCAAGAUAUUGGUUGAAUUGUAUUAUGUAAGUUUUAAAUAUAUGCAUUGAAUUGGUAAGUGAUCAAAUAAAAAGAUGCUUAUGUGCAUGAAAGAGUAGUAAGAAUCAAAGUAUAUAAUUUCUCAUGAAAUGGUUUAUCAUGUAGUUGGUUUCAAAAGAGUUAUGUUUAAAUGCACUAGCUCAAGGCUAUGGUUGAUGUACAUGUUUUUGUCUUACGUGUUAUGCAAAUGAAACGGGUGAGAAUAGGUAAUGAAAUGAUAAGUUCAUAGUAGAGAUGUAAUAUGAUGAAAUAAAAAGACUGUUGAGUUAAAGAACUUACUUAUAAGGAAGAAAUUUACUUAUGCUAUAUACGAGUGACUUAUGUCAUGAAUAAGUACACUAAUUCGUGAAUUGGUAACGUAAUUAAGCUAUUGCUAAGUAAUAUAAUAGUAAGUAAGUAAAUGAGAUGGUUUAUUGUUUUAAGAAAAGGUUGAUGAUUAUGUAAUUCAACUUAUAAGACCCUAUUAUGUUAAAUGGAAUGUAUUCAAGAUGUUAAUGAACCUAUUCAUUUGUGAGAUGAUAGUUAUGCAGUUUGAUAAAUCUUGAGGCAUUGGUAUAGGGUUAUUCAUGACUUAUAAAGUCCAUAUUUGAAAUGGAAAGUUAUGUUUAAAGUUUAUACGAGCUUACUAAGCAUUCAUUGCUUACGUAGCCAUCUUUCUCUUACUUUGCAGAUUACCAAAAGUUUGAUCGGUUUGGAAACUCAUCGAAGAUCUAUCACACUAUCCAGCGAUUAUAUUGGUAGAUUUUGAUGUUGUAAUCAAUGUUAUAUUGGCAUGUAUAGGUGGACUUCUGGUUCAUGUUAGUUGAUGAGUUUGGCACAUAUAUGUCAUUGUGGUUGGUGUAACCUUGGUACUUUUAAUGCCUUAUUGAUGUGUGUUAUUUUGACAAUGUAUUAAUACAUGUUUGAAUGGAUAAAAUGGUAGGUGAUGAAUUGACCACAACAUGGUCAAGUUAUGGUAUGCUUUGGAAAGGUUUGAAUAGAUGUGCAUGAUUAAAAUAUAGUAUGUUUAUAUGUUGUUUAUUGGAACCAUUUGAUAAUGGCUAAAUUGGUGUCAUUUAGAUGGUUUUGAUGCAUGUGAGAAGCGGACCAAAUGGUAAAGUUAUUUUGAUAUGGCAUGAAUCCAAUAUGGUAAGGUUGAUAUAUGUCAAUUGUGAUAUGUUUUGGUAUGGAAACAAGUUAGUUGAUAAAUGGUUAAAUAUGUAUAUGUUUAGGUAUGUUUAAUGUAUGUGUUUGAAGUGCUUAUAUGGCAUAUUGGUUGAAUGGAAUUUGAACAUUUGAAAUUGGUCGUUUUAUGCAUGUUUGAACAUGUUUUGAUACAUUGGUCAUAUGUGCAAAUGGCUUAUAAGGGUGUGCUUGAAUCUGGUGAAAGGAAUGGCUUAUAUUUGACCUAUUUCUUCUCCACACGGCUUAAGACACAGACGUGUGUCUCAUUCGUGUAUGACACAUGGCCAUGCGACAUGGUCGUGUGUCCCCUGUAGGUUUUAAAGGUUGCUUUUCAAAAGUUACACGGCCUAGCACACGCCUGGCACACGGGCGUGUGAGGCCAUUUCGAGUGUUACACGGCCUGGCACACGGGUGUGUGGCUUGGCCGUGUGACCUAAGUUAGAGAGUUACACGGGCACGGACAGGGCUAGGGCACGACCAUGUGUUCCUAUUUCAAAUGUCCACACGAGCGUAUGUCUCAUCCAUGUGAGUCACAUGGCUGGCCACACGGCCAUGUGACCUCUGCAAUAUGAAAUUUUCUAUAUGUUUUCCUCAAUGUUUCAAAUAUUUCCAAUUUAGUCCCGAAUCGUUUCAAAACUGUUUCUAAGGCCUUGAGGGCUAAAAUAAGGGACAAUAUGCAUGUGUAUGAAUGAAUUAUACUAUGGUUAAUGAAAUAUUUGAAGAUGAAUGUUUUAAGUUACAUUUUUACGGUAAUGCUUUGCAAUCCUGUUCCAGAAAUGAAUACGGGCUAGGGGUGUUAUAAUAGAUGGUUGAAUAAGUUGACUAUUAAGAAUAAGUAUCCUUUGCCUUGAAUUGAUGACUUUCUUUUAUUCGUUUUGACGUGCAACAGUGUUCUCGAAGAUUGAUCUUAGAUCUGGGUAUUAUCAAUUAAAGGUAAAGGAAUCUGAUAUUCUAAAAACAACUUUUAGGACUCAGUAUGGGCAUUAUGAGUAUUUGGUAAUGUCAUUUGGUUUAACUAAUGUAUCGAAAUCAUCUUUUAUGUAUUUGAAAAAUGGGGAUCGACUUUGAAAACGAAAAUUGGAGUCGCCACCGAUCUUUUAUUAAGGUGUGACCGGUUCACCAUUAAAAAUAAAUUUUAGGUCUGCGAGAUUUGAGAAAAUAGGUUCGGGAGUCAGUUACGUACGAGGAAGGGUUAGCACCAUCGUGACGCCCAAAAUUGGUACCGAAUUGAUUGCUUAAUGUCUUAAUGUCAAAAUUUUGAAAAGAUUUUAAAAUGCGAUCCUUGGAAAAGAAAAUUUGAAUAAAAUAAAUUGGAUGAUGAGACUCACUUAUUUCAAAGAAAUAGAUUGACACACUCAGUAAGUUAGAGUGCAACAUUUUAAAUCCUCGAAAUUAAGUUUAUCUUUUGAGUUUUAAAAUCUAAGCAUUUGAGAAGGAUAUCCAAUUUGGGUCAAAUGAGAAAAAAUCAAAACCCAGUAAGUUAGGGUUCGAUUUCACAAAAUUCCUAAAUAUCGAAUAUUGCUUUUAUUUUUAUUUGUUAGAAAAAUCCUCGUCUCGAGGAAACAAUAUGUCAUAUCCAAUACGUUAGGACACAACGCAUCAAAUUCCCGAGAAUGAGUUUUUUUAUUUGCGUUUUGAUUAAAAAAUAAUCUCGAUCAUUUAGAUUCGACGAAGAAAAUUUGAACCCAAUACGUUAGGGCUCAAUUCUUUCGAAGAUUCCAAAUGCCGAACUUUGCUUUAUCUUGAAGAUUUUUGAAUAAAUUGGUUUUGAUACUUAGAUUAUAUUAAACAUAACUUUCUAAGCGAAUAAAGCGCGAUAGAAUGUACGAUGCGAAGUGACAAAUCGUAGGCCCAAAGUAUACACUAAUGAACACAAAUAACCCUUAAAUAUAGAUGAGCAACACAAUACAUACAUACACAAGCGAUAGUCCCGUAUAAUAUCCAUACCAAUAUCAAAUACACAAAGGUUUGAAAUAUAGAAAUAUCCAUAAAAUAUAUGAAUGGAUUUUAAGACUAAUAUGAUAAAAAUAUAUAAAAUAAUGUAUAUGAGUUAAUUUAAACAAAUAAUAGAACGAAAAACUUCACAUAAUAGUAUAUAGCAAUAGGUAUUUAUAAAUAUAUGUAUAUAUAGUUUAAAAUUAAAUAAUAUAUAUUACGUAUGUACAUAUAUAUAUAAUAAUACAGUUUAAAAGAUAAUAAUAAAGAACAAAGUAAUAUAUAUAAAUAGGUAAAUAGGAAAAAUAAUCAAAUAUAAUAAUGUCAAUAAAAAUAAUAAAUAUAAUAAAUUAAUCAAUGAAUUAACGUAAAAACAAAUGAAAAAAAAAGGAAUUAAAUCGCAAUUAAACCUAAAUUGACAAGAAAAUAAUAGAAUUAAAACAAAGUGUAGGACUAUAUCACAAUGCGCGAAUUAUAUGGGGGGUUGAGUGGGAAAUAUCCCCUCCCUUCCAAAACGCAGCGUUUUAUGCGAGACUGAAUUGAAACAAAUUCAAAAUUCAUGCGGGAAAUUUCCAAAGAAACAAAAAUGAAAUUAAAAAAGAUGGAGUAAAACUGAGGGAUCAAAGGCGCAAAUAGACCAUCAGACCCAAAACGAGCGGAUCCUUCCCUCGGGUCGGGUCACCGCGCGGGUCACAAGCCUUUAAACGGCGUCGUUUCAUAUCACGCAUUUAAACUAAAUUUUUGUUAAAAAAACAUUUGCAUCAACAAAGAUAAAAAAUAAAAAAUGAAAAGACCUAAACUCUCUGCUAGGGUUUUAACCCCAACAUUUGCGCCGCUCGGAGGCUCCGUCAGUCCUCGCCCCACCGUCCUCGCUCGAACUUCGAUCACAACGAAGUGAACGAGGACUUAAUCGAUGCCAAGAAGGUAAAUCCAUCCCUUCCCUUCUCUUUUAUUUAUUACUAUUAAAAAUAAUAUAUAUGAAACAGAGAUAAAACCGAAGGAAAAAGAACUCGAAAAAAAAACACCUUUAGAAACUGAUUUUCUAUUGCUUUUCAAAAUUUUUCUUUCAUACAAUAUUUGUGCGUGUGUCCUCACAAGAAUGAAUCAAUCGGCUUUUUAUAUUGCCGAAUAUUACAAAAAUGGUUUUUUUCCCUUUUUUUCCCUUUUUCUAUUAUUUCUUCCGUUUUUUUAUAUAUGAUGGCCUACUGUUGUUGUUGUUUUGCUGUGUUGUUUUCAUCUUCUUUGCAGGUAUGGAGGAGUGCACACGUACGGAGGUGCAGUGACAUGGAGAGGACACGUAAUGGUGUGGCUCAGCUGCGGCGGCUGAAGUUGUUUCAGAAACUGCUAGGGUUUCUGCUUCUGAAAGUUUUGUUUUGGGCCACAUUGUAAUUGGGCUAGGGUUUAGUAAUUUGGGCUGAUUUAGCUUUAGGUCUGGGCUUGGGUUAAUUGGGUUUUGUAAUCUGGACAUUAAUUUAUUGGACUUUUAUAUUUUUAUUUUAUUUUAUUUUAUUUUAUUUUAUUUAAUCUGAUAUUCUAAAAACAACUUUUAGGACUCAGUAUGGGCAUUAUGAGUAUUUGGUAAUGUCAUUUGGUUUAACUAAUGCCUUUGCUGCUUUCAUGGCUUUGGUGAACCACGUAUUCUAUUCGUACUUGGAUCAGUUUGUGGUUGGCUUGAUAGACGAUAUUUUGGUUGAAUCUCGUUCUGAGGAGGAUCAUGAUGAGCACCUAAAGGUUGUCUUGCAGAUUAUGAGGGAUAAAAAAUUAUUUGCUAAGUUAAGUGUGAAUUUUGUCUUAAGGAAGUUGUGUUUUUAGGACAUGUUGUAUCGACAUAAGGGAUUUGGGUGGAUACUAAGAAGAUUGAGGCAAUCUUAGAGUGGAAGCCGCCUAAAAGUGUUAUAGAAUUUUAGAGUUUCUUGGGAUUAUGACUGUGUGAUUGAAUAUCAUCCUAGCAAGGCAAAUAUUAUUACUGACGCAUUAAGUAGGAAAUCAAUAACGGAGUUGAGAGCUAUGUUUGGGCGCUUGAGUUUGGCUAGUGAUGAUGGUUUGUUAGCUGAACUUCAAGUGAGGCAAACUUUGGCUCAACAAAUUAAGGAAAAACAUCCAGUAGAUGGAUAUUUGUUGAAUAGGAUUCAUCAAGUUAAGUAAGGUGUUAAAGGAGACUUUUAUGUUGAUGUAGAAGGUAUCUUGAAUUUCUGAGGUAGAUUGUGUGUGCCGCAAGAUGUGGAUUUAAGACAAGCGAUCCUUACCGAGGUGCAUAGUAGUCCUUACGCUAUGCAUCUCGGUAGUAGUAAAAUGUAUCAUGAUCUCCGUGAAGUUUAUUGGUGGCCUGGGUUGAAGUGAUGUUACAGAUUUCUUGGCUCAAUAAUUAGUGUGUCAAAAGGUGAAAGCUAAACAUCAAUUUCCUUUAGGUUUGUUGCAAAUGCUUGUGACUCUUGAAUGGAAGUGGAAAGGAUCACGAUGGCUUUUGUUUCAGGUUUGCCUUUAACGCCAUCGAAGAAGGAUUUGAUUAGGGUUAUAGUAGAUCGAUUUUCGAAGAGUGCGCAUUUCUUGGCAGUGGGUACCAAUUAUUCUUUGCAGAAGUUUGCAGAGUUGUACAAAUGCGAAGAUUGUACGUUUUCAUGGAACUCCGGUUUCUAUCAUUUCCAAUAGAGAUCUGCAUUUUACUUCGAGGUUUUGGAAGAGUUUGCAAGAGGUUUUGGGGUUGAAACUUACAUUCAGUACGACUUAGCACCUCUAAACUAAUGGCCAAUCUUAUAGGGUAAUUCAAGUGUAGAAGAUAUGUUGCGAAGCUGUGUGAUCGAGUUUUGUGAUAGUUGGGAGCAAUAUCUGCCUUUAGCAGAGUUUGCUUACAACAAUAGUUUCCAAGCGAGUAUUCGUUUGGCACCGUUUGAGGCGUUGUAUGGUAGGAAGUGUAGGACUCUUUUGUAUUAGACGAAGUUAGAUAGAAAGGGUGUCAUUUGAUCGACAUUAGUUCGAGGGACCAAAUAGAAAGUGAAGUUUAUAUGUGAGAUGUUGAAAGCAGCAACAGAUAGGAAAAAAUUUUAUGCAGAUUUGAAAUGUCUACACAUCGAAUUUUAAGUUGGUGAUAAGGUGUUCUUAAAGGUUUCUCCAUGGAAAAAGGUUUUGAGGUUCGGAAGAAAAGGUAAAUUGAGUCCAAGAUAUGUUGGACCCUAUGAAGUUGUUGAGAGGAUUGGGCCAAUAGCUUAUCGACUCAAGUUUCUACCGAAACUUGAGUGAAUUCAUGAUGUUUUCCAUGUGUCUAUGCUACAGAAGUAUCAUUCAGAUCCGUCGCAUAUUGUGCCAGUAGAGAAUAUCAAGGUUCGACCUAAUCUCACUUAUGAAGAGGAACCAGUAGAGAUUUUAGCUUGUGAAGAAAAGGUUUUGCAAAACAAAAGUGUUCCGUUGGCUAAGGUUCUAUGGCGCAACCACAAGACGGAAGAGGCUACUUGGGAAACUGAGGAAGUGAUAAGACGUCAAUAUCCUUAUCUAUUAAGCUCAGGUAAUUUCGAGGACGAAAUUCCUUUUAGAGAGGGAGUAUUGUAACACCUCAAAAUUGGGUUUAAAAGUAUCGAGAGUAUUUUAGGAAUUUUAGCUUAUAUGUGCUCGAAAUUUCAUGAGGUUGGUAAUCGAUAAUGGCUAUAAAUAAAUUAAGUCAAUUUCUAAAAAUGAGUUUUAAAUACCUUUAAUUUUGAAAAUAGAACUGAUUUGUAAAAGAGUCAAAAUUGGAAGUUUUUAUGAAGCAGUUUACCCAGAAUUUUAAAAUCAACCUAAAAACCCCCAUUCUUUAAAUCGAUUUUACGAUAGUUACUCCUCAUAGAUGCUUGUGCCGUCUCUUCUACUCUCCUAUCUCUCCCAUUUGAUUUUUUACUUCCAAAUCCUAAUCCUCUUGAUUUUCAACAUCUUUUGAACCACAAAUCUAAAUUGAAACCAAGCACCCAAAAACCUCACUAAUCUCAUCAUCUUCUUCAACAGUGGGUUUUGUCAGAUUUGUGUCAAAGCUCGUAUUUCUUCCAUCAAAGGUAACCAUUCGUCUUUCUAAUAGUUUUGAAUGACAUCUGGUCCGUUAAACUGAAUUCUUUGCCAUUAAAAUGCAUGUUUUAAAGAAAAAUAAAAAAUUUGGUUUUAAUGGUGAAUUUCGGUAUUGUGAAUUAGAAUGUGGUUUCAAAGUGUAUUUCAACUUGUUUUAACAUGAUUAGAAGGUUUCUAAAGCUACAUUGAAGUUUCUACAAGGAUUUCUCCAGUUUUAAUGAAUUUUCGUCAUAAUGGCCAAAACUUGUCGAGAAAUGUUGAUACCUUAAAAUGUGUAGUUUCGAGUAGUUUAAAGGUUGGGAAUUAUUUGUAGAUGACUAUGUAGAUGAACGAAAUUCGUUUCGUGAAAAAAUGAUUAAGUGUAGGCUGAGAUAUACGAAUUUAAAGUUUUCUAUGUCGAAAUUUUUGGUUAAAAGCGAAUGUAGCUUAGACCAUUGUUUUUGAAUGUUUUUUUUAUCUUUCUAUGGUUUUUCUUGUUGAAGUGUCGGAGUCAAUAGGGCCUUCAACAAGUAGAGAGAAGGCAAAGAAAAUCUUGUCUGAGCUUUCAACUUUUUGACGAAAGCAUAUUUCUGGUGAGUGUUUUGGAAUUGUUGCUCGUAAAUGAUUCAUUGUGUAAUAGGAAAUUUAGAGGUAGCCUAAACCCCUACUCUAAAUUCUGAGAGUAAGUGUUUCCACAACUAUGAUUUAAUGUGAUAUAUGUGUGCUUAUGCAAUUGUGAAAAUAUGAACAUAUAUGAGAUGCUAUGACAUGUGCUAUAAGUAGUGACUAUCGUGAAAGAGAAUAUAUGGGUAUGUUAUUCAUGCCAUGUGACAAUAAAUAUGUGAGUAUGUUUUCAUACCAUAUGACAGUAACUAUAAUGUGCUGACGAUGUGAAUAGGCAGUGAAUAUGUGCGAAAAAUCGAUAAGUAAAUAUGUGAUAAUAAUAUGGAUAUUUUGGCCUUGUGAUUUUAUGAGACUGUUGGAUAUAGUUGGCAUGCCAUAGGAUUGUGAGUACUCACCUUUAUGAUUUGAUAUUGGGGAGUUGAGGCCUAGGGACAGUUUUCAAAAAGGUAAGGGAAUGUGAGCUAAGCUCUAUUCAUUAUGAUAUGUGUGUUUGGUGUUUUGGAGAGUAUUAGCUAUAAGCUUCACUUAUGGGACAUGAUCGACUCUAUGAGUCAUUUUGGUGUGUUGGAAAUCCAUGUAUUCGAUGUGUAGUGAUAGAGCCCAUAUUAUGUUUCAUAACCUCAAGAGUUAAACUAUCAUAAAAUGUGAGAGAAUGUGAUUAAAUGUGAUUGGAUAUAUGUUUAAUUAAUCAUGUGAUUAAUGUGAUAAAUGUGUAAUAGUAUAAAUGGAAGAUGAUUAAACAUGUGAAAUAUGAUGUUAGAGUUAAAAAAUGUUGUGAAUAUGUGAUAUGUCUUCUUAGUCGAUGUAUAAUGACUUGUUUGCGUGGUUAUUUUGAGCAUUCACUAAGCUUGUUAAGCUCACCCACUCCUUUUUAACAUUUACAGAUAAGUAGUGUCGGUGUGAGCGGCGUGGUCUCGUGGGCUGAUCCAAGCCAGAAACUUUAGUAGCUAUUAGUAGGUGUUAAUUUAUUUAUUUGAGUUUUGGGAAUAAAAGACAAUGUGGUAGAUGUUAUGUUGGCUUUGCUAUGAUUUUUUUGUUUUGCAUGCCUAAUGUGCUUAGGAACUUUGUGGACUUUAAAUAUGAUGUUUGGGACUAUUACUUGAGACAUUUCGAUGUUAAUCUUAUGAGACAAUUUAUGCAUGAUGUUUAGAACCUGUUUGGAAUUAUCUUUGUGGUGGUAUAUGUUUUGUUUUUAUGGUCUAGAACUUAGGUAUCGAUAUUCGGGUUUUGAAAAUGAUACCUCUACAAUUUUUGAAGUGCAGGAAGUCAAUUUUGCUAGUUGGUAUCAAUAUGUUGCCACGAGUAUCGAUACUAAGGGUAAAAUUAUCGGUACUUUUUCAGUGUACUGAUAUUUUUCGAAAGUUGGGUUUUUAAGAUGAGAAACAAUAAGCUAAAUUGGUAUCGAUUUUCCAAGCAGUAUUAAUACCACUUGAGAAAAUUAUCGAUACCACUCUACCAGUAUCGAUUCCUACAUAACAGUUUUGGGAUAUUUUGCUCAGUGAUCCUUUUAUUCGUUUGGUGCUUAUUUUAUGAUUGUACAAUGUAUGCUAGCAAGUUUUAUACACCCUAGAGUAAGUAUGACUACAUUUCGUAUGAAUGCCAUAAUGAUAAAAGAAACAAAAAGAUGUAUAUUUAAUAAUGUGUCGACUUAUGUUGUAUGUGAUGUGAGGCGGUGGUGUAGCAUCAUGUUCUCGGGCUCGACAACCGGGCCGAGUAUAUGGUGUUACAAUAUAUGUGUGAUUUACAAGUGGUAUUAAGUGUUUUAAAAUGACAUAAAGUAUGGCGCUUGACAAAUAGCAUGAAUUGGUCAUUUCUUUUACAAAUGCAUAAUGGUUUGAUUUUGGUAUUUUCUAUAUGAAUGAUCACACACAGAUGCAUAUAUAUGGUAAUGGAAUGAAUAGCAUAAGUAGGUGGUAAAUUUAAUGGAAAAUGGUUAGGUAUAUAUUAGAAAGUAUAAUAAGUAAUAAUCAUAUAUAUUGGUUAAAGAAAUCAUGUUUUCAAUUGAGGUUCUAUGAAAUGAAAGUAUUAGUAUCUUAAUUGGAAUGGCAUGACAUGGUAAGUUUAAAUGCUAAUAUGAACAACAUUGAAUUGUGAAAAGGGUUAUUUGUAUGCUUCACUAGAUAGUGGAUGCUUUUUGAAUGAAUGAGUGUAUGAAAUAGCUAAAGUUUGAAAUUGAAUUUAUUGUAUGCAUUUGAUUAAUGUUUGGAUUUUAUUAACUUAAAUCAUGAAAAUACCACUGAGCUUUAUCACUCAGCAUAUGGUUUGUUCAUUCCGUGCACAAGUAUAGAUGUUUCUUGAGGUUACGAGAAGUAAUUACAGCAUCCAAGCAGUGACCCUCGACUCAGCAAUGUUUGUAUAGUUCCUUUUGUUUUGGUAUAUGGCACUUGUGUACAAUUUUUAGGUAUUUACGGGUUUUGAUACGUGUAUCUAUUUAUUGUUCCACAUUUGGUUAAUAGGGGCACAUUUCUAAUAACGAUUCAAUAUGGUAAUGAUAGAUAUGGUGUAACACCCCUUACUCAAGUUUUACCAGUAACCGAGCCAUGGAUGCCACAUUUGAGCAUUAAGUCACUUCAAUUUGAAUUUCACUUUAAACACUCCAUUUCAACUAAUAGAUCUUAUUUGAGGUAUUUUUUUUAUUUUUAGGAAUUCCCAACAUUUUGGUCGUGAUUGGAAGUCAAAACGAAUAAAGGUGGUAAGAGAAAUUCAAGUGGUUUGUGUAGAAAUAUAAGCAGGAUACUUGUUGCAACCAUAGUAAAGUCUUGUGGUGACAACAAGAAAAGUAUUGUUACGACAAGGCAACAAAGCUCUCACUAUUUAGAAGAAAUGAAACAGGCCCAUCAUUUUCAUGACAACAAAGUCUUGUUGUGACGGUGCCCCUUAUCGUAACAACAAGAAAAGCUUUGUCACAACAAUGCCCUUAUUAUUUGGGAGAAAUGGAGCAAUACCAUCGUUGACGUGACCACAAGAUUGGAGUUAACAUAAUAAUGCCAUUGCAAAGGCCAAAUUUAAAUCCAAACAUCUCCAAACACAUACCAAUCAUUUCCAUACCUAAACCAAUCAUUUAAGGCCACCAAAACACCUUAAAAUACUAUGUAAUGCAUCAUAUAAUCAACAUAAUUCAACUAAAUCACCAAAUCAUUAAAUAUUUAACUACACAAAAUGCAUUAGUUAGAAUUAAUAUACAUAGACCACAAAAUACCUAUGUACAUGCCAUAAACUAAUACCAAAAGCUUGAUUUCAUACUCUCUUCCACGCCUUAUGGUGUGAUGUGAUGUGAUGUGUUGAGGUCGAAGCAUUGGUCAAGAACUUCAAAAAGAACGUUUACUUACGUGUUAGAAAACAACGCAUUAAGUUACAUUGUAAAUUAGUAAGUACAUCAAGAAUUGAACUUACCUUUACUAUAAUUAAAUUCAAUAUGAUAGUACAUUAAAUAUAAUAAAAUGAAUUAAGAUAAAUAAACACGAAAUGUAUAUUUAACAUUUAUUCUAACCAUAUUUCAAUUAAAGGUUGACUAUCAAUUUCUUUUAUCACUUUGCAUUUAACCUAUUGUAGACUUAAACUAAACAAGCAAGAUAUGCAAAAAUAACACUGAAAUCACUAGCACGAAUGUGCUUUCACUGUAAUUAACCUAAGUGCAAAGUCACUGAAAUGCAUCGAAGUGAACACUGUCACUAUGUAUCGAAGUGCAUUAUCAUUUGUUUUGUACCAAAGUGCCACUACACUAGCACACUCAAGUUUUCCCAAUGGCAUGUCAUUUAUAUACAACUUGUUUACAUCUUGUCUACAUGGACAUUUACUAUGUUGUUAACACUAAAAUCAUUUAUCAAUUAGCAUCAUAUAAAAUUUAAAUUCUUUUCAACUUAGUCCUUAUUAGUACAAAAUUCACUAACCACUAUAAUCUCACUUCAUAUUUAAUUCACUUUCAUGUAACAUUUCACUUGAACAUCUUACCAUGAAAUACUUAACCCACAUAAUGACUUUUAAACUCUUUGCAAUUUAGACCCUUUUACCAUAAUAUCAUUACACUUAACCUAUUCACUUGUAAUUGAAAUUCAAUUCAUAUCACCACUACUCUUUAACCAAUUUCAUAAUAAAUGUUAACUUAUUCAUAUAUAAAUUAAUCAUAUAAUCAUUAAUAUAACAAUUUAAAUAUAAUUUACACUUAGGUUUAAUCAGGUAAAGUAAAAUUCUUGAGGUACUUACCCAACAAAAGCUUGGAUGAAAUUUUUUCCUCCUUUAUUCUUUUGCUACUUAUUUCCCCUUAUUAAGACCUUGAUGUUCAAUUCUCUUCUCUUUCUCUUUAUUUUCAUAUAAAAUAUAUAUACAAAUUUAAUAUCAAAACAAAGAUCACAUAUCAUUUCCACGCACUUUAAUGAAACAAAUGUAAAAUUCAUGAUAAAAUCUCAUUAUUCUUACCUUACUUUCUUACACAAAUCCCUAUCUUAAGUUUUAUCUCCUUUGAGAUAAACAAAGUUGUAACUUUAAAGCAUACAUUUAGUACCUCAACAUAAACAUCGCAUAAAUAGUUUAUCUACAUGCCUAUCGUCCCUUAUUUGACCCUUCAAGGCCCUAAAAACACUUUAGAAAUAAUUCGGGACUAAAUUGGAAUCAUUUCGAAAGUUUAGGGAACAAAUUAGAAACUUUGAACUGUAAGGGUCACAUAGCCGUGUGGCCAGGCCGUGUAAUUGACACGGCUGAGACACACGCCCGUGUCUCAGGCCGUGUAACAUUUGAAAUAGGGACACACGGUCGUGUUCAAGCCCGUGUCUGUGUCCGUGUAACUUUUGAAGUUGGGUCACACGGCCAAGCCACACGCUUGUGUGUCAGGCUGUUUAACUCUCAAAAUGGCCUCACACACCCAUCUUCCAGGCUGUGUGCUAGGCCGUGUAACAGUCUGACUUCAAAUCUUAAAACCUAUAGGGGACACAAGGUCGUGUCGCAUGACCGUGUGUCACACACGGCUGAGUCACAUGCCUAUGUCUCAGGCCAUGUGUCACAUACAGCUGAGUCACACGCCUGUGUCUCAGGCCGUGUGGACAUGAAAUUGGCCAAAAUCAAGUCAUUUCUAUCACCAUUUCAAACUUGUACCUAAACACCAUUUUUGCCCAAAUUCAAAGCACCAAAACCUUACCAAAACAUGCAUAAAAGGACCAAUUCAAUAGACCAUUAAUAUACAACAAAUAUGACAUAAAAGGCACCUCAAUUACAAUCAACCAAACAAACCUAAACAUGUACACUUACCAUAUCUCAACCAUACUUAUAUAAAUCAAUACCACUUCAAAACAUACCAUAGCCAUGAUCAUUAGAACUUCCUUAUAAAAUUACCAUUUGGUCACUCAAGCAUGCAUCAUACCUUAGCCAUAUUAACACAUACCAACAAGGCAUCAAAAGUACCAAAAGUACAUCAACCAAAAAAAAAUAUACAUGCCAAACUUAUCAACUAACAUUCAAACACAAGUCCACCUAUACAUGCCAUUAUAAACUUGGUCAAAACAUCAAUAACUAUUGAUAUAAUCGUUGGAUAGUGUGAUAGAUCUCCGACGAACUUCCAACCCGAUCGAGCUUCCGAUUAUCUAUAAAACAUAGGAAAGAAAACUAUGUGAGCAUAUAAUGAUUAGUAAGUUCGUAAAUCAUGAACUUAAGUUACCAUUUCAAUGCAUAACAUUAACAUUAAGCAUGAUACAAUCCAACCAUAAGCUUGGUGCAAGCCUAAUCAUCAUCAACAACUCAUGUUAGUGCAUCAACUCAUAAUUCACUUGAAUUAACAUAAGGUAAGUCAUUAUACAUGAACAAAUUCAUUUGAAAUCAUCACUUUCAUGAACAUAGGUAUACUUUCAUUGAACAGUUUCUUUUUAAUCCUUUCCAUAGAUUCAUGUCAAAGUUCAUUUGAACAUUUAUCGUUCCUUUCCUUUUCAUACCCGUUAAACCAUUUAGAAUAACAUCGGAUACGCGGGAAAGCUCACACGAAGUGUGCUAAACAUAUAAUUGUAACCUUCCCUUCUCCUUUACAUCGUUGCUCACUCGAGCUAUGAAAUGGGUCUGGUCACACAAGUUGUAGGUCAGAAUGUAAACUACAUGAUAAUGCUCACACAAGUUGUAGAGUAUCUGCAACAAAUGUUGGACCUCAGCUAUCGGUAGGACAUUCAAGACUAGCACCCGCUACAAGGUAACCCUAAUAACAUUUCAUUUGUAUCCUACGUAUUCCUAAGGUUCAAACGGGACUCCAUAAUCGUCGUAACAUCGUUGGAUUUCCACCAUUUAAUUUCAAUGCAAACAAUACAUGAAUAUACAGAUCUAUAUAACAUUAAAAUGUUAUUUAAUCAUACGAACCUACCUCGAUGACAAAGACGUAGAAACGAGAUCAACUAAUCCGAGGCUUUAGCUUUUCCUCGAUCUAGAUCCGUGCGAGGUCUAUCUUGAUCUAAAUAGGAAAAUUCAAUCCAUUUAAUACAUAUACUAUUCAAUUUAGUCCAAAAUUCAUAUUUUUGCAAAAUUACAAUUUUCCUCAUAAUAUUUUAACUUCUUUACAAUUUUGUCCUUAAGCUCGUAAAUUGAAAUUUAAGCAAUUUCAUCCACAUUUCAUGCUAGUCGUAUUCACUAGGGACCUACACCAACCCAUACAAAUCAAAAUUUCACAAUUUUACCAUGGAAUUUUACGACUUUUAUAAAUAAAUCCCUAAAUGACAAUUUCAUCAAAAAUCUCUUUACAAAACUUGUUUAUUUAACAACAAGGACUCAUAAUCUUCAAUCAAACAUCAAAAACCAUACAAGCAUAUUCAUGGAAAAACCUUAAACCCUUAAAUAUUUUGCAAUUUAAUCCUUGGGCUAGCUAGAUUAAGCUACAACGAUCCCGAAAACAUAAAAAUCAUUAAAAACAAAGCUUAAAAACAUACCAUGCAUAGGCUAUUCUUAACCAAAUCCUCCAAGCACCAAAAAUGGUGUUUUUCUUUCUCUUUUUCGGUGGUGAAAGUAACUAAAGAAGAUGAUACAAAUUUUUAUUUAAUUCAAUUUAUAUUAAUAAUUAAAUUACUUAUUUAACCUUGUUUAUUAACAUUAAAAUCACUUAGUUUUAUGUCCAUAAAUGUCCACUAAUAAUAAUAGUGGUCUAAUUACCAUAUAAAUCCCCUUACUUUAAAAUUUCAUAGCUUAUUGAUACCUUUAACUAAGAGAACUCUACUUUUGUACCUUUUACGAUUUAGUCUUUUUUACUUAAUUAAGCAUGCAAACGUCAAAAUUUCUUAACGAAAUUUUUAUACGACCCUACUAAAAUACUGUAGACAUUAAAAUAAUAAAAUAAUAAUUUAAUCAUCGGGUUUGUGGUCCCAAAACCACUGUUCUAAUUUCACUAAAAAUGGAUUGUUACAACUCUCCCCCUUAAAGAAAUUUUCGUCCCCAAAAAUCUUACGAAAAAAAAGGUUCGGGCAUUGCACUUUCAUAGCUUCUUCUGGUUCCCUGGUAGCCUCCUCUAUUCUGUGACAUUUCCAAAGAACUUUCACUAAAGUUAUGCUUUUAUUUCUCAAUUCUUUAACCUUUCGAGCUAGAAUUCUGAUUAGUUCUUCACUGUACGUCAUAUCUGGUUGAAUCUCAACAUCAAUAGGUGAAAUCACGUGUGAAGGAUCUGAUCAAUACCGUCGUAACAUAGACACAUGAAAUACAUUCUGAAUCAUUUCUAACUCUGACGGCAAGGCUAAUCUGUAAGCUAUCGGCCCAAUUCUCUCAAUGAUCUCAUACGGCCCGAUAAACCUCAGACUAAGCUUUCCUUUCCGACCAAAAUGAAGAACUUUCUUCCAGGGCAAUACUUUCAAAAACACUUAAUCAUCUACUUGAAAUUCGAUGUCUUUUCUUUUCACAUUCGUAUAGGAUUUUUAUCGAUCCGAAGCUGCUUUCAAAUGAUCUCGUAUUACUUUAACCUUUUCUUCGGUUUCUCGCAUCAAACUGUCCAGUAUAACGGAGUUCGACAGUUUCGACCAUACAAAGCCUCAUAUGGUGUCAUUUUAAUGCUCAAUUGAUAACUGUUGUUGUAUGCAAAUUCAUUUAACGAUAGAAAUCUCUCACAGUUACCUUCGAACUCCAAAACACAACAUCUAUGUAUAUCCUCGAGUAUCUGAAUCACUCGUUCAGAUUGAUCGUCGAUCUGAGGAUGAAAUGCAGUACUAAAAUGCAAUCGAGUACCUAAAGCUUCGUGUAACUUCCUCCAAAAUCGAGACAUAAACUGCGAAUCUCUAUUAGAAAUAAUAGAAACUGGCGCACCAUUCAAUCUAACGAUCUCAGCCACAUACAACUCUACUAAUCUCUCGAGUGAAAAAUCUGUAUGCACUGGAAUAAAAUGUGUCGAAUUCGUCAAACGAUCAACAAUGACUCAUACAGAAUCUUUCUUUCUUAGAGAUAGAGGCAAUCUCGAUACAAAAUCCAUCGUGACACAUUCUCAUUUCGACUCUCGAAUCAUCACUGGUUGUAACAAACCAGAAGUUACCUGAUGCCCGACUUUAACUUGCUGACAAGCUAAACAUCUCGAUACGAACUCUGAAAUCCCUCGUUUCAUACCUGGCCACCAGUACAUUUGUUUCAAAUCAUUGUACAUUUUAUUGCUACCAGAGUGAAUAGACAAGCUACUAUUGUGAGUAUCCUGUAAUAUCUUCUGAACAAGGUCAAAAUUUCUUGGUACACAAAUUCUUCCUUUGAAAUACAAACUAUCAUCGGAACCAACAUGAAAAUCUGAAUCAAGAAUCAUCCCAAUCUAUUUCCAUUUAGCUACCAAUACAUCAUCACAUUUUCAAGCUUCACAAAUUUGUUGCAAAAACGUCGGUCUACCUUUUAAUUUAGCUAAAAUUGAACCAUCAUCAAUCAAUGUUAAUCGCGUGUUCAAUGCUCGUAAAUCGAAGAGAGACUUUCUACUCAAAGCAUCAGCAACAACAUUAGCCUUUCCCGGAUGAUAAUCAAAGAUCAAGUAAUAAUCUUUCAAUAACUCGAGCCAUCUGCGCUAUCUCAAAUUCAAAUCUUUCUGUGACAUUAAAUACUUCAAAAAAUUUUUAUCCAUGAAAAUAUGACAUUUUUCUCCAUACAAACGGUGUCGCCAAAUAUUCAAAGCAAACCCAAUAGCUGUAAGCUAUAAAUCAUGUAUCAGAUAAUUCUUUUUGUGUGGUUUCAACUGUCUAGAAGCAUAUGCUAUCACUUUGCCCUCUUGCAUCAAAACAUAGCCCAAACCUUUCAAUGAAGCAUCACUAUAAAUCAAAAAUUCUUUACCAGACUCUACUUCAACUAACACAGGUGCCUUGGUUAAUAAUGCUUUCAACUAAUUAAAGCUUUGCUGACAUUUCUCGGACCACUCGAAUUUAAAUUUUUUUUUGCAAUAAUCUCAUCAAUGGUGUAGCAAUCAUCGAGAAUUCCUUGAUGUAUCUUCUGUAAUAUCCAGUUAAACCUAGAAAACUUCUGACCUCAGAUACAUUUCUUAGAGGUUUUCAAUCUACCACAGCUGAAAUUUUACUCGGAUCAACUCUAAUGCCAUCAAUCGAUACCACAUGUCCCAGAAAUCCAAUAUCUCGAAGCCAGAACUCACAUUUGCUAAACUUAGCAAAUAAUUGUUUUUCGCGUAAAGUUUGCAAAACAAUUCUCAAAUGUUGGGCAUGCUCAGUCUCAUCUCGUGAAUAGAUCAGAAUAUCAUCAAUAAACACAGUAAAAAAUCUAUCUAAAUACGGUCUGAAUAUUCUGUUCAUCAAGUCCAUAAAUACAACAGAUGCAUUAGUCAAACCAAAUGGCAUCACAGGAAACUCAUAAUGUCCGUACCUGGUCUUGAACGCGAUUUUUGGCACAUCUGAGUUUUUAACUCGCCACUAAUAAUAACCAAAACGAAGAUCAAUCUUUGAGAAUAUCGUCACAUCUUUCAACUGAUCAAACAUAUCGUCAAUACGUGGCAAGGGAUACUUAUUCUUGACCGUGACUUUGUUGAGCUAAUGAUAAUCAAUACAUAAUCGCAUGGAUCCAUCUUUUUUCUUAAUAAACAACACAGGAGCACCCCAAGGAGAAAAGCUGGGUCGAGUACAACCCCUAUCUGUCAACUCUUGCAACUAUGCUUUUAACUCUUCUAUCUCUGUAGAUGUCAUUCUAUAAUGAGCUAUCGAUAUCGCAGGUGUUCCUGGCAUUAAUUCAAUAGUAAACUCAACAUUUCUAAUCGGUGGUAACCCAGGUAAUUCCUCUGGAAACACGUCUGUACACUCACAUACCACUAGAACCGAUUCUAGCUUUAACUUAGAAACAAUAGAAUCAAAUAUAUAAGCAAGAUAUGCUUCAUAUCCUUUCCUAACAUAUUUCUGUGCCAACAUAGUCGAAGUAACAUUAGAUACACCAUCCAGUCUAUCUGACUCAAUUCGAAGUUUUUCACCGUCCUAGCUUUUCAACACAAUAUGCUUUCGUCUACAAUUCACAGCAACAUCAUGUAAAGUUAACCACUCCAUACCUAGAAUCACGUCAAACUCAUCAAAAGGUAGUAACAUCAAAUUAACCGAAAAGUUGCAACCCCAAAUCAUCAAAGGACAGCUUUUACAAACUUUAUCAACUAACACAUUGUAACACCCCAAACCCAGCCUAGACGUUAUGGCCAUAUUUGGCAAUGUCACACGAUAGUGUUUUUGAAACCUCGUUGUUACGAUGAAAACAUUCCAUGUAAUUAUCUUUAGUAAACCUUUGUUAGAACUUAGGAAGUCGUCUUUCUUCAUUUAAAACAUUUGUUUUGAAACAUCUCUCAUUACGGAAGCUUUACUAAAACAGUCUAAGUGAUCAUGCAUUUAGAAAAUACUUUAACUUUUUGAAAAUCGAAUUUCCUACGACCAGUAGGUAUAAAUCCAUAAAGUAAAAAUAAAUAAAUAAAAACCCAAAUUUAAAACCAAAGUCCUAGAGGGUCCUUAAAUUAUGACCCAAAUAAUCAAUAAUAAUCAAAUAAUAAAUCGUAAAUUGAAAACCAUAAUGUCCAAAAAUUACUGUGGUCACCGCUGAGUCCUUCGUCGCGCCGAUCUAUCUAAGUCUGGGGAUUACAUGUACACAUUAAACAAAAAGGGUGAGUUUACGUAAACUCAGUUUGUAAUCCCGCAGAAACAAACAAACAAUCAGUAUUCACAGUGCACAGUUGAACAGUCUUAGGCCUAAGCUCUAUUUAGUAUAAGUGACAGUUUGGGCCUUAGCCCAUCUCAGUACAGUGUCAAAAAUGCAGUAGGGCCUUAGCCCACCACAGUAUCAGUAGCAGUAACAGUCAUGCAGUAGCAAAAUCCUACCCAACCAGCCUCUACACACCAUUUCUGUCUAACCCUACACUCCAUGUGGGGAUAUAAUCAACCCACCUAACCCUACACUCCAAGUAGUACCGAAUGCGGCACAAAACAGUAGUUUGCAGCUGAGCUGCCAGUAAAUUAGGCUUAAAUCCUUUCAGUACACUUCCUCUGAAUAACAACCCCCAACCCAAUGCAAUGCAACAUACCAUGGAUGAUAUGUUAUUAUGCAAUUUUAGUACAUAUAUUCAGUUCAGAUAUUAACAUGCUCAGUACAGAUAUCAUUCAGUCAAUUCCACACAUUUAGGGGUCUAAGUAGCGCUUACCGACCUUACAGUAGGUUGACAGUCGACUUAGGCGACCCGUGCAAUCUUAGAAACAUUUCGGUAAAAAUGGGCCCACACGCCUAUGUGGCCCACUUGGCCCAAAUUAUCCUUGGCCGUGUGAUCCAUUUUUAAUGCAACUCAUGUUAGCUAAAUAUUCAUAUAUGCUUUCACUAUUUACUUAUAUGUUCAUUCAAAGCUGUCUACUUGAGUCAUUGUCACUAAAUUAUUUAUAUCUUGAGCUAUAGAAUUCCAAAUUAAGAUUCGCUUGAUGUUUUUUUAACUAGACUCAAAUACCUUUCUACCAUAAAAUUUUCAGAAUUUAUUGCUUAUCAAAUAAUUACAGUAAAAUCUUCAAUGUUAUCCCUAUUCUGCUAUUUGACAGCUUCAACCUUUCCUUACUAAAAAUUAUUUAUCUCUUAGUAUGAAAUUUUGAUGAUGUUUCCGUUUGUUUCCCUUGAAAAUAAACUCAUUAAGGAUUUAAACGUUUAAAUUUAAGCCCCUAAUUUUUUUUAUAAUUUUUGAUGAUUUUCCAAAGUCAAAACAGAUGAACCCAAAAUCUUUCUGACCUUGUCUCACAAACUUUAUUAUAUCUCAUAAUUUAUAAUUCUAUUGCUUACAUUGUUUCUUCCAUGAAAAACUAGACUCAAUAAACUGUAAUUUCAUAUUUUAUUCAAACUCUAACUAUAUUUCCACUAUUUUUGAUGAUUUUUCAAAGUUAGACAACUUCUGCUGUCCAAAACUAUUUUAGUGCAAAAUGAUGAUUUCCAAGUUAAUAACACCCUUAUUUCCUUUCUCUACAAUUUUUUUCACAUCAUUUUCUCUUAUUUCUCUUAUUACUCGACAGCAAGCAAUUUUGGCUUUUCACUGAAUCCUAUUUUUUGUGUUUCAGAUACACACCUAGUAUCGUUUCUGAUGCGUAAGCACUCCUAAGCCAUCAGAACCUAAAAAUCGACCAACAUAUCUCUAGAUUAAUCACUUAAUUCAUUCUUAAUCAACCAAUUUUGGAAGGAACUCGACUAAAAACCUAACAAAACCCUUACCUCGCUUGAGUAACCAUGACUUCGCAUAAUCACAGCAUCGAUUCAAAACCACCAGCCCCUUGAUUAACUCCUAAACACCAAAAAGGAAUCCCCCUUUUAGAGAUUAAGCAAGAACGAUUAACAAUAGACAAAAUCGUUACUUACCGAACACGCGCAACCAAUGAUGAACAACCGAAUCAAUUGGAAAAAGAGAAAGAAAUGGAAGAGGAAAAAACGAAUGGAAAUUUCGGCAGCAACUAGGGGAAAGAAUCGGUAGAGGAGAGAAAAAGGAAGAAGAAGAAAAUGUCAGAAAAAGUUUAGGGAAUUGGAGAGAAAACUGAAAUUCUAUUUUUUUUUUACAACAGAAAGAUAAUCAGAUUAUUUUCUGAUAACCUCUCCCCAAUUAUCUCCUAAAAUCACUCCCUAUUAACCUACUAAAACACAACUACUAAGAAUUUAGUCCCAACACAACUCUUUGCCGAAAUUGGAGCAAAAAUACUGUCUCCAUGCCAUCACAGAGAAUUGAACACAGGACCUCCAACACUCCACUUAACCACCAGACCAACAGGCCCAUUUUGAUAUAAACUUACCAACAAUUAAACUGAAGCCCUUUGCACAAGGUUAAGGCUUUAUUUAUAAAAAUACCAAAAUCUACCCAAGUAAGGCUUGAACUUGGGACCUCUCACACACACACAGAACACUUAACCACUGAAGUUGACAAAUAUUUGUGUCAUAUUUUCACAAUAACAAAAUUAGAAAUUUUGGGGCGUUACACACAUACUGACCUAGGCAAUUUCUUAUCUGACACUAAAGUCGUACAUACAAAUAAAUAUGUUGACCUCGGGUCAAUCAAAGUAGUAACAUCCGUACUAAAGAUAGAAAAUGUACCAGAGAUAACAUCUGGCACUGAAGCUUCCUCUCUAGCACGGAUCCCAUAAGCUCUAGCCAGUGCUCGUUCCUCAGAUCUUACACCAAAGUCCUUUGUCCCACUACGACAAUUGCCUGCAUUUCCAGUGUUCCAUGGUGGUUUACCUCUCGCAGUAGUGUUACUCGGUCGAGUAGUCUGAGCCUUUUCUUUUUUGGACCUUUCUGGGCAAUCUCUAAUAUAAUGUUCAUACGAACCACAUUUAAAACAUGCCCCAUCUUUCAUUCUGCAAUCACUGAAGUGUUUUCGACCACAUUGUUGACAUUUGGGCUUGUUGCUUUUAACACUGCUCAUGCUUUCUACAGAAGUAGCCUGAGGUUUCGAGCUUGCAUGUUGUUUUCCUCUAUCUUUACCUAAAUAACCAACUGAAGCUAACGAACGACCAUGAUGUUCUUUCGACUUCUUCGAUGGUGAUUGGUAUGACUUUUCUGCUGAUCUCUUUCCUGAAUCACAAGCCUCAUAAUUGGAUUUUCUCUUUAUUUUACUCAGUUCUUUGACUUUGUGAGCUUUGUUAACCAGAACUACAAUUUUUUUUCAAUUCAAGGAUCCCGACUAAUAGCUUGAUGUCUUCAAUUAACCCGUUUUCAAACCGUUUGCACAUAGCAACCUCUGUUGGUAUACAUUGUCAGGCAUAUUUACUAAGUCGAACAAACUCUCUUUCAUAUUCAGAUAAUAUCAUCUGGCCCUAUUUCAACUUAGGAAACUCUUUACAUUUUUUAUCAAGAAAUCUCUGACUCACAUUUUUUUUUCAGAUCUCAGUCUGAAAGAAUUCCAGUCUAUUUAUUCUCUCGGCACAAUCGAAACUAAGGUAUUCCACCACUGAUAAGCCGAAUCUUUCAAUAAUGAAAUAGCACAUUUUACGCAUCCUGUCGGUGUACAUGAUAAUUCAUUAAAAACUCUUAUUGUAUUUUCUAACUAGAAUUCAGCUCUUUCAGGAUCAUUUUCGGAUGUAUCUUUAAAUGCUUCAGCCCCAUAUUUACAGAUUUUAUCGACUAGAGGCUUGCUCACUCGUACUGGUUCCAAACCUUGAGGAACUACGGGGACCGGUUGGGAAACAGGUGUGGUGGAGGUCGUUGAGCCAUUGGGUUCGUUCGUACGAACUCGGUGAACCAUUCAUUCAUCAUUUGGACGAAGGCUUCAUUAGCCUCUCCUCUCUAGCCCUCAGAUACGAGCGUACUUCCACUAGAUGUUGCUCCAUGAAUGGAGGCUUGCGCAUUACUUUCAACCUCAUCCGAAUCGGGUCGGUUGGAUGACAUUAUAUCUAUAUGAAAACAUAGUUCAAAUCGAGUCAGGAGUUAUCACACUAUCACAGGUUAUAUAAUGGCAUGUACUUCUAGACUCGUACAUGCUACGUUCAGUUUGAGAACCGACUAAACCAUCGCUCUAGUACCACUAAAUGUAACACCCCUAACCCAUAUCCAUCGUCAAAAUAAGGUUAUAAAGUAUUAUUGUAAAAUUGUAACUUUAAAAAAUACAUUUAGUACCUCAACAUAAACAUGGCAUAAAUAGUUCACCUACAUGCAUAUCAUCCCUUAAUCGACCCUUCGAGACCUUAAAAACACUUUAGAAAUAAUUCAGGACUAAACUAGAAUCAUUCGGAAAGUUAAGGAAAAAAAUUAAAAAAUUUGAACUGCAUGGGUCACACAGCUAUGUGGUAAGGCCGUGGACUCACACGGCUGAGACACACGCCCGUAUCUCAGGCCAUGUAACAUUUGAAAUAGGGACACACAGUCGUGUUCAAGCCCGUGUCCGUGCUCAGGUAACUUUUGAAGGUGGGUCACACGGCCAAGCCACACGCCUAAGUGCCAGGCUGUGUAACUCUCAAAAUGGCCUCACACGCCCAUGUGUCAAGCCGUGUAAUAGCCUGAUUUGCAAAUCUAAAAACCUAUAAAGGACACAUAGCCAUGUGUCACACACGGCUGAGUCACACGCCCGUGUCUGAGGCUGUGUGGACAUGAAAUUGGUCAAAAUCAAGUCAUUUCUAUCACCAUUUCAAACUUGUACCUAAACACCAUUUGUUCCCAAAUUCAAAGCACCAAAACCUUACCAAAACACACAUAAAAGGACCAAUUAAAUAGACCAUUAAUAUACAACCAAUAUGCCAUACAAGGCACCUCAAAUACAAUCAAUUAAACAUACCUAAACAUGUACACUUACGAUAACUCAACCAUACUUAUAUAAAUCAAUACCACUUCCAAACAUACCAUAGUCAUGAUGAUUAGAACUUCUUUAUAAACAAACCAUUUAAUCACUCAAGCAUGCAUCAUAUCUUAGCCAUAUUAACACAUACCAACAAGGCAUCAAAAGUACAAAAAAUACAUCAACCAAAAUAACAUAUACAUGUCAAACUUAUCAACUAACAUUCAAACACAAGUCCACCUAUACAUGUCAUUAUAAACUUGGCCAAAUCAUCAAUAACUACCGAUAUAAUUGCUGGAUAGUGUGAUAGAUCUUCGACAAACUUCCAAUCCGAUCGAGCUUCCGAUUAUCUAUAAAAUAUAGGAAAAAAAACUACGUAAGCAUAUAAUGCUUAGUAAGUUUGUAAAUCAUGAACAUAACUUACCAUUUCAAUGCAUAACAUUAAAAUUAAGCAUGACACAAUCCAACCAUAAGUUUGGCACAAGCCUAAGCAUCAUCAACAACACAUGUUAGUGCAUCAACUCAUAAUUCACUUGAAUUAUCAUAAGGUAAGUCAUUAUACAUGAACAACUUCAUUUCAAAUCAUUAUUUUUAUGAACAUAAGUAUACUUUCAUUGAACAUUUCCUUCUUAAUCCUUUCCAUAGAUUUAUGUCAAAGUUCAUUUGAACACUUAUCAUUCAUUUCCUUUUCAUGCUCGUUGAACCAUUUAGAAUAACAUCGGAUGUGCAGGAAAGCUCACACGAAGUGUGCUAAACUUAUAAUUGUAACAUUUCAUUUUCUUUUACAUCGUUGCUCACAUGAGCUGUGAAAUAGGUUUGCUCACACAAGCUAUAGGUCGGAAUGUAAGCUACACGAUGUUGCUCAAAUAAGCUGUAGAGUAUCCGCAACAAAUAUAAGACCUCCGCCAUCGGUAGGAUAUUCAAGACCAGCACCCGAAACAUGGUAACCCUAAUGGCAUGUCAUUUGUAUCAUACGUAUUCCUAAGGUUCAAACGAGACUUGAUAAUCGUCGUAACAUCAUUAGAUUUCCACCAUUUAAUUUCAUGGCAAGUAAUACAUGAAUAUAUAGAUCAAUAUAAAAUAAAAAAAUUAUUUAAUCAUACGAACUUACCUUAAUGACAAAGACGUAAAACCGAGAUCAACUUCUUGAUCUAAAUAGGAAAAUUCAAUCCAUUUAAUACUUAUACUAUUCAAUUCAGUCCAAAUUUUAUAUUUUUGCAAAAUUAAAAUUUUGUGCCUAAUAUUUUAACUUCUUUACAAUUUAGUCCUUAAGCUCGUAUUUCAUCCGUAUUUCAUGCUAGCCAAAUUCACUAGGGACCUACACUAACCCAUACAAAUCAGCAUUUCACAAUUUUACCAUGGAAUUUUACUACUUUUAUAAAUGAGCCCCUAAAUGACAAUUUCAUCCGUAUUUCAUGCUAGCCAAAUUCACUAGGGACCUACACUAACCCAUACAAAUCAACAUUUCACAAUUUUACCAUGGAAUUUUACUACUUUUAUAAAUAAGUCCCUAAAUGACAAUUUCAUCAAAAAUUCCUUUACGAAACUUGUUUAUUUAACAAUAAGGACUCCUAAUCUUCCAUCAAACAUCAAAAACCAUAUAAGAAUAUUCAUGGAAAAACCCUAAACAUUUUCCAAUUUAAUCUUUGGGCUAGCUAGAUUAAGCUACAACGAUCCCAAAGACAUAAAAAUCAUUAAAAACAAAGCUUAAAAACAUACCAUGCAUAGGUUGUUCUUAACCGAAUCCUCCAAGCACCAAAAAUGGUGUUUUUCUUUCCCUUUUUCGGUGGUGAAAGUCACUAAAGAAGAUGAUACAAAGUUUUACUUAAUUUAAUUUAUCUUAAUAAUUAAAUUACUUAUUUAACCUUAUCUAUUAACAUUAAAAUCACUUAGUUUUAUGUCCAUAAAUGUCCACUAAUAAUAAUGGUCUAAUUAUCAUAUAAAUCCCCUUACUUUAAAAUUCAUAGCUUAUUGAUACCUUUAACUAAGAGAACUCUAUUUUUUCACAUUUUAUGAUUUAGUCCUUUUUACUUAAUUAAGUAUGCAAACGUCAAAAUUUCUUAACGAAAUUUUUAUACGACCCUACUAACAUACCAUAGACAUUAAAAUAAUAAUAAAACAAUAAUUUACUCAUCAGGUUUGUGGUCAUGAAACUACUAUUCUGAUUUCACUAAAAAUGAGUUAUUACACAAAGUUUCUCACCACUUGAAUCUAAGCUUUCUAGGAUGUUAAUCUCUUUGUUUCACUAAAAAUCUCUAAUAAAAUUUGAUGGUUUAAAGCCUAAUCUUGUUGAUUAUGGUGGAAAAGGACUAUAAUGUAAUAAAAUAAACAGUUUCUUUUAUGAACAGUAGAAGAUGGCGUGAGAAUAGAUGAAGAUGAAUGAAAAUUUCACAUAUUUCUAUCUAAAUGUCUUAUUAAUUUUAAUCAAUAAAAAAUUAAAAUAUAAUAUAAUAAUCUAAUUAUCAUCGUUUUAAAUUUUAUAGCCAUAAUUCAUUCUCAAUUUCCAACACAAUCUCCUAUUUCACUAACAAUUAUUACAUAUUUAUCAUAAUUAUCUAUUUAUGGAGUGACCAUUUUGCCUUUGAAUUUUCUCUACAAUUUCAUCUUUGAUUCAUGGCACUCUCUUGGUAUAAUUACAUUUCUAAUCCUUCCUCUUUUUCCCUUCAAAUAAUUUAAUUUUUACUUUUAAUUUUUCACACUUUUGCCCUAACACUUUUCAUACUCUUACAAUUUAUUCUAUACCUCGGAUUUAUUUCUCUAAACACACGAGUCUUUUUAAUUCCCUCCGAUCUCCAAUUACCUUAUUUACUAACACUAAUAAUUCCUAUUUUAUUUACUUCGAAAAUUCUAACUCAUUUAUUCUCGAAUUGGCACUAUUCACAACUCAAGGGGUUUCAAGGAUGUUACAAAUGGAUUAGAUUUCUUGAUGAUCAUUAUACAUUGAAAUAUGUUAUGCAAUGUUUUGAGGCAAUGCCCAAACAUGGUUUGAUAUGUUAAGUGCUUUAAAUUGUGUUGUAGGAAAUGUUGGAAAAAAUGGAUUUUUUGGAAGCUUUGAGGCAUAUUCUCGAUUAGUAAAUGUGGAGAUUUGAAUCAUAAAAUUAUGGUUUUAAAUUCUACUCCAUGAGACCUUUACAACGGUAUAUCAUAUACUCAAAAUGGUUGAGUGAUGAAUGAGAAAUUGAUACUCAAAGUACGCCUCUUAGGAAUUAUGUUGAGGAAAAUGGAAAGCUUAGUCUUACAUUGGUUAAAUAUCAAGUGUGGAAUAUAUUUAUAUAUGUGAACCAACUUGGUGGUUAUUGAAUGACUAAACUAAUAUUCAUACUUGCAUGCAGAGCGGUGCAAAUCCAAACUCGUCGAGGUUAGGGGCGCACCUGUACAACAUAGGCAAUGCAAAAUGUUUGAACCAGUCAGGCCUUCUAAGCCUAUGCAUAUUUUAGCCCAAUACAUAAUCUUAUUUUUUUUCCUCAGCAAAGCUUAUCUGUCUGGAAUUAAAAGGAGUUAAAGGCUUUUUUAAUUCAAUCGUUAAUUUAGGUUUAAAUGGCUUCUUAAUUCACGGACACGUUUUUGGCUCCAUUAGUCAAAGAUUUCCAAAAGUUUUUUGUUUGAAUUUAUUUAAAACCAAAUAAUCUACAAGAACAGAGAUACAUUGAAAUUUUCCAAAAUUCCAAGAGAUCUUUUCCUUGCAUAUUUUUUUCUGAAUUAUUUUCGAUGAUAGACAAAGGCAAGGCUAAUGUUCGUUGAUCACUACAAUCGUGCUACUGUCGUGCUCAUCUUGUUGUUGUAUCCUGGGAGACAAUCGACCAAUGUUUCUCUGACACCAUACGAGCGGUCGAAUCUGUCUUAAGAAAACUGUGAAAACAAGCCUCAACUACCAAUCCGGUUUUGCUACCUACCUACGAGUAUAAUAUUUCAAUUCAGUCUUUAUUUUUAUUCUUUUCUGAUUAUAUAAAUAUAUGUAUAUUUAUAUUAUUUUUGUUCGAUAUUGUGAUUUAAAUAUAUAUUCUACAUUAAUGUUUAUUUUACUAACGUAUGUGCAACAAUUUUAAGACAAAUCCUUUAAAUCUUUCUAAUCCGAGACAAGCAGGACACCAACGAGAGAUUGUAUUAUGUUUCAAACAAAAAUUCAAUUGAACAAUCCUAUUUUAGGAUUUAUUCCUACCAUUUUAACAGGAUUUGUUUAAUUUUUGUUUCAAACAGAAAAUAAAUUGAACAAUCAUGUUUCAAGAUUUUAUUCUUGCCAUUUAACAGGAUUUGUUUGAUUUUUGUUUCAAACAAAAAACAAUUGAACAAUUUUGUUUCAGGAUUUUAUUCCUGUUGCUUAAUAGGAUUUGUUCAAUUUUUUUUGUUUCAAACAGAAAUCAAUUGAAUAAUAUUGUUUCAGGAUUCUUUUCCUAUUGCUCAACAGAAUUUCUUUGAUUUCUAUUGUUAACAAAAUUUAUUUGAUUUCUGUUGUUACCAAAAAUUGAUUAUUGAUUUUUAUUUCAGAAUUUUAAAUUCUGUCGUUUAACAAAAUCAAAGGGUAGUAUAAACUGAAAAUUAAAUUUUUUGUUUACUAAUUCUGGUUCCGUUUCUGAAAUCUUACCAAAAAAAAUGGAAACUUCCACCAAUUCGCAAUCUGGAGCGUUGAUUCCAACUCAGGCUUCGAAUCAAAACUCAAUGUUUUUGGUGGCUAUAAACCAUAACGAGAAGUCUGUGAAAUUCUAUAGAUAGAAUUUCAAGACAUGGCAACAGAGGAUGUUGUUCUAUUUGACCAUGUUGAACUUGGCCAAAAUUUUGAAGGAUGACCCUCCUACUAUUAAAGAGGGUGAAGUAGAUGACGUUACCACCUUCACUGCUGUUAAAGCUUGGGAGCAUUCUGAUUUCAUGUGCCGAAAUUAUAUCCUGAAUAGGUUGCCGAUUGCAUUUUACGAAGUAUACAGUGUCAAGAAGACAGCUAAGGAAUUAUGGACGUCAUUGGACCAUAAAUACAAAACCAAAAAUGCUGGAGCUAAAAAGUUUUUAGUUGCAAAUUUCUUGAAUUUUGUAAUGGAUGAUUCUAAACUAGUUGUGAAUCAAAUUCAGGAACUUUAACUAAUCAUACACAGAAUUCUUGCUGAAGGGAUGGUCAUAAGUGAAUCCUUCAAUGUGGCAGCCAUUAUUGAGAAGCUACCCCCUGCUUGGAAUGACUUCAAGAACUAACUAAAGCACAAAAGAAACAAAAUGUUAAUGGAAGACUUGAUUGUCAGACUUCAGAUUGAAGAAUACAAUAGAGAUGCUGGCAACAACCUUAACAAAGUAGCAAAUGUCAAUUGUGCUAAGGCAAAUGUGGUAGAAGUAAAAAAGGACUUCAAGAAGGGAAAAUGACAUUAGAAUGGGUCUAUAUUGGGACCAAAAAUUGGCGUUUCCAAGAAGCAAAAGUUUUAAGGGAAAUGCUUCAAUUGCAACAAGAUGGGGCACAAGUCAUCUGACUAUAGGCUUCCAAAGAAAGUUAGAAAUAAUGAGGCCAAUGAUGUGGAAGAAAUUUCCAAUGAAGUGUCUAAUAUAGAUUUAUGUGUUGUAAUUUCUGAAGUCAACAUGGUUGACUCAAAUCUAAGAGAAUGGUGGCUUGAUACUGGUGUCACACGUCAAAUCUGCUACAACAAAGACUCAUUUUUUGAGUUGGUGCCUUGUGACAAAGGGGAGAAGCUCUAUAUGGGCAAUGUUGUGACUUCCAAGAUCAAGGGGAAGGGUAUUGUGGUCUUGAAGAUGACUUCUAGCAAAGAACUCAAGCUUUAAAAUGUGUUGUAUGUGCCUGACAUACGCAAGAACCUUAUUUUUGGGACACUCCUCAGUGUACAUGGUUUUAGGAUGAAGUUUGAAUCCCAAAAGCUAGUUUUGUCUAAAGGGAGAAUGUUUGUGGGAAAGGGAUAUGUAUUAAAUGACAUAUGGAAACUUAAUGCAAUCUCUGUAAAAGAAAAGACAAUGAAUAAAAAUGUUGCUUCUUCUUCUGUUUAUAUGCUUGAGUCAUUUAAUUUAUGGCAUGGUAGGCUCGGACAUGUUAGUUAUGAUCUUUUACGUAGAUUUAUUAAUUUAGAGCACAUUUCUUCAUUUCACAUUAAUUAUAAACAUAAAUUUGAAACUUGUGUUGAGGCAAAAUUAACAAGGUCUUCAUUUCAAACUGUUAAAAGAAAUACAGAACCACUUGAUCUAAUACAUAGCAAUGUUUGUGAACUAUAGUGAAAUAACCACAGAUACUCGAGAUAGAGUUACUUACACGAGUUGUGAAUAUAAUGCUCAUACAAGCUGUGAACAUGGGCCUGCUCAGAUGAUCUGUGGGUCGGGAUGAUAACUUUACUCGAUACUGUUCACACGAGCUGUUAAGGAUCAGCAACACAUGUUGGACCUUAGCCAUCGGUAAAACAUCCAAGACCAGCACCCUAUACCUUAUAUACCCUAAUGAUAUGUCAUUUGUAUCCUAGUUGUUCACUAAGUUCAUACGAGCCUCAUUUCAUAUCCAUACCAGCCUUUCCUUUGAACAUCAACAUAUUCACAUGAACCCACUGUAUCCAUUUCCUUUUUUAAUCAUAAAUAUCAAUUCUGUUAUACUUCACAGUAUAGUCCAUCCAAUAUUCAAAAUUAUUAUACUAUAGAUAUUCAACUACAAGUUAUAUAUACAUUCCAAAUCACAAAGGCAAUUUAUAAAUCAGCUUAAGCGUUACAAGAACUUACCUAAUAAAAAACGACAGCAAACACGACACCAAACACUAUUAAGCAUUUUUUCUUUUUCAGUGUUUAUCUGCCGAUUGAUCCGUUUCUUGAUCUAUACAAUAGUUUAAUUCAAUUAUCAACUUCAAGUACUUAUAAAGUAUAAAUAUAUGCAUAUGACUCUUUAUUUAACAUUUUACAGUAUUUUCCUAAACUUUUACAUUUUAUUCAAUUUAAUCUUUAAAAUCAAAACCUUUAUAACUUUAACAUUUAAACCCCAAAUUUCAAUCUGAUUAUAAUAUUAUACUUUAACAACUCUCAAGUACCUAUUUUUACCAAAAAUUCAUGCUAGUUUCAUCAUAUUUUCAUUUUAGUCCCUAAACUCAAAAAUAACAAUUUCUACUUUACAAAAUAACCCAAUUCCAUAACAAAGCUUCAAACCCUAUCAAUUAAAAUCUAAAAAGCUUCCGACACAACAAUGGUAAAUUUUAAAUUUUAUAACAAUUUUGAAAACGGAGGUACGAUUUAACUAAAUCGAGUUACAACGAUCUCAAAAACAUAAAAUUUACGAAAAUCGAGCUUGAAUUUCAUACCUUGCAAUGGCCGAGUGCUUCUUGAAGCUUAACAAUGGCUUCUCCUUCUUUAACUUAGUGUUUUCGAUGGUGAAAGACCAAAUGAAAAGAUGAUGGUGUUUUUGUUUCAUUUUUUUAUUAUAUUAUUAACAUAUAUUUUUAACUUAUACUUUAAUAAUUUCAUCACUAACCGUCCAAAAACUAAAUAAAAUGGUUUAAUUACCAUUUAAACACCUGAACCAUUCCUAUUUAAACCUUAUAGCUAAUAAAAUUCAAAAAUAAUUAACUUUUAUGAUUUUUUACGAUUUAGUCCUUAUACCCUAAUUAAGCAUUCAACCAACCAAAUUACCAGAUCGAAAUCUAAUGUAAUGUUAUAAUAGACUUGUAAAUAUUAAUAAAUAAUAUUUACUGGCUCGAUUAUCGAAAAACGUGAUUCUAAAACCACUGUUUUUGGUACUACGGAAAAUAGGUUGUUACAUGAAUGAUCUUCUCUGUUACUCUCAAAUUUUCAAAUACUUAGAGAGUGAGCUCCAACUCAAAGAAUCGAACACCGAACAAGAAACAAAGACUUCCGAAGAGAGAGAACUUGACUUUCUCUGAGGGGUAGCCAAAAUUAAAAUUCACGCCUCCAAAUUUAAAUUAUAAUUGUUAAAAAGAAUGCAAUCAUAAUCUCAUAAAUUUAGAACAAGAAAAACUCAAGAAAAAUAGAAUUUAUUUGAGUUCAAGAAAAAUUAAAUCAACUAAAUGUUCUCUAAAAUUCAACAGAGUUUCCCCUUAAUUUACAUGUAAAUUUUUGCACCCCUAGUACAUAUACAGAGAGAAAAAUUAAAAGAGUUAUACUUAAUUUGGAAGAAGCAUAAAAAUAAUAUUUUAAUAGAAAAUUGAAAUAUAAGCUCAAGUCAACAGCACAAAGGAGUCCUUUAUGUGUUAUGGCACUUACCCCUUAGUGGGCUCCUCGAGCCUUUCAUGUAUUAAGUCUAAUUAUGUGUGCAGUUUAGUCUUUAAUUUAAAUUAAAACCAAGCUCAUAUAAUCAUCCAACUCAAUAAUUAUUUUCUGUUUUAAAAUAAUUUAUUAUUAAUUAAUUCAAUUAAAUAAUUUACACAACUCAAUUUUAAUUUUGUUAAAAUCAUGAUGACUUUAUUGCAUUAAAAUUUAUGCGUAAGGUAAUUUAAUUGUCCAAUUAAAAUAUAACUACAAUAACCAAUUAAUUUAAUUUUUACUUUGGACUCAAUUAUUUAAUUUCAUGCAAUUAAAUAAUAUCUCAAAGAAAUUAAAUCAAUUUCUAAGUUAUCUUUUGUUAUCUCGAGAAAAUAUAUUUAUUGUUGAUAGUAAAGCAAACUAUUUCUCACCAUCAUUUUCAUCUAUUCAUUCAUGCAGUCCACACAAAGUUGUGUUGAGCUAGUGGAGGGACCGAUUGAACACAUAUGGGUAGGGCUUAAAUAAUUUUUAAUUAAGUUCUAACUCUUCAUAUAUUAAUAAAAAAUUAUUUACUCGUAAAAUCGUUCCACUAAAUUGUCAUGAUUGAUCUCCUUAUUAUAUACUAUUAUGAAAGUUAUAAGCAUUUAAGCUUUUGUCCAACGACCUUGCCAUGUAGAUGUUAUCUUCAUAGGCAUUGACCCAUUUAUGUUAAACUCGUUCUCCUAUUACGAUCCAUUUUAUCGCAUGGUCAUCGUUGUAUCUUCCAUGAUGAAAAUUAUCAUUACUUACUAACAGUAUUGAUAGUCAUUCAUCUCGGACGAAUGACUCGUGACCACAUUUCAUUUUCACUAUCCAUACAAUACUAAUGAGAAGAUACCAUUUGCUCUAUUUUUGAGCUAUGGGUUCUCUUAUUGUAAGCGAUGUCAAGCCAUGCACAAAUCAUAUACCCAAUGUAUCAACUUACAACCCACUAUCGUGAGAGCUCUGGUUUUCAAUAUAUCAAGGUAUAUGAGAUAUACACUCAUGGUUUGUCAUUUAUUCAAGAUUUAAAUAAAUCAUAUUAUGAAUAUUAAAAGUGAAUAAUUUCAUAAAUAGAUCUAGAAUAAAUCCAACUUAGGCUCAAUGUAAUGUAUUCUACAUUUAUUCUCCUUUCUCGGAGUAGGAAGGCUCCAAUGUCCAAGGUAGGUCUCACCAAUAUUUUGUUCUAGGUUAGCCUCAUUAAAGCUUUCAUCAAUAAUAAUUGGGCCUAUCUGAGUUUCUUCCCAGGCCCGUUUUUGCGAACUACCUAAAAUAACCUUCUGUAUUGCUUCUAGUCCCCACCGCUUCCACUUUCUCACUGUAGUUACUUUGCAUUGAUACUCUACCCCCUUCCCUAUGCAUAGACUUUGAAUAUCCUUUCUCAAGCCAUCUUGAAUUAUAAAAGCGAUACAAUAGCAUUCACGAGUCCCGAGUUGCACCUUAUGCCUUCCACUUCCUUCUUACUUGUGUGUAAACUCUCCUUCACAUAGCAGUGACUCUCAUCCAUUCUCUGUCAAAUUUCCUUCUCUUUUCCUCCGCAUAUGCCCAACAGGUGUUAAGUAGAUGAGCUAAAUGACAAUAAGCAUACCAAAAAUCCAGUAAUCUUUCAUAUUUAAACAUAACAUUAAUAUGAUCCUUAUCUGGUUUUUUAAGGUUAAAACCCUUGGAAGUGGGUCCUCUACUUUGGUCAUAACUGUUAGUCGCAUGAUAUCCAAUAAAAUUCAAAUUCUUCAUUACUAUUAGUGGCUUCACAACCAACAACAACAAUUCAAAAAAAUGUCUCAAAGUUCUUUGAUUGAUUGGGACAUUAUGAGUAUGAAUACAAAACUCAAUCGUGGUGAAGUUGAUGUCCUUUAUACCACCAUUCUUAGGUCAUUCUUUCAACAUCAGAAUUAUAGUGUCGCAUUUAGUUUAGAAACAAAUAUGUACAUAUUCCUUUCCAGAACAUGAACUCUAGAAGGAUGCUCGUUUUAAAGGCAUGUAUAUUUCUAUUUUAACUAAAUUAAUCGACCAAAUCAAAUUAAUUCAGAUAAUUGGCUCAGUCACUAAAUCUAAUUUAAAAAUUUUAGUUAACGAUUACUUUAAUUCAAAAUUGAAUAAUUAACUAAUUAACCUAAAUUAUUAAUAAAAUAAUAUUAUAUAAGCCCAAAAUAUAAAAAAAAAAUAAAGAAUAGAUUAGAUUUAUACAAAUAUUUAUAAUCAGCUUAGAACUUACUGGAUUUAUACAAAUCUUUGGGACAGGGUAGCUUAGGCUUUUUCUUUUCUUUUUGGUGUUAAAACAAGGUAUGAAAGCAUGGUGCCGCUUGGCCUCCUCUUUGAAUCUUCACCUUUCUAAUUUCUUUUUUUUUCCUUGUCAUUUCAUUACUCAAAGUCAACAGUUUUUUUUUUAAUUUCAUCACUCAAAACCUAAACCUUAUUUUUCUAAUUAAAAAAAAAACAUUGCAAUGGCUUUCUUCUUUUUUUUUUCUUUUUUUCUUUUUUGCGUUUCAAUUUAUUUGAAGAAAUGAAAAAAAAACAUGUAAAGAUUUUGGAAAAGAAAAAUUAUGUAAAAAUUUAUGUUAAUUUGGUUAAUCACUCAAAUUAAUUAAAAUUAUUCUGGCCGAUUAAUAGAUUUUUAAUAAAUUUCAGUUCGGUUAAUAGUUUUAAAUUUUUUAUUAAUGAUAUUUUGGGUUUUUUUUUCAAAAUUGACUCAAAAGAAUUGAUUAAUUACGAAAAUAACCCAAGUGCAAAAUAUUGUACGAGAAUGACCCUUUUCUACAGUGCACACCAAUGCCGCCUUACCCACUGAUGGCACCACCCCUAAUUAUGACCCAAUGAUUGACCGUUUUAAAAAAAUAUUUUUUGGUGUCACCAUUUAUAUAUUUUUCUACAUACCCAUUGAAAAUAUGGGUAUUCCAAGAGAAAAAUAAAAAAGAAAAAUAAUAAUAUUUUAAUGGGUGUCUUUGUUCUCGUUGGCGACACCUAUGUUAAUAAAUUUGAUUUUUUUUGUGCCGCCAAGUUGUGUGGCGGCACCAAAAGGUUAUAUAUACCCAUACCUAAUGGAAGAUCAACAUAUGUUGAAGUAAUUGGUUUUUUUUUUUUAAAUUCAGUUAAAGAGAUGAAGGAAAGGGAUAAAUUUUUUAGAUUAGUUGUAGGGAAGAGAACAGGAAAAAAAAAUUUAAGUGUAUAGAAUUAAUUAGUAAUCUAGAUAAAUCAUAUUAUGACAAAACAUAAAGAAGAUAUUUUUGGGUUUUUAUGAAUGAAAGAAUAAGAUUGAAUAAAUAAAGUGAACUUCGAAUAACUAAAAUCUAAACUUAAUCAAAUCUAAACAUGGGUGAUUAGCUCGCUUUGGUAGUCAUAAUCAACUAUCAUCUCGGGCUUUCUUGCUCAAUCAACUAGUCAAUACCCCAUCAGGAUAUUCUGAUACAUCCACUAAAAUAUUGAGUCAACAAAAACUACUUAUCUUUUGACCUCACAGUCUAGACCGAUUUAGGGUUAAGGUGUUCACGGAUAGGUCAUAUCAAAUUUGGGUUAAUUCCUACCUUGAUGACUUUCUAAGGUUGUCAGGCCUAUGGUUUAGAUUCUUCCUUUCCUGAAUAGCUUAUUCAUUAAUAAAUCCCUACAAAACAGUUAAUUAUUCAUACUUCCACUCACUAAUCCCCCAUAAGAGGAGUAGUUCCUCAUGGAAUCUAUAAACACAAUAAACUUGAUAAAUAAGGUACGCAUAAAGAAUAAAUCAAGAGUAAGGUUUAAGAGAAUCCUGAUUGUAUUUGAUUGGUGAAAGAGCAAAAAUCCACAAUAGUUUGAUUGCAUCUACAAAUCAAGUUCUCUGAAGAACAUGAAUGAAAAGAACUGAAAAGAAAUCUAGACCCUAAGAGAAAGAAAAAAACUGAAAACUAAAUUACAAAGAAAAACUUAGAAUAUCAAAACUUGUCCUUUAACAAGUGUUUAAGAGUGUAUUUAUAGAGUUAGGGUUGUCAUCAUCCUCAACCCUAGGUCAACUGAUGCUCUUGUAUUUAACUUUUUUUGUGUAGACCAAAAUACCCCAGGCUCGUAAGUGUUUCCUUUACAGAACUGAUGUCGCGACACCCUAGUGCUUGUGUCGCGACAUCGAAGGCAGUAUACUCAAGUUUAGGGUAGCUUCAAGGGGUGUGUCGCGACAUUCAAUAGAUGUAUUGUGACACCAAAGGCAGUCUCGAGAUUCUUGCAUUCUGCUCCCUAUAUUGCGGCAUCAAAAUUCCCGUGUUGCAACACAACGACCAGUGUUGAGUUUGUACGCCCUCUAAUGGUCUCCUGCACACUCACUAAGUACAUUAGCUCACUUUUAGGCCUCAUUUGGUAUUUUAGGUCAAUAAAAGAUUCAAAAUACACUUUGUAUUGAAUUUAAACUAAACUAUAAAAACUUCACUAAAACAUAAUGAAAAUGCUUAUAUUCAAUCUCCUAAUGUGCAAAAACUAGUUUAAUCUGCUACAUUGAAUUACGGCAGAUCAAUGUAUUAGAUGAAGGCCGAUCGAACCUUGUUUUGCUAAAAGCACCCUUGGUUAGGGGUGAGCAAAAUCCGAUUCGAUUUGAAAAAUUCAAUAAAAAAGUUUAAAUUUUGAAUCAAAUAGUUCAAUUUUUUUGAUUUAAUCAAGUUAUUCGAGAUCAAUUCGAAUAAAAAAUUAAUUUUUCAGUUUAACUCAAAUAUGAAAUUCACAAUUCGAGUUAUCCGAAAAUCCGAAUAAGAAAAGACAACACUAUGUCGUUUUGAUAAAUGUUUCCCUUUUCUAAAGUUAAAAGUCAAAACCAUUAAGUUAAAAGAAAAAACUAUAUCGUUUUAAUAAAUGUUUACUCAUUAAGUUAAAAGGCAAAACCAUUAUCUUGUUUAUGUAGUUAAAUAAUCUUGUACUUCGUCUACUAGUUAAAUAAUCGGUCCAUGUAAAUGCAACAUUGAGUAUAAAUAAUAGGAUUCGUUUACUCAACUAGACUUGACUUGAAAUUUUUUGACUUGAUUUGAUUCGAUUCGAAAAAAUUCAAAUUGAGUUCGGUUGCUAAAGUAGGAUUUGUCAACUCGACUAACUUGAAAUUUUUUGACUCGAUUCGACUCCACUCGAUCGAAUACUCACCCCUACCCUUAGGUUAUUAGGUUCCUAAUGGUAGGGGUGGACGUUCGAUCGAAUUGAAUGAAAAAAUUUCGAGUUAAUCGAGUUGAUAAAUCUUAUUUUAUAAUCUUAACUCGACUUAAAAUUUUCUUGAAUCAAGUUGAGUGAGAUGGAAUUUGAAUCGAAUCGAAUCGAAUCAAAUAUAUUUGUUCAAGUUAAAUUUAAAAAAAUGACUUUGGGUCCUUGUAGCCACUACCACUCACCGAAAUCAAAUUUGUUAUUAACUUUCAUCCCCUCGUAAUUUAUUUAUUAAUCUUUUCUAUAUGGGAUAGCUUCUUUAUUUACUUAGUUGCUUCAAUUCUCUUCUGAUUCUUGUCACCAUGUAUUUUGAAAUUAAAAAAUAUAUUAAAUGUACAAAAAUAUGAUUUUUUAAUAAAAUUUAUUUUAAAGAUAAAAUGAGAAAUUGAUACCAAUAGAAAAUUUUAACACAAAUAUUUUAUGGCAUCAUCAAUAAUUCAAUUUUAAUAUAAAUUAAUAAAGAUUUAGCAUGAUUAAACAAUACAAUAAUAUAAAUAGCACAAAAUGUAAAAUUUAAUUCAAUAAUAUAAAUAGUAGACAUGAAUUCGAAAAAAAAAAGUUUUUGAGAUUUAGGAGGAAGUAAAAGUUUUGGGGAAAAGCAAAAGGAGAAAAAUUUGGGGGGUUUGAGGGAAAUAAAAGUUUUGAGGGUUCAAGGAAAGUAGAAAUUUGAGGGGAAGUAAAAGUUUUAGGGGGAAAGUAAGAAAAAAAAAGUUUUGGGGUUUGGGAGAAGUAAAAUUUGUUGAGGAAAAGUCAAAGGGUUUGAGGGCGGUAGGGGAAAUGAAGUAAAAAGGUUUGAUAUUUAUUUUAUUUGAAUUAUUUGAGUUAUUCGAAUUCAAAAAUUUAACUCGAUUCGAACUCGAAAUUCAAAAAAAAUUGAGUUGGUUCGAUUAGCUCGAUUAAUUCGAUUCGAAUAAUUUGAAAUUCAUUUUUUUUUUCGAUUUUUUCGAGUCGAAUUAAAUUUUGCUCACCCCUACCUGAUGGACUCAAAUCAAACAAAGUUGAAUAUCAAGCAGAAGGCUUGUUGAAUAUCACGAGAUUUUUGAUGGACCUGAUUCAAGCAAAAGAUUAUGAAAUAAGAGAAAAAAACUUAUUAAAUUACAUUAGCUUCUGUGUAAUGUGAUUAUUCCAAUUGUAGUUAGUAUUAUUGUAAUAAAAGUUAAGAUGAUAGUGGAGAUAAUCAAGUUUUCGAUCCAUUAUUAAUGUAAGUAGAAGUAUAAUAAAUAAAAAGAAAAGUUUUUUAGUUCACAAGAAAACAAAUUAUCGUUUUUAACCUUUAAAAUUUAAUUCGUAUCUGAACCGAUAUAAAAUCGGAAGAAUAAAACAAACCAAGAAAGAAUGAGGAAAGAAAAUGAUAAAAAAAAACCGGUAAAAAAAUAAGGAGAAAGAGAGGGGGAAGAAAAAGUGUGAACGCAUGACGAUGUGAAAAAAAUUGAAAUGGAGAAAAAAAAUAAAAUCAGGAAGGAAGAAAUUGUAACGGAGAUGUGCAGGAAAAAAAUGAAUGGUGGGAUUGUUAAAUAGACAAAGAAAAAUACGGCGAAGUAUGCCAUGACGGAGAAAAAAAUCCUUUAAAGAGUUUGAAAAAGGAAAAGCGGGAAGAAAAAAUGUAGGAUUGGGAAGAAAAAAACUGAAAAAAAAAACAUGAAUAAAACAGAGAAAAUGAAAAGAAGGAAAAAAUGGGUCUAACAUGCGUGACCGAUCGAUCAAAUUAGCAUCAUGCCCCUCUUUUUUCUUUUCCUUUUCUCUAUUGUAUUAGUAUAUUGUGACUGAGAAAAAAAUUUCUUUAAAGAGUUUGAAAAAGAAAAAAUGAGAAGAAAAAUGUAAGAUCGAGAAGAAAAAAUGGGGAAAAUAUGAAUAAAAUAGAGAAAGAAGAAACAAAAAAGGGUCUGACGCACGUGAUCGAUCAGUCAAAUCGACAUCAAGCCCCUUUUUUAAUUAGAUCAGUCAAAUCUUCUUCUUCUUCCCCUCUCCACUAGUUUUAGAAAAAAAAAGAUAUGAGUUUUUUUUUUGUGUUAUUUGAAGUUUGAGAUUGUUGUGUUGGUAUUUUGUGGAAAAUUUUUAAUAAACUUAAGGUAUGUGAAUUUUUAAUUGUAAUAACUGUAAUAUAUUUAGUUUUUUAAGUGGUGAUUAAUUUUUUAUUAAUUAUGCAAAUAUCACAAUGAGUUCUCUUCUCCGAGCAACCGAUCACACUGCAUUGAUUAUUAAUGAUCCAGUAAAAUAUUUUGAUAUUUAUUAAUCACAAAUAUAUUUAUAGAGUUGCGGCUUAACUUAUAUUUACUUAGUCAAUUUAACAAAUGCGGUUAUAUGAUAUGGACAAGAUUAGUAUCGAGUGUUGAGGCCGAGAGUCCAUAUUCUAAGGUACCAUUAGGACGAACGCAUAAUGCCAUGCUUGGAUGCCGUCAAAUUUGGAAUAGCAGCAUCCAUCCGGAUGUUUGACUUAAGGGUGGACUUAAUAUCCGCCUUGGUUGAGCGGUGGUGCCCAGAGACCCACACUUUUCUUCUAACGUUUGGAGAGUGUACCAUCACCUUGGAAGACUUUGCAACGCAACUCGGGCUCCCAGUUGACAUUGAUGUGGUCACACGCCCAAGUAAAGUGGUUGAACCUUUGGCCCUUUGCUACCAAUUACUUGGAUGCUCGUUUGGCAAUGGUGAAUCUAGAUUUACCAAUUUAAAAAUUUCCUUGUUAAAUGAAAAUUUCCAAAAGAUAUUGAGCAGUGCCACUAAGUUGAAGCUGAUGUGCACUACUCGAGCGUAUAUAUUGCAGCUAAUAGGAGGCUACUUAUGUCAAAUGCAAAUAAUAAUAAAGUCCACAUUAUUCACUUGCCUUUAUUGGCCAAUUUGUACCGGGCUCGCUCCUACAAUUGCGGCUCAGCAGUUUUGGCAACUUUGUAUCGUGAGCAUUGUUAGGCGAAAAAGCAUGAGACACAAGAUAUAUGCGGAUGCCUGAUACUAUUGCAGUUUUGGGCUCUAUACAGGAAAUCAUUUCUAGCAUCAGUGGGUCACUAACCACAUGUGUGGCCACUUGUAAAUAGGUAAAAAAAUUGUAAAAUUGAAUCAAGAAUAAUUAUUUUUUUUGGAAUAUGUGCUAACAAGUUUGUUUUAUUUUCAAAUGGUAUACGUGUCCAGUUAUUGGGAAGUUGGAAACACUCGUUGUCUACCGCCAUAUGCUAAAGGCAUACGUCGAGGACAAAGUAAUAUUUUUUAAUUAAGUUAUAUUUGUUUUAUUAAAUUACUUUGAUAAUGUUAUUUGACUCAUCUAACUAUCAUCGUGUUAAAUAUUGUGCAAUUCAUGUAGAUGAUAUAUUCCAUACUAGACGUUGUGUCUGUCAUUCUACUGUGGGUUCACAAACGUGCAUAUGUGUAGUGCAUCAAUGCACCGGUGUUGAACUUUUAAAAGGUGGAGUGCUACAAUGCUAAUCGAGUUAUGCGACAAUUUGGGUACAUACAAGAUGUUCUGAAUGUUCCACAUAAAUUAGACAACGUCCAUGGGAUAAACAAGAGAAGUGAUCUACCACAAAUUGAUAUGGAAAAUUAGGCUUUUUCGACAUAUUUAAUGAGCUUUUUCUCGAGCAAAAUAACAUCUUUUACAUAGUUUUUCGUUAUUUUUAGAUUUUAAGUUAAUAAGUGAAAAUGUCUUGUUUUUGCUUAUUUUGUGACCCAAUUUGGCCAAUAGUGCCAUUGAGAGGCCUAACAUGUGAUUGAAGGGUGUAGGGACAUGUUGGAGGUUGAAAUCGAGCAAUAAUGACACCAAAGGAAAGGGUAUCAUGAUAUCCACUCCUUGGAAUCGCAAUACCUCUAAUAGUAUGGAAUAUUAGAGUCACCCUUCAGUGAAUCGUGAUAUCCUCUUUGGGUAUCGCUAUAUCCACCCUUUAAAUAAGACCCCAAGGCUCGACAUUUCCCAAAGUAUCGUGAUAUCCUCUUCUAGGUAUCACGACAUCGACAUCGUCAGGGGGAUAAAAUUGGACAAAAAGGGUAGUCUUUGUCCACCCAGUCCACCAAUAAUCCAAGGCCUGUGUAGGGGCAAUUUUGGCAACAAAACUCAUAAGAAAAUAGCCUAAAAUAGCCAAAAUUGGAUGAGGAGGAGAGAGACACACAUUAUCUUAAUUUUAGGUUUAGUUUUCUUUAGGUUUUCUCUUAGUUUUUCUACACUUUUUCUCGGGUUUUCAUUUUCUCUUCUUCUUUCUUAGUUUAAAGUUUAUUUUUCUACAUUUUCUUCUCGUUCUUGAUGUUAUUAGUGUUAGUUAAGUUAAUUAUCACUGUAGCUUAGGUUUCUUUGCACUUUUAGCCAUUGUACCUUGGUUGUAUGACAUUUUUAGCUUUAGUUUAAUGUAUUUCAAUUUUUUCUACUUUAAAUCUAUUAAAGUUUGUGUCUUUUAUGUUUAUUGCUUUUGAAUUUCUUGUUGAAUGCUUUUAGUUUCAUGUUUUUUUAAGUUUUAUUGCAUAGAAAUCCCAACUUUUAUAGUUUUCUUAAGUUUUACUUUAAUGGUUGUUUUUUCUUCAUUUCCAUGUUCAUCCUCUUCUUUAUUUUCAGCAUGAGCAGCUAAACCUAUAAGGGGGUUGGUUAAUGAAGAUGUGGGUAAGCUAAUUUUUGGACCAAUUACUAAAUCGUAAUAAAUUGGACUAAAUUGAAUAGACCUAAAAAUUUAGAAAGUGAUGUCCCUAAGGGAAUAUCUAGGCAAGUAAGACUGAAAGGUAAUCUUGUUGCUCACCCGUUCAUUAGUCUCGAAUUAACCGGUGAGAUCAAGAAAUUAAUUGGAAGUAAUUCGUCUAAGUCGGUAAAAUUGAGAUCGAAAGAUAAAAUUGAGUUACUUAGUAAUUUAAGCGAUUUAAGUCCCUUGACUACCAAACCACAUCGAAAUAAACCAACCACCACUAGUCAUUUAUUUGGUUAAUUUCUUAGUUUCAUACUAUUUUCAAUUUAGUCCCUAGAUUAGCAUAAUUAAUUUUCUUGCACAAAUUGUUUGUUAUGAUUUGCCGUACUAUAAAACCGUAUCAGUAGCCAUUUAAACUCUCUGUGUAUGUUAUUUAUCACUCAAUCAUCAUCUCAUUUGGGUUCGAUCCUUAGAAUUCUCUGGUGUUCCAUUGUAACACUACAAAUAUUAUAACUAACCUGUACGCUUGCAUUAAAAUCGUGCUUUAAAAAUUGUCUUAUAAAAUUAUUAUUUUAUAUGCACGCGUAAAACCCGGUCAAGAGGUAAAGAAGAAAAAAAUAGACAGUUGAAUAUCAAUAAUAUAUUGCAUUGUAGAGUGCUCGAAUAGAGAGGCGACUUCGAUUGCAGUCAUGUUAUUUUAAUUUCACGCCUUCGGUCCAUUAUCGACAUUGGUACUCGGAGAACGGGUUGUCAUAUUUAUUUGGUGGUCAGUUAAUGGUAGUCUCCGAACACAUGCACCAACAAGGAAUGGAACAUGCUGGAUCACUGAGGUCAACUGUCUCAUGUUACACAAACUGUGGCAGAGCCCGAGCUCGAGCACCAACCUCCGAAGUGUCAUUCACAAUCGAAGGGUACUUCUUACCAUUUAGAUUUACGAGUUUGCAAUUUUGGCCCAGGGCCCCAAAGCUACCCAUAUAAGGUAGAGAUAUCUGGUUGCAGUUCUAAUUUCAACAACUACAAUCAUCGAUGAUGGUUGAUAUGUUUGGCUCGACACCCCGUAUUUUUAAUACUCCACCCUCGAGCAAACCUUUGAUCUAACAUAUGAUUUUUCGAGUGUGUUGAAUACACCUCAAGUAUCAUCCAUGGAUGAUGAGCAUGCCAGUUCAGUUGAGGAGGAUAUAGACCGUAACGGUCAACCCCCACACUGACGGAGGCUGCCGUAAUGUUACACCCCCCAAACAACACUAAGUUCCCUUCAAUAUUGAUACUUGUAAAUGUGUUAAUUUAUACAAUAUUUGUAAUUAAAAAAUUGUAUAUGUUUCAUCAAGACAUUUAUAAUAAGUUUAUACUUCUACCUCGUGCAUUUUCUAUUUAUUUUUCAAAACAUCAACCUCACAACUCUAUAAUUUUUCCUCAUUUUUUGAAAACAUAAAAGUCGAAAUUGGUAUCGAUACCAGCUAUGGGUAUCAAUAAUUAUGGCUUGGUAUUGAUACAUUGGUGAUGGUGAUAAGAACUUGCCUCGGUGAUGAUUCGAGUCAUUUAGAUUGCCCAAUCGUAAAAUGGAGAAGUCACGUUCAAUUCGGAGUUUGAUGGAAUUUGGCUAAGUAUAGGCUUUAAACAAAAGGGUUUGAAGUAUUUUAGAUAUGAUAAGUAUAUGGUUUCGGCUAACAAGAAAUAAGGUUAUAUUUAAGUCGAUGAAUGUGGAUGGAAUAGAAAAGCUCAAGGUUGAAGAAUGAACCAAUACUAUAUACAGUAUUGACUUGAGACUUAUAAAAACACUUGAGAUGGAAAAUGAUAGAACCUUGACCCACUAUCUAUAAGGAGAUAGGAACCAAAGGUAGAAGGGUCAACGCCACACUCGGUUUAGGAAUGAUAAGUUCAAAAAAAACAGGGUGACACCACUAGCUAGGCUAGAUAAGUCAAGUUGAGUCUUAAAAGAACAAAGAGAGUUGAAUUAAACUCACAAUGUUAUAAACAUCCAUAAAAGGAUAAAAAGUAUGUUGUCUAAAUUGUCUCAAUUGUCUAACUCCAAAAUGAUUACAAAAUAAACUAUUUAUAGCUAAACAUCUAGCUAGUCGAAUAGACACUUAGGGAGCUGAAUGGGUAGCAAAUAUUCAGCUUUAAUGAGCUGAAACUUCUUGGAAACUUCCUAGAAAUCCCUUUGAAGCUUCCUUGAAGCUUCCUUUGAAGUUUCCUAGCAUGAGAGGAGCCAAUGGACAGCUUCUAGAGGCCUUCAUUCAGCUGGAAUUAAUUUGGAGUGAUUGGGAGCUGAAUUGGCUUGAUAAAAUUCGGUCAAGAGGGGUGAACUUGUUUUAAUUGAGCUACCUUGAAUAUUUGGAUAGUCUUGGACUUUAAUGAGUAGCUUGGAGUACUCAACAGCCUUUGAAUGUGAAACAACGAAAUUGAACAGCCCUUGAGUGUGAAAACUCAAAACCGAAUGGCCUUGAAGUGUGAAUGGAAUUUUCCAACUUGUGUGAAAGAUUUUAAGGCUGCUUUGGAGAUCUUGAUAGCUAGCUUGGGGAAAAGAAUCAGCAGCUGGUUUUGGCUUUUGCAAUGACCGAACAGGUGUUUGGAGAAAGGCUAUCAGCAGCACACCUUCUUUAAUUGUCGUCCAUGCAUGUGGCUGCACCAUUUUAAUCUAGCAAAUUAAAUUAGUUUCAGACACAAUUAAAUUCAGCAGCAACUAAACUAAUUAAUUUGAACAUGUAAUUAAUUUGUCUAAGCUAAGACACAUUAAAAUCAAACAAUGACUAAGACACAAAUUAAUUUCAGCAACAGACAAGACGCAUUAAAAAUUGAUAUUAAGCUAAGGCAUAUUAAUAACAUGCAUUAAACUAAGACACAUUAAACACUACAAUUAUUAAAUUCAAUUAUAACUUAUUUAUGAGCUGAAAUAAAUUAACUACUUAGCUAGACGCAUAAAAUUAUUCCAGCAUGAAAUUGUUCUAGCAAAAAUAAGAUAGACGCAAGCUAAAAUGAACUAAAACGAAAUUAAUUAAAAAGGAUAAAAUUAAGCUCAAUGAGCUAGAAUCAAGCUGAAUUGAGCUCCAUUGAGCUGGAAUCGAACUAAGUCAGCUUGCAAGAGUUUGCAAGCAACGCUUCGGGAGCUGGUCCAAGAGUGUGCUCGGGGAUACUUAGGAUUUCUUUUUCAUUUUUUGAAAACAUCAAAGUCGAAAUUGGUAUUGAUACCAACUAUGGGUAUUGAUACUUAUGGUCUGGUAUCGAUACUUUGGUAAUUUUAUCAAUACUUAGGAUUUAUUUUUCAUUUUCCUUAAACAACGAAGACGAAACUGGUAUCGAUAACAGCGAUGGGUAUCGAUUCUUAGUCCCUGGUAUCGAUACCUUAGUGAAUGUAUCGAUACUUAGAAUUUAUUUUUCAUUUUUUCAAAACAUUGAAGCCGAAAUUUGUAUGGAUACAAGAAUUGGGUAUCAAUACUUUUGGCACUGGGAGCAGUUUUUGACUUGAUAAAAAUGUUUGACAAAAUUUUAAUAUAAACCUUUCAUACAAAUACUUAAUAAUUUUAUUAUGAAACGAUUUGAACCCCAAAAAAUGUAAACCUCAAUUAAUGACUUAAAUUAAAAUAUUCUAUAUAUAUUUACAAAUUUCAAAUUUAAAAAAUAAAAGAAUCGCAACAACUAAAAGAAACACAAAGAAUGCAACAAAAAUAUUGGCAGCAGAAUGGAACAUCGAGUACAUCAUUUUAUAUUCCCCUCAACUGUGAAGAUCAAUCAGCAUGGUAGUUUUGAUACGGGCGUUUGUUCUGACUGUGGUCGACUAUUCUGCAUAGCCAAAAACGGUUUGGUUCGACUGACGUCCAUGUCACCACAAAUCCUAGUGAUCUCCAGUCGACCUUUGGGCACCUUACGUAGUCCCUAGUGCGGCAACAACUCAAAUGCAGGUGGAGGCAGUUCUCAUGUGGAGACAUCCCUUAGAAUGGGGAACUCGUUACCCCAAAUAUGCAAUAUACAUUCUAGCAUGUACACCUUGUCAAUAUAUUAUUCAGCAUUCAAAUUGAAGUUUGCACACACUACAACGACAUGCGCACACAAGUACCGAAGGGUCUAGAACUUCCCACACUCGCACCGCUCAUUUCAGAGAUCAAUUCCUAAGAACCUAUCUGGGACCCCGCACGAAGGUUGAUGUACUUUGUCAUCUACAAAGUUUCCAAGUUUCAAGAAUAUAGUUCUACAUUUAUCAACUUCGCUCUCUGAGCAUUGUCAUUCAUGGCAUUCCUAACUUCUUUCACAUACACGUGCCUCGCCUCCAUUUGCUUAACUUGUCUCAACCCCAUUCUUGGCAUAAAUGUUGUCAACCUGUAGAACGUAGCUGAGAAAACAACUGAAUUUGGCAUAUGACGUGUACGCUUCAAUACAGAGUUAACCGCUUAUUUCCAUGGCUCCAUACUACCCAACCACUACCGAAACAAAGUAUUUGUUUGACCCUCUAUAUCAGCCUCAAGCCUCCCAACCUUGUAACAACCCAUCCAGCAAAGCCUUAGUGGCUGGAUACUGUUUAGGUAGAUAAGACAAAUGAGAUAAGUUUCGAAUAUGUAUAGUGUUAGAACUAGACUAAGUAUAGGAACCCUUCUUAAGCACGUCUAUGACGCCUUGAUGUUGGUGAACACUAGGUUGGCACAUAGUGACCAAGAAGUGUGUCUGGUAAGGAAUGCCUUAGUAGUAAAUCUCUGAUAAGGAAUACCUUUGUGGUAAUUUGUAAGGAGACGCCUUUGUGGCAUAACCUAAAAAAAGUACCUUGGUGGUAAUUUUCGUACAAAAAUGUCUUCAUGGCAAGAUUCUAAAAGGAAAACCUCUGUGGCUAUCUUUGGAAAUGAGUGCUUUUGUGGCAAUAUUCUAAAAAGAAAGUCUUUACGGCUAUCUUUGGAAAGAAAUGCCUUCGUGGUGAAAUCUAAAGAACAAAUCUCAUGAUGACCAUAUAAAGAUAACACCUUUGGGCAGACACUGAAUGAAUGAUGAACCUCGUAUAGUUACAAUGGAUGAAUAGAAAGGCUAGUGUGCACUACAGUAUGUGGCGAGGCAAAGAUAUGAGUUAAAAUAAGAAUAGAGAGUGCACUAAAGUAAUGAAGAUAUGGGCAAAUUCUGAUAUAAAUAUUAGGCGCAGUCUACCCCGCCCAAAGAUAAUGAUAAGACUAGUAAGUAUGGAAUAAGUUAUUAAGUCUGAUGAUAAGGUAAGUGGAGAGGUUCAGAAUUAUGUAAAGGUAAGAAUUAAAAAAGGAUAUAGAAAGUAAAAAAGAGAUGUUAAGUAUAGUACGCACAAGAAAAGGAAACUGAUUUUGAAGAAAGAAAGAUGGUAGCCUCAGUAUUGUACUCACCAAAGAAGAAAGAAAGGUCAAGAAAUAACAUAUGCAAUGUAGAAUGAAUGAAAAAUGUACUUUAAGGUUUAGCUCACUAAGUUCUUACGAAUUUACAAAAGUUGUUUCUAUUUUUAAGUCUAUAAAGGAAUGUUUGCCUAGAGACAAUGCCAGAGCUAUGCUAAGAAAGCGGUGCGCUAGACUAUUAUGCAUACAGAAGAAAACAAAUGGCGUGUCAAAGUCUGCGCUAAAGUUCAUUAAGUAGUAUCCCAAAGAAUACCCAGUAGACUAAGAGAUAAAGUAGGAAAGUUUGAAAUCUUAUUCAGCCGUAGCAAUAACCAUCCAUUGUAUUUUUACAAGAAAAUCUGUAAUAACUAUAGAUAGUAGUUUGUACAUAGGAGAAAGGUUAAUGUAAUAGUACAAUGUACGCCUUAAGAGAUUUUUUUACACUUAUAGAUACAUUUACAACAAUGAAUAAGAAAGAAAAGUUUUAAGUUACAUCCGUAUAAAGUGUCACACUUAAUAUUUGGAUCUGGUAGAUCGGGUCGAAUUGAGGGCGUUACAAGCCUGUGCUUGAAAUGAUAUGGUUCUAGCUCAUACUUUGCAUAUGUACUCGAAUAUGACACGUUAUAAUUCCUUUUAGUUUGUAAAAGUGCUUCGAAUUAUUUUAAGAAUAAAAAACUAAAAAUUAAUUUUUACCCGUGUUCACGAGUUGUUUGUGCCAGUCUUUAUUCUUGUACUAUCGGUGGAAGUUGACGGCAAUGUGGCAUAUGCAGUAGACGGAUCUCCAUGAAACCCCGGAACACUUAAUCGCGAUAACUAGUCCCUUUGAUAUGUCGAAAAUAAUGCAAACAUUGUCUUGCCUAACAACAUGCAUCUACAAGUUGGUCAAGAAAAAUUACCAUGAUUCGAAGUUCUCGGAGUCCACGAUGACAAAGACGAUGGGUAGUACGUUCCUAUUACCGUCUUAUGCAACCGCAAUUAGAAGUGUCUACGUAUAUUUACCAUAAAGCCAAGUACCAUCAACUUGCAUUAGCAGCUUGUAGUGUGAGAAAGCCCUAACAUAUGGAUCAAACGUCAAAAACAAGCGAUGGAAAAUUCUUCUCCCCGAUUGUAGUUCGUCCUUCGGGCCAUAACAAGGCAACGUCUUCAAGUUGACGACAAUACCUGACACCUACUUCUACAUCAUAGAUAUCCACCAUUGCAGUUCAUUGUAUGACGCAUCCUAAUCACCAUAAAACUGCUACAUGGUCAUCUAUUUGGCCUACCAUGCUUUUUUGUACGACACCCUAGAUUGGAACCAGGCUUGCAUGUCGUCAAUCAAGAUCGGUACAGGAAUGAUGGGCAUGUCUUUCACCAGUUGCAUGAUGCAGUUGCAGAUUAUUUUCGCAUCCAGUUUGCAAUGGUCUUGCAUCAUAUGUGCACCAAUGCAUGUAUGAGGCCUUUCUAAUUCUCAGAUUGUCCAUAGUUGAGUCCUUUAUAUAAAUACUAUUUGAACCCGCUAAUUGCACCCUUCUUCAGCCCUCAAACAUUCCUUAACACAUAAUGUCGGUGUAGACUUUGUGACAUUGUAGUCCACCGACACCUUCAUGUUGUACUGCUUGAUGGCAAAUACACAGCCAACCUUAUUCUCGAACUAUUGCCCUAUGAACAACCCUUCAAACUCUAAAUCUACCGCCAACCAGUGAGCAAGUAUUAUACUUGGGUACCCAGGGAAUUCGGGUGCAAGUGUCGCAUCAGGGUCUACUAAUCUGUCGUAAUUUGAUACAUCAAAUUAGGCUCUCUAAACAUAAGGAGCUUAUUCUCAAGUAAUUUAAGUUUUUUUUAAAUGUUUUUGUUGAUUUUGAGUUUUAUCAUUAAUAAUUUUUUAUUAGUUUUAAGUCAUUUUUAGACCCAAAUUGGCCAAUCAUGUCAUGGGGAACCUAAUGAGUUGAUUGAGUGUUGUAGGGAGUCGGCGGUGGGCCGAACAUAAAGAAAACAUCACCUAGAAUGGGGUAUCGCAAUAUCGAAACAUGAAAGUUGUGAUACCCUUUAUAGUGCUGAAAUAAAGAGAAUCGAGGUCAGCAGCAAUGAUAUCGCGAUACUGAGCCAUCCUAAGACCAUCCAUUUCAAGACUGUUAUGGGUAUUGCAAUACCCAAGCACGAUACCACUAUCUGAUAGGUGAAAAAACUACAAGGGAAAUUUUAUGUCCAAUAAGCUUAAGCCUAUAUUUCACUUAAGGGCAAAAUUAUCAUUGUUAGGUUAAGUGUUAGUAGGCUAUAAAUACAAAUUUAUAAGCCUUUCAUUUCAGAUUUUGUUGGAUGAACAUUUCUUCUUAAGUUUUCAUAGUUUUAGGUAAGGAUUUUCUUUCUUUUUCUUUUUCUUUUCUUUUUUCUUUUUAGAAUAGAUUUUAUUUUUAUUGUUUCUUUUCUUCCUCAUUGUCGAAGACUAUGUAAAAGGGAGAUGAUCAAACUCUUGGGUUUCAUUCAAUUUUCAUAAAUCAAAUGAGCAUUUCUCAAACUCUUUACUCUUAUUUUAUGCUUACCAUGUGUUUGAUAAAAUGCUUGUUAGAAAUUGAAGUUUAAUUAUGUGUUAAAUUUGUUGAUGGUUGGUUGAUUAGUUAUUUGCUAGUCAAGUUAAUGUUUAUGUUUGAUAUAUUGAUUGUUCAAUUAUAUCAAAAUGCUUAAUUCACUAGAAUUGAAACCUCUAAUGGAAAAUCUAGAUAAAUAAGACCGAAAUGAGAGUUCAAUAUAAUUGUGCCAAGUAGUGAGACCAAGAGGAGACCUAUAUGCUUAGGCGAGACUGAGAGCAGAACCUAUGUGGUAUGUUUUAGUUUAGGAUAAGACCGAGAGGAGAUUCUUAGCUAAGAGUGACAAUAAAUAUAAUCGGCAUAGAUUUAUUAGCUUAGUUAAUGAUUAGCGAAUCAAUCGACCAUCGGUUUAUCAUUUACAUUUUUUAAAACAACAAGGAAGAAAAUUAGAUUAGUUAGUUUAAUUGAUAAUUUAAAUUUCGUUCAUAAACAAUUUUUUAUUUGAACUUGUACUAAUAAUUUUUGACUCGAUUAGAUUAAUAAUUGCUUAACUUAUAAUUAACUUGAUAAGCACAUUUAUCCACUUGGCAAUCCUUUAGGUUCAAACCUUGGUAUACUCGAGUGUCCCAUUGACACUACAAAUAUUACAACUGACACUAUACAUUUCCAGUUAAAACCACACUUUUAAAUUACUUUAUAAAAUUAUUUGUUUUUCUAUGUAUGCCGCAUGCGAGCAUCUACGCUCAACAUGUGGGCCUCAAGGUCAUUCCGUAUAAUAAUGCCACGACUCAGGUUCUCGAUCGAAAGGGGGUGUACAUCUUCACCUUCCUCCAUGCCUUCAUCGUCGAUAUUGUCUAGGACCUCAUCCAAAUCGAGGUCACUAAAAUUUUCACCAUCAUGAUGAGAAUGAUCAUCAUUAUCGGACCUUUCUUCACCAUCUGUAUUGGUGUCUAUCACCUCCGGAUGUAUCUUUAGACGAGGACCCGAGAUAGAGUUGUUAUACGAACUCCCACCAUAGUUUGGAUUUUCGGGCCAUUGUGGUGUCCCUUCACAGUCUAACUGAUCUGCCCAUUCGACAUUGAAAUCAAAGUCAAACCCAUGAUGUUGACUUAUUUGUGUGACAUUUUGAACGGGCUCUAAGUCGACUAACUGAGCGAACAACUCAACUAGUUGGGGUGACGUUCCCAGUCGACUAAUAAAUUACGAGCAUAGUGGUUAGGUCAUCAUCAUCUACAAGUUCCAUCUCCGUAAAUUUCAACGGAUCUGAGGAAAUUGGAAAUUUGUAAAAUAAUCUUGACAUUGUCAUCCGACAACGAAAAGUUAUUUUUGCAUUGAUCUUUCAUUUCACUUCUUCCAUCUUUAUAGUCUUAUUGAAUCUCAUCCUUACUUUAUGAUGACCUUUGAAUAUAAAAUCAACUUUAGUUGAUGGUAGAAUUGCCCCAUCGAACUGAACAUAUACCAAAAACAUUUGGCUAUUCAUCUUCUAUACAAUUUGUUUUCUCUUCUACUUAACACAAAUCUUUUUUUUCUUUUUUUUUUCUCUCUAUCUCUCUCUUAAAGAGUUAAUGCAAGAAAAACUUCAACAAAAUUCAGUUAUAUAGUGGGUGAUGGCACCAUAGAGCCUGUCGGCACCAAUAAAAUUUUUUUUAAAAAAAUUCAGACACUGGUGCCGCCACACAGCUUGGCUGCACCUAAAAAAAUUCAAUUUUUUUUUUAAAAUCACCAGUGCCGCCAACAAGAACGGUGGCACCAAAAUUUUUUAUUUAAAUUUAUUUGGUGCAGUCAAAGAGAACGACGACACCUAUUAAAUUAUUUUUCUUUUUUCUUUUUUCUUUUUCUCCCAGAAUACUUGUAUUUUUAAUGAGUAUGUAGAAAAAUACAUAUUGGUGUUGCCAAGGGGAAUGGCGACACCAAAAAAUUUAUUUUUUUAAACGACUAAUCAUUAGGUCAUAAUUACGGGUGGUGCCGCCAAUGGGUAAUGACGGCACCAGUGUGCACUGUAUAGAAUGGGUCAUUCUCGUAUAAGAUUUUACAUUUGAGUCACUUUUAUAAUUAAUCAAUUCUUUUGAGUCAGUUUCAAAAAAAAAACCGAUAGUUUGAUUCGGGUAUUAAUUGAGCCGACUAUUUGAACCCCUUAGCUCAGUUAGCCAGGCCCUUUUGGGAAUAUGAAACAUCAAACCAACUUUCAUUUCCUUAUCAAAGACUACCUUCCGCUAAACGAUAAAAAACCUAACCAUCUAGUAGUUGAACCAAUCAAAUCGAUUGAAUAGAAUAAUUAGUGGUUUAAUCGGUUUAACAAUUGGUAUGAUUAUUAAAACACUAAAAAUUUAUAUAAACUGUUUUAAUUUUUAAAUGAUGAUGUGGCAUAUAAUUGUACUUUUAUAUAUUUUCAAGUUCAAAAAUCAAAAUAAAUUUAGUUACUAAAUUUAAAUACCAAAAUAAAUAAAAAUAUACAAAUACUAAAAUUUUAAAAAUUAAAUAUCAUUAAAUUAUGUAGGUAAAAAUCAAAAUAAGAUUUAAAUUAUUUGAUAGUAAUUUAAAAUUAAAAUGGUACAUAAAAGCAAGUAGAGUGGGUAUGGGAAUGGAACACCAAUGUUGGAUCACUUUUUUAGUUGUCUAUAGAAAUUUCUAGCAAAAUUAUCUCAAAAUGUCUAGUAAAUGCUUGAAAACCCAACGAUAAUAUGGCACGUACAUGACAACAGUGUUAUAUUGAAAACCAAUAUAUUUUGGUAAGAGAGAUGACCAAUCACUGAAAAAGUGUAAAGGACAACAACCAUAAUUUACUUGGGUUUUGUUUGGAAUAAUAUCAUUUUUUACUCCUAAACUUAACAACUACAUUCAUUUUAGUACUUAAACUUUUUUAUCUACUUUAAUAGCUUAACUUGACAACUUUGGUCCUUGAACUUGAAAAUGUAAAAGUUCGAUGACAUGACACUUUGAGAUUUUACCAAAUCAUCAAUUGAAAAUUAAAAAACUUAUAAAAAUUUUCAAAUGAUGACGUGAUAUAACUUAGAAUGUCACAUAUAGUGUUCUAAUAAUUAGACCAAUGGUUGAAUCAAUAAAACCAUUGAUUCCGAAUUCAAUCGGUUGAUUGGUUCAACUGUUAAAUAAAAAAUAAUUACAAAUUCAUAAAAUAUUUUAAAAAAAUUGAUUUAAUUACUGGUGUUUGUCCUAUUUUUACUAGUUUCGAGCAGUUUCAUAUUCAACCAAUUCGACCCCCUUGUAUGUGUUAGUCCACUAGUCGAUUCUCGAUCUAAUUAGUCUGACUGGCCAAUCCAGUUGUAUUUCAAGAACAAUAAUCAUAUCAUCAAAUCUUGACGGAAUCCAAGUUAAGGACCAAAAAUGGAUCUAAUUUAGGUACUAAAGUGAAAAAAAAAAGGAAUAGAUACCAAAAUGGACUUAAUUUCCAAGUUCAGGGGCCAAAAUUUAUAUUAUCCCUUUUGUUUAUUGUCUAUGGAUCUCUUAAAUAAACCCUCCAUUCUCUCUUUGGUACUUUUUUUUUCUUCGCUCUUUCAGAACUCAAAUCAUCCUCAGGCCCUCUUCAGUUUUCUUUCCAGGAGGUUUUUCAAAGGUAGCCGUAAAUUCUUCACCUUUAGAUCUUAUCUCUUUAGUUUAUGAAAUAAAGAAUUCAUCAUGUUUUUCCUUUCAUUUCUCCUACGAUUUCUCAGUUUGAAGGUGGCUUUAUUUUUGUUUCGGUUUUUGUCAUUAGGGUUCAUCAGAUUUUCCACUUUUUUUCCUUCUUUGGAAAGUUUAAAUCCUGGAGCUUCUCUUUCGAUGAUUUUGAGUAAUACCCAGAUUUUUUUUUAUGGAUGAAACUAAGGAAAUAGUUUGCUUAGUGAAACAGUUGCUGAGUUCUUUUAUCACUAUAAUUUAUAUGGUCUGAAAAUGUUAUUUUAUCAGUUUCUGUUUUUUCUUUUUUCUUCUAUAUAUUUCACUCUUGGAGCUUUAAUGUUGAUGAUUUUGGAAAAUACCCAGAUCGGUUAUUGAAUGGAUGAAGCAAAAGAGAAGGGUGAUUCCGUGAGUAUUGUUUCAGAAUCUUCAGUAACUGUUAGUGAAACUGUGGUUGAAACAAUGGCUUGUGAGGAUCAAAUUCGGAUUGAGGAAGGAGGUGAAGCGGGUCGUGAUAAUGGAGAUGAGGUAACUGUGGAGGUUUUGGAUUCUCAUGUUCAUAUUGAUGGGGGAGAUGGAGAGACAGUUCAGGCUAGUUCUAUUGGUGAAGCAGUUCGUGGUCAUGAAGAGUCCAGUAAAGUUGGUUUGGAGGGUAACUUAAGAACCUUAGAUAGUGACUGCCAUGCGGUGGAUGGUUUGGGUUCAAGGAAUGAGGUUUCAGGUGGUGAAGGCAGGGCUCAGAAUGAGGUAAAUGGAGGUGUGGUUCGGUCUUGUUCUAAUGAUGUAAUUUGUGGUCAUAAUGAGUCCGAUGAAGUUGGUUUGGAGGGUAAUCCGAGUACCUUAGAUAGUGAAGGUGGUGCAGCCAGUGAUUUGGGUUCAAGGUAUGAAGUUUCAGGUGGUGAAGCUAAGGCUCGGAAUGAGGUAAAUGGAGCCAGGGUUUUGGGUUUCAGUGCACCUGGUAAUUCUUCAGGUAAGAACACAGAGCAGUCUAGCGGAAUUGAUGAAGGUGGGGGAGAUUUGAAUCAAGCUACAGAGACAGGUAAAGUUGGUAAUUUGGAUGGUAAUGAAGUGAAUCAUGAAAACCAGAAACCAGUUGUAUGUUUGUCCGCUGCAUCUGAAGAUUCAGGCAUACAAAAUAAAAUUGUUGAGGAAGCUGCAAUGGCAAUCGAUGAGGAAUAUUUGAAUGCCUUAGAUGGUGCUCAUGAAACUAUAUCUGAACCGAUAAAGAAAGCUCCAAAUGACAAUGUAGAUGCCACAUCCUUGAAUGUCAAUACACUGGUUACUGCUGAAUGUGUUCCCACUUCUGAAGCUAAAGGUAUGAAAAAUUGAAAAUUAGUGCUUUUGAAUAUAAUUUGAAAUUUAAAGUUGAAGAACAGCCAUGAAGUUUGAGAUUAGGUGUCAGCACUGAAAAUCUCAAACAUUAUAUAUGCAGAUCCGGUCUAUUCGUGUCAGUCAACGGAAUCGAUUGUCGAAGGUCGAUUAGACGAGAAGGUACUUCCAAGUUCGGUUAAGUCUGAUGGUACAAAUAUGCAUCUUUGAACCAGCCUGAUUCAUCGUCUUUUGCAGGUUAGUUCAGACAUGGAGAUCGACAAGCAAGGUACUGAGUCUGAGAAACAGCAGAUGGAGGUUAAUACUCCUUACCUAAGCAACAAAAACCAUGAUACAGGUGUAGUUGAAAGAGUUGAUUUUUUAUUCUUAUUUUUAAUUUUUUUUUUUUUUUUGGUUCGGACAAUGUUGAUUUGGUCAGGGUUUAUCUUGUGCAGGUAGUGUCAAAUGCUUAAAACCUGAGCCAGUUAUUGACGGAGGAGAAGGAGUUGAUUUAAGCAUGGGGGAAGCAAUGCUUGCUGAAAAGCAGGUUUCCGAUGCUAAAGAUGUCGGUUUUGAUGCAGAGCAAGAUGUUGAAGUUGAGAAAAUGGGUGUUAGCCCUAAAAAUUGUGAUGCAAGUGAUGUUUCUGAACCAUUAGGUCAUCAAAUGGAUGUAUUUGUUGGUAGUGGUGAAGGUGAAGUCCCAAAAGUCGAUAACAAUGUUUUGAACCAAAUAUCUCCUGCUGUUGCUUCUGAUAAGGAGUUACAGUGCUCGGGAAAUGAUGAUCCAUUAGCUAAAAAUGUGGUUUUUGAGGAUGAUUCAAGUGUAGGGAAAGAAAUGAAUGUUGAAGAUCAAGUUACUAGUGAUGAACCGGAUUGUUUAGAGCAAGUGGGAGAAAUGGAAGUCGUAGAACAUGAUAGUGAUUUUGACCAGCCAACCAAUAUAGAUGAACUGACUGUUAAACAGACAGCUCUCAAGUCCGUGAGUGGCUUAAAGGUGCAUCAAGCUAAGUACCAGCAACUUCUGUCCGAGGAAGAAGGUGGAUUUUCAGUUUCUGAUUUAGUCUGGGGUAAGGUCAAGAGCCAUCCAUGGUGGCCAGGACAGAUAUUUGAUCCUUCUGAUGCUUCGGAGAAGGCAAUGAAGUAUCAAAAGAAGGAUAGCUUUCUGGUAGCAUACUUUGGGGAUCGAACAUUUGCUUGGAAUGAACCGUCUGUUUUGAAGCCAUUCCGAACGCAUUUCUCUCAAANNNNNNNNNNNNNNNNNNNNNNNNNNNNNNNNNNNNNNNNNNNNNNNNNNNNNNNNNNNNNNNNNNNNNNNNNNNNNNNNNCUGGCUUGCCCUUGCAUGCCGAAGGAUGCCUAUGACAAGAUAAAAUUCCAAAAAGUUGAGAAUGCGGGAGUUCGGGAAGAAUCAAGUUUAAGAGACGGUAUUGAUGUAUCUUUAAGUGCUAGUUCUUUUGAGCCUGACAAAUUAAUUGACUAUAUGAAAGCAUUAGCGGAGUCUCCAUCCAGUGGGGCUGAUCGACUCGACCUUGUGAUUGCUAAAGCUCAAUUGUUGGCAUUCCAUCGUUUAAAAGGUUAUCAUCAGCUGCCUGAAUCCCAAUUUUCUGAGGAGAAAACGCUUGAGGUAGUUGAGUGUGCCACUCCUAUGGAUACGGAUGGUGAGCAAAAAUCUGAGGCUUCGAAGACUCGGAGAUCUUACCUUAAACGGAAGCAUAAUCUGAAGGAUGGUUUGUAUCCUAGUAAAAAGGAAAGAAGCUUAUCCAAAUUAAUGAGCGAGACAUUUGAUUCUCCUGAUGGCGAAAUCGGGUCUGAUGUGAUAGGUAAUAAGCCCCCUUCAUCAUCAUUUAGCAAGAAAAGAAAAGCCAUUGAUUCCUCAGAAGAAUCCGUGAUGCAGGAAGGGAGGAAGACAACUAAAGGGUCUCUAAGCACACCUCAUUUCCCAAAGCCUUCCUUUAAGAUUGGUGAGCGUAUUAGUAGAGCUGCAAGCCAAAUGACCGGAUCCCCAUCGAUUCUAAAGUCCGGUGGUGAUAGGUUACACAAGCUUGAUGGUGGCUGUGAAACUCCUGCUACAUGUGGAUAUGAUGUUCCUGUUGAUAAUCUUGAGGAUGCCGAGCGAAAGAGGACAGAUAUUUUGACUGAAUAUUCAUCACUUGACGAGUUAUUGCUGCAACUUCACUUAGCAGCAUGUGAUCCGAUGAAAAGUUGCAAUUCUCUUAAUAUUAUUAUUAGCUUCUUCUCGGAUUUUAGAGAUUCAAUAGUUCUGGAUCGACUUUCUGGAGACAAAGCAGUUGGGAAAAGGAAGAAGUCGCCAAAUUCUAUCAUUGGUUCUUCUGAAACUUUUGAGUUUGAAGACAUGAGUGACACUUAUUGGACUGACAGGAUAGUCCAAAACGGUUCUGAGGAGCAGCCAUCACUGGGAACCAGUAGGGGACAAUAUCAAUUUGUGCCUGUCGAAUUAGAUAAACCAAUUCAAAAAGUCCGUAAGUCUCGAAAGCGAUAUUCUGAUACCAGUUAUGAUUUGACAGCACAGAAACCCCCUGGCUAUGUUGAUGAGAGGGCCCCAGCAGAAAUUGUUAUGAGCUUUCCCGAGAUCAAUUCUGUUCCUUCAGAAACAAAGCUAAAUAAGAUGUUCAAGCACUUUGGACCAUUAAAGGAAUCCGAGACAGAAGUUGAUCGUGAAACCCGCCGUGCCAGAGUUGUUUUUAGAAGAUCAUCUGAUGCAGAAGUUGCUUACAAUAGUGCCGGGAAAUUCAACGUCUUUGGGCCAGUGUCUGUAACUUAUCUACUCAACUACACUAUUUCUGAAUCAUUUAAAGCUUCACUGUAUGCUCCGACCCUAGCUGAGGAGAAUCUAUUCAUUGCUUCAGCCCCUUGUGGGGACCAUGCACUUAUUGCCCCAAGCUUAGGUGAGGAAGCUUCAUUCAUGGUUUCAACCCUUGGUGAGGAAACUUUACCCAUUGCUACAUCGUUCCAUGAGGAACCUUGGUUCAUAGCCUCAACUACGGGUGAGGAUACUUCAGCCAUUCCCACGACCUUAGCUGAUGGAACUUUGGUUGUUGCUACAACCAUGUAUGAGAAAACAUUACCUGUUACCAUGACUGCAGGUGUGGAAACAAUGGCUGUUGCCGCAAAUGUAGGUGAACAAUCAUUGCCUGUUUUCGCAAUCAUUAAUGAGCAAAUGUCAACCGCUCCUGCAAGCCUGGUUGAGGAAGCUUCACUUUCUCACUUAACUUCGAGCAAAGAAACUUCGACCAUGACCACAACCUUGCAUGAUCAAACUUCAAGCAUUGCUACCUUCAAUCCAGAAAUUCCUAGUGUUCCUGCCACUGUGGGUGAAGAAAUCUGUACCAUUCCCACACCCUCGGGUGAAGAAACUUGUAGCAUUCCUCCAAACUUGGAUGAAGAAACUACUAUCCGUCCAAUGACCUUGGCAGAGGAAACCCCUAGCAUUCCCAGAACCUUGGGCGAAGAUGCUCCAUAUGUCCCUGCAGCCUUUAGUGAAGAAGCUCCAGCAGUUUCUCUGACUUUCAGCGAAGGAACUCAUACCCUUCCCGGAACAUUGGAUCGUGAAACUAAGACCGUUCUUACAACUGUGUAUGAGGAAACAACCAUUCCUGCAACCUUAGGUCAAGAAACUCCUACCUUUCCUGCAACCUUGGGUGAAGAAACUUGUAGCACUCCCUCAACCUCAAGCGAAGCAGAUCGAAGCAUUCCCACUAACCUGGCCGAAGAAACUCGUGCCAAUCCAGUGACCUCGGCCGAGGAAACCCCCAGUACUCCGGAAACCUUGGGUGAAGAAAGUCCAUCUGUUCCUCUGUCUUUCAGUGAAACUCCUGCCAUUCUUCCAUCAUUCAGCAAAGAAACUCCUACAAUUCCUCAUCCUUUCAGUGAGGGAACUCCUACUGUUCCUGUAACAUCGGGUCCGGAAACUCAGACCAUUUCUACAACCAUGGGUGAGGAAACUACAACCAUUCCUGCAAACUUGGGUGAGGAAACAACUGCUACUGAAACCUUGCACGAGGAAACUCUCGCUGUUCCUACAACUUUGGCUGAGGACAAUCUGACUAUUAUUGCAAAAUUGGAUGAGGAAACUCCAAUGAAUCCUAAAACCUUGGAUGAGGAAACUAAAACGAGUUCCACAAACUCAGCUGAGGAAACUUCGACUACUCUCACAACCUCAGGUGUGGAAACUCCUACCAUUCCUGGAAUGUUGGGUAGGGAAACUCUGACCAUUCCUACUAUUAUGUGUGAGGAAACAACCAUUCCUGCAACCUUAGGUCAAGAAACUCCUACCCUUCCUGCAACCUUGGGUGAAGGAACUCAUAGUAUUCCCUCAACCUCGAGUGAAGAAAAUCAUAUCAUUCCCACUAACCUGGAUGAAGAAACUCCUACUGAUCCAGUGACCUUGGCAGAGGAAAGGCCAAGUAUUCCUGAAACCUUGGGUGAAGAAACCCCAACCGUUCCUCUGACAUUCAGUGAAGAAACUCCGGUUAUUCCUCCAUCAUUCAGCGAAGGAGCUACUAUUCCUCCUUCCUUCAAUGAGGGAAGUCCUACUGUUCCUGUAACAUUGGGUCCAGAAACUCAGACCAUUCCUACAACCACGGGUGAGGAAACUGCAAACAUUCCUGCAACCUCAGGUGAGGAAACUACAAGUGCUCCUGUGACCCUGCAUGAGGAAACUCUGGCUAUUCCGACAACUUUGGCUGAGAACAGUCCAACUAUGACCACAAAAUUGGAUGAGGAAACUCCAACCAGUCCCACAAACUUAGCUGAGGAAACUUUGACUACUCCCACAACCUCAGGUGUUGAAGCUUCAACAGUUC
RNAcentral lists this long non-coding RNA (110290 nucleotides) under Gossypium raimondii (Peruvian cotton). Its description in RNAcentral is "long non-coding RNA (GRAI_LNC009957)". Lineage: Eukaryota; Viridiplantae; Streptophyta; Magnoliopsida; Malvales; Malvaceae. The record is from RNAcentral.